Molecule: long non-coding RNA, 109130 nt
Filed under: Manihot esculenta (cassava)
Lineage: Eukaryota; Viridiplantae; Streptophyta; Magnoliopsida; Malpighiales; Euphorbiaceae
Description: long non-coding RNA (MESC_LNC005131)
Rfam family: Plant small nucleolar RNA U3 (bases 18673-18881)
Source: RNAcentral
UCCUUCUCCACCUCUUAUAUUCAUUUCUUUAAAAAAAUAUUAAUUUGUAACUCAAAGAAAACAAAUCAUUUAGACAUUUAAAUCCAAAUUAAGAGUAGGAAACCCAUAAAAUUAAACUUCGCAAAGUGAAACAUAUUUUAGAAUAUUUAAAAGUUCAAAAUCUUUGAGCAUUAUAGCUCAUUGAUAAUAUAUAAAAUUAAGACUUUCUGCGAUCAAGACACAUAUCCACAGUCCGACUAAGCCCUUGCAAUUAAAGAAAACCAGUCUCGAUGAGGGAUGGGCAAGUUGAACACGACUGGUUUCGACUAGAGGAUAAAUAUAAACCUUCAAUGCGAUGGUUUGCUCCAUUAAUCCAUGUUGAGGUCAUAAAUGUGCGUGUUAUGAAUCAAACUGAUGUGACGCGGGUGAAAGGACAGAGUAUGUAUUAACCGAUUCCGUAUUUAUUAGUCGUCUGACCACCAUUAAUGAGUCGCCUAACACACCUCCUAAAGAAUAUCCUCAUUCGAUCAGAUGGGAUAUGAUACAGGGGUAUUAGGAUGAUCAGGGUAUAUAUAUCUAUGAACCAACUCCAAUUCGACAUUCUUAACAUCCCUUGUAGAACUUAGCGCUUUCGCUCCUUUUGAACCCUUACCUACCCGGGUCAAUACACUCAGCUCUAUCAAUUCUCAACCCACCGAUCCAUUGAGUUCCCUGUGAGAUCGAACCCUUGUCCAAGUGUCUUCAUCCGACAAUCUCACUGGAUCUCAGUUCAUCAAUUGGCGUCGUUUGUAGAAACGAAAGAAAUUAUCCUAUCACUGAAGUUUCUAAACAAAAUCCAUUGAGAUCCACAUAGCCAACCAAGAAAACAACUCAUCAAUACCUGUUAGAAAUGAAAACUAAAUCCCUAAAACUCCCAACUUCAAGGAUUUCCCAUAACCUUAUUCUCGCUUUCCUCCACCCAAACAAUUUCCAACAUACCUUCUGCUAAUAACCCCAUAUUAAUAAACACCAUCCCACAAACUCCUUCAUGAAUCCAACACUUACAAACUAUACCAUUGCAACUACAGCAACCCAUUAUUUGGAUGAACCAGAUCAUGCAGCAAAGAGGUCUCACCUUGCCAAUGAUCCAAACCCAAUACCUACUGUGACUCUCAGCCAAUUACCCACACCCACAUUCAUUCCUGAGACAGAAAACUAUGAGCCACUGACCACUCCACUGCUCAUGUAACCAGAAGAAGAAGGGAGGACAAACCAAUCAGGGAACCCCAGCUAAGUUCAGAAAUCAUGCAGUAAGAAGCUUAAUAGAAGGGGAUGUUGAUGUGAGCAGGAGUGCAACGUUAAGAGGAUAUGAGACGGAGAGCGAAGGGGAAGGAACUAGUUCAAGAUCCUAGGAUAACGUCAAAAGGCUCUAUUCGAGGGAUGAAGGAGUAGAAAAGAGUUUGAAAAGGCUGAAAGAAGAACUAUUGGCUGAGCUGAAAAGCCAAGCUGGAGCGCAAACAAGUUUGAGGAUGUCCUCCCCUUUUGUAACUGGCAUCCAAGAACAAACCAUCCCUAAAAAAUUUCUAAUGCCGACCAUGGGAGCAUACAACGACAUAGGAAACUUCAGAGACCAUGUAAUCAACUAUAAGAUUUUUAUGGAGCUGCAAACCCAUUCUGAUACCUUGCUCAGCAAGGUAUUGCCAACUACCCUAACUGGAGCAGCCCUGACAUGGUUUAACAACUUAAAAGCAGAAAUCAUCAAAAACUUUUAUGAUUUGGCCAACUCAUUCAUAGAAAGAUUUAUAACUAGUGUCCCAGCUCAUAAUCAACGCACUAAAUGAAGUUGCCAAAGCAAUUUAUGCUCUAAUGAAAUGAUAAUGUAUAAAGAAAAUGUGUAAGGAACCUUGUUGCAUGAACAUGGCCUGCAGAUACAUUCACCAAAUCAUGGACAUUUAUAAUCCACAGUGUCCCAACUCUCUCCACCAUCACCGCUGAUAUUUGUAAGAACUCCCAUGUAACCAAACCUAAGGUCCUCUCUCUCCUUAUCCAUUUUCAUGCUGAUGCUUAUGUGCUCAUCUUGUUGCUUCGCUUUUUAUCUAUUAGAAUUUAUUUUGAAAUUUGUAUUGAAUUUUGGCUCCUUUUUAUUUCUGGUUGGUAAUUUAUCAUAUUAAAAAAAUCAUAAUUACAAUAAUCAUCAAAUAAAAUUUUCAAAUCAGAAAAUGUGCAAGUAACCUUGAUGUGAGGAAUUACCAACCCCUUCCUAGCGAGCCACCUAUGAUCAUCAAGGUUACUUGCACUUUUUUUUAUUUGAAAAUUUCAUUUGAUGAUUAUUAUAAUUAUGAUUUUUUUAAUAUGAUAAAUUACCAACUAGAAAUGAAAAGGAGCCGGAAUUCAAUAAAAAUUUCAAAAUCGGUUCUAAUUGAUAAAAAGUGAAGCAACAAGAUGAGCACAUAAGCAUCAGCAUGAAAAUGGACAAGGCGAGAGAGGACCUUAGAUUUGGUUACAUGGGAGUUCCUACAAAUGUUAGAGGCGAUGGUGGAGAGAGUUAGGACACUGUGGGUUAUAGAUGUCUAUGAUUUGGUGAAUGUAUCUGUAGGCCAUGUUCAAGCAACAAGGUUCCUUACACAUUUUCUUUACACAUUAUCACUUCAUUAGUGGAUGAAUUGCUUUAGCAACUUCAUUUUAUGCCUUGAUUAUAAGUUGGGACACUGGCUAUAAAUCUUUCCGUGAAUUAGUUGGUCAAAUCAUAAAAAGUUUUGAUACAUUCUGCUUUCAAGUUGUUAAACCAUGUUAGGGCUGCUUCGGUUAGGGUAGUUGGGAAUACCUUACUAAGAAAGACAUCAAAAUGGGUUUGCAGCUCCAUAAAAGUCUUGUAAUUAAUUUCAUGGUCUUUAGGGUUUCUUGUGCCGCUGUAUGCUCCCAAGGUAGACAUUAGGAAUUUUUUAGGGAUGGUUUUUUCUUGGAUGCGAGUUACAAAAGGGGAGCAUGUUCUCAAAAUUGUUUGUGCUCUGGCUUGGCUUUUCAGCUUAGCCAAUAGUUCUUAUUUCAGCCUUUCCAGUCUCUUGUCUACUCCUUCAUCCCUCGCAUCAUGCUUUUUGAUGUUAUCCGAGGAUCUUGAACUAGUUCCUUCCCCUUCGCUCUCCAUCUCAUGUCCUCCUAGCCCUGCACUCCUACUCACAUCAACAUCCCCUUCUAUUAAGCUUCUUACAACAUGACUUUUGGACUUAGCCAAGGGUUCCCUGAAUAGUUUUUCCUCCCUUCUUCUUCUGGUUACAUGGACGCUGGUCACUGGCUCGUGGUUUUCUAUCUCGAGAAUGAAUAUAGGUGAGGUAAUUGCCUAGGAGUCAUGGUAGGUAUUGGGUUUGUGAUCAUUGGCAGGGUGAGACCUCUUUGCUGCAUGAUCUAGUUCAUUCAAAUCAUAGUUUGUUGCAGUUGCUGUACAUGGUUUGUAGGUCUUGGUUUAAUGAAGGAGUUUGUGGAAUGGUGUUUAUUGGCAUUGAGUUACUAGCAGAAGUUAUGUUGGACAUUGUUUGGGUGGAGGAAAGCGAGAAUAAGAUUAUGGGAAAUCCUUGAAGGCUGUGAAUUUCAGGGAUUUGAUUUUCAUUUCCAACAGGUGUUGAUGAGUUGUUUUCUUGGUUUUCCAUGUGGAUCUCAAUGAGUUUUUUUUUUUAAAACUCCGAUGAUAGGAUAAUCUACUUCGUUCCCACAAAUGACGCCAAUUGAUGAACUGAAAUCCAGUAGGAUUAUUGAAUAAAGACACCUAGAUAAGGGUUCGACCUUACGGGGAAUUCAAUGGAUCGAGAUUGGUGGUUAGAGAGUUAAUAAAGCUGAGUGUAUUGACCCGGGUAGGUUAAGGUUUAAAAGUAGCGAAAGUGAUACGUUCUACAAGGGAAGUUAAGAAUGUCGAAAUUGGAGUUGGUUCAGGAGUAUAUAUAUCCUAAUCAUCCUGACAGCCACUAUAUCAUGUUCCAUCCAAUUGGAUGGGGAUAUCUUUUAACAGGUGUCAGGCGGCUCCUUAAUGGUGGGCAGUCGGCUAAUAAAUGCAUAGUCGGUUAAUCCAUGCCCUAUCCGCUGAAUAGAAACAUUAAACUAAAAGCCCAUACAAAAUGAGCACCUAGGAAAAAAAGGCCAUACGCAGAUAAUGAAGAACCAUAGGACUGAAUUACCUGGGAUGCCUAUGCCCAUUGGUCCAAGUGGAGAGAAAAAAAAAAUGGAACUUAAAAUCUUUUCUAGAGAUAUCCAUUUUCCGGGAGAGACAGAUAAAAUAUCUCGACACAGUGAUAUCUUAAUACCACCAGGAACGGUAAAAACAAAUUCUAAGGAAUUAAAAAAAGUGAAAAAUUGGAUCUAUAUCCAACGAAUCACACCUACCAAGAAAAAAUAUUUUGUUUUGGUUCGAUCAGUAAUCAUAUAUGAGAUAGCGAACGGUAUAAAUUUAGAAACACUUUUCCCCCAGGUUCUAUUGCAAGAAAAGGAUAAUAUGAAAUUUCGAGUUGUCAAUUAUAUUCUUUAUGGGACUGGUAAACCAUUCGGGGGAAUUUCUGACACAAGUAUUACCUUGGGCAGAUAGCGGGAAUCUAACCCGCGUCUUCUCAUUGGCAAAGAGAAAUUUUACCAUUCGACUAUAUCCGCAUUUUUUUCGUUCUUGAUACAUGAUGUCUGGAUCAUAUUUAUGAACAGCUAUGCUAGAUAUUUUUUUCAGGACGAUUCUUAUUAUAUUUUAUAUUAUUAAAUAUUAUUAAUAUUAUUAAUAUAUUAUUAUAUCUUAGAUUAUUAUUAAUUAUUAUUAUAUCUUACAUUAUUAUAUCUUAUUUAUCUUAUUAUUAUUAUAUUUUUUAUAUUAUUAUUUUUAUAUUAUUUUAGUACAUUAUUAGUAUAAUUUGUAUAAUUUUGAUUUAAUAAUAUAUUUUUGGGCCGCGUCACAUCAGUCUGAUUCAUAACAUGCCAUUUAUAAUAUCAGCAUGGAUUAAUGGAGCCGACCAUCGCGUUGAAGGUUUAUAUUUAUUCCCUAGUCGUAACAGGUCGUGUUCAGCCUACCCGGCCCUCAUCGAGGUUGGUUUUCUUCGAUUGCCAGGGCCUAGUCGUACCGUGGACAUGUGUCCUGAUCGCAAAAGGUCUUAUAUUUUAUAUAUUAUCAGUGACCUAUAAUGCUUAAUUAUUUUGAGCUUUUAAAUAUUCUAAAAUAUGUUUCACUUUGCGAAGUUUAAUAUUAUGGUUUCCUACUCUUAAUUUGAUUUUGAAUGUCUAAAUGAUUGAUUUUUUUCGAGUCACGCAUUGAUAUUUUUUAAAAGAAAUUAAAGGAAAAAAUGAAAAUAGGAGAAGGAGAAGGAAAUAUUAAAACUCCGAGAGUCAGUAAAAAAAGAUUAAAGAUGAGAAAGAAAAAUUAAUAUAGAAUAUGUUGAUGUGGAUUUUUACAUCAACAUUUUUUUUUUGUUACAGGAGGAAGAGCUAAAGCUCUGCAACAUAAUGCACAUGUUUGCUAAUCCCUUGACUCAUAUAAAAGCAAGUGAUGCAAGUCUUGGGGGGAGUAGAGAGGACAUGAACACCAACCAGGAAAGAAGAUGCUUCCUUACCUAUCCAGUCAGCAUAAGAGGUUGCUUCUCGGUAGACAUGUCUGAAAGUUAUUGACAAUUCAGGUAUAAUCAAUAUUUGGAUAACUAGUACCAUGUGUCAGAGUUCAAUUGGUAUUGCUCUUUUGCCUUGUAGCAUAUUUACUACCUCGUUGUUAUCACUUUCAAGGAUAAAACAUUUUGAACCCAGAUUAACAGCUAACUUGAUGCCCUCAUAGGCUACCUUCAACUCCACUCCAAGAACACUCAUUUUACCAAAAUUUGCUGCAAAGCCCUUGAUCCAACCCCCAUUGUGGUCCCUUAUAAGGCCUCCCCUGUAAAUCAUACUUGUCUCCAAAUGACACGAGUUGUCUACAUUGACUUUCCACAUGUGCUCCCUUGGCUUCUCCCAAGAAGCCCAUAUAAUUCCUUCAUUCUCAGCUCUAUCUGCUCUUGGGACCUUUAUACAGACUCGACAAAAAUCCUUAGCUCGACUAACUGCUACUUGUAUGACAAAUUGGAUAUCUCUAGCUUUUUCUUGAAAAAUAACUUCAUUUCUUUUGUGCUAGAGACCCCAACGAAUCGCUCCAAACGUUAAUUGCCAUUGCAACCCAUUAGAAUCUAGAUGGAGGCUCCACAAGUUGGUAUUUAACCAACCACGAAUAUCAAUAUUAAGGGUGAAGAAGCUAUCCUAAUGAUGUCGUAGAACUAGGCUCUUCCACACAUUCUUAGCAAAGCCACAGUCACGCAAUAUGUGUAUUCUAGUCUCAGCAUCCCUACGGCAAGUUUCACAGGUGGUUGUAUUAUUGAUAUGCUGCCUGAGCCUUUCCACAUCUGUUAAGAGCUUGUUGUGCUUGGCUAGCCAUAGAAAUAUCUUCACUGUCUGCAGUCUAAGCCAUCGCCAUACAGUUUUUCAACUUCCAUGGCUUCUAUCCAUGUUAAUAUCUGCAAGAUAAAUAUAAGCAGAUUUAAGGUUAAACAUACCUGAACUUGAGAAUUUCCAGAUCAUUGUGUCAGUUUCCAUGCGCAGCGCAAAAGGAGAGACAUUUGCAAUCUGUAAAAUCACCAAGGCUGGUAGAUAGCUACUGAAACUAGGCUAAUGCCAUGUUCCUUCAGGAGUUAUAUAAUAGCUUACACAUUGUUGCCUCAGGUUAUUAGGCACCUCAUACAUCCAAAAGCUUCAUACCACUUGGUAGCCACUCAUCUUCACAGAAUUUGAUCCUUCUCCUAUCACCCAAAGACCAAGCAAUGGCUUCCCUAAACUUGUCCCAGAUCUUCAUAAUUCCCCUCUAGACAUUAGAGGCCUUUUUUAUUUUAACAUGUUCUGGUAAUAGUUCUAUUAUUUUGUAUUUAGUCCUCAAUAUGCAGACCCAAAGACCUUCAAGACUGCUCACCACACCCCAUGCUAACUUGAGUAAAAAGGCCAUAUUCAUUGUUUUAGCAUCCCUAAAUCAUGAUUCACCCAUUUCCUUUGAAAGCAGAACUUGACUCCAAGGGAUAAAGUUGACUUUCCUACAGUUGUCAUUGCUGCCCCAGAUGAAAUUCCUGGAUAAUUUGUCAAUAGUAGCACAGAUGGAUUCAGUCAGAUACGAAGUUUUCAUGGUAUAAGUAGGGAUUAACAAAAGAGUAGAUUGGGCUAAAGUUCCUCUUCCAACUAAAGAAAAUUUGCUAGCGUCCCAAUUAUUAUGCUUCGUUCUAAUUUUGUCAAUCAGGUAUUGAUAAGUUCUCUUGGUGACACAAUUACGCAAAAGUGGGACUCCUAAAUAUUUGCCAAGAUCAUUAAUUUCCUGUACUCCAAGCUCCUCACAAAUUGCUUAUCUAGUCAGCCUACUCAUAUUUUUAAAGAAAAAAAAUACGAGUUUUGUUUCUAUUAACUCGUUGACCAGAGCUGCUACAAAAAUCUUCAAGCACUUUGUUGAUUUCUUCUACUUGAUCACUUGAAGCCUCUGCAAAUAAGACAAGAUUGUCAGUGAAAAAUAAAUGGGAGAUUAAAGGUCCUUCCUCAUUAAUGCAAAACGGUUUCCAGCUUUGUUGAGCUAUAGCCUUGUUAAUCCUAUGUGCCAACAUUUCCAUGCAGAGCACAAAAAGAUAUGGGGAUAGAGGAUCCCCCUGUCUAAUACCUUGAGUUGGGAAAAAGGGAUUAGUGAGGGUACCAUUCUAGAGAACCUGCAUAGUAGAAGAUGUCACACAAUUCAUAAUAAACUGUAUAAUACUAGCCGGGAAGCCAGCAUCAGAUAGCGUAUCCUCUAAAUAUACCCACUUAACUCUAUCAUAAGCUUUCUCCAAGUCAACUUUAAUAGCAAAAAAACCUUUCUUGCCCAUUCUGGAUCUCAUCGAGUGGAUCACUACUUGUGCAACGAUUAUAUUAUCAACUAUUUUCCUACUAGGCACAAAGCUAGUAUGAUUAGGAUGAAUUAUAAUAGGUAAGACAUGCUUACUACUGUUGGCAAGUACCUUAAUAAUGAUUUUAUAAAUGACACUACAAAGAGAGAUGAGUCUGAAAUUAGAGAUUAAUAGCAGAUUUGCUACUUUAGGGAUAAAAUUUAUGAAGGUAUGAUUUAUUCUUCUUAUAAUAGGAUGACCUGCAAAAGCACGACGAACCUUAUCACAAACUUGAUUCCUCACAACCUCCCAAUUUUUUUGAAACAAGCUGGCAUGGAAUCCAUCUGGCCUUGGGGCUUUCUAUGGCUUCAUCUCAAAGAGAGUGCCUUGAAUCUCAUCUUUGGGCACAUGAGCAGAAAGAUUAGUUAGAACCACAUCCGGUAUAAGGGCGAAUUUACCUCUUAUAUUGUACACUGGGUAUCUGCGCAAUCAUCCAAAUAAAGAUUUUUGAAAAAAGUACAAGCCAAAUCUUGUAAGGACUGUUGAUCAAUGACCCGAGCAUUCUUAUCAUUUCUCAACAUCUCGAUCUAGUUUUGCUUCCUUUUCAUCAUAGUCUUUGCAUGAAAAUAGAAUGUAUUCCUAUCCCGUAGUUUAUCCAUUCUGAACGAGCUUUUUGAAACCAAAUUAGCUCCUCUCUUUGUAAAAUGAUAUCUAGCUCAUGUUGAAGUUUCUUUUCGAGGGUGUAAAGAGACUUGGACCAUUUUGUUUCCAGACUGCGUUGAAUGGCAUCAAUCUCGUCAAGAAGAGUUCUUUUCUAGUAAAACACAUUCUCGAAGACUUCUCUAUUGCAACUUCUGAGAUCAUUUGAUAACAACUUUAGGUUAUCUAUAAAAUUACCACUAGUUCUCCACCUAUCUUUCAACAUAUGCAUAAGGGACGCAUGGGUCAAACAUGUGGCCUGAAAGCGAAAAGGCUUCUCCCUAUUUUGUUCCUGGCGGAAGCUUUUUAAACCAAUAAGGAGUGGCCAAUGAUCAAAGUGGGUCCAUUGCAGGUGAAACACACAGCUCACAGGAUAUUGGGAUUGCCAAAGAUUAUUCCUAACCGCUCUGUCCAAUCUUUCAAAAAGAUUACCCCUUCUCCAGGUAAAAUCAGGCGCUUUAUAGCCAAGAUCAUACAUGCAUGUAUCUUCCAUCCGAGAUAAAAUCAGAAGAGACAUCCAACCAAUGAGCAACUCCCCCUUUCUUCUCAUCAGCUACAAGCAAAGUGUUGAAAUCCCCUGUAAGGAGCCAAGCUUCAUCUGGACGUACUCGUAGUGCAGCCAACUUUCUCUAGAGGGUCUUCCGAAUACUAAUUACUGGACUUCCGUACACUUCUGCAAACCAGAAAGGGGAGAAAUUAGCACCCGUAAUAUGAAAAUGAAUAAAUUGUUUAUUGUUUACACAAAAGGAAAGGUUCUAGUCUGAGUUCCAUAAACCCAUAUGCCUCCCCAGAAAUCGUUAGCUUUGACUUUGUGCGAUCCAGCAAAAUUCAACUUCUUAAUAAUGUUAUUUGCUCGAGCGCCACUAAUACGAGUUUCCAAUAGCACCACUAAGCUCGGAUUGUGUUCCUGCAAAAGCAAUUUAAAAUAUCUAAGGAAAUCGGAGCCUUCGGCUCCUUAGCAAUUCUAGAUGAAAAUUGAUAUUAAAAAAAGAGGAAGAGAAAGGAUACAAGUACACCUUAAACUCGUAAGUAGGAGUCACAAUAUGCUACCUCUUCAAAAGAGCUGUUACUCUUAAUCUCCUUAUCCUCUAACAUGUCAUCCACUGGUUUCUUGUUCGUCAGGAGGCCUUCCAAUAUACUACAAGAGCAUUCAAGUUGUCCUAGAUCUCUUCCCAACUGCAAGCUCUGCUUAAAUGGACUAAUAGGGACGUCAGGUGGUCGUGCAUGUGGGGAGAGAAAAUCUUUCAUCUGUGCAUGAAAAUUUACGUCAUUUUCCAUUUGCAUGGUUUGUGACAUGGUGUUGGGCCCCACUUCUUCCUAUGAAUUAAUUACAAUCAUAGAAUGUUUUCUCGGAUUCGGAGAAGAUGGCAAAGCGAUUUUCUCGGAUUCGGAGUAGAUGGCAAAGCGAAAUACUUUUGGCAGCAGAGACUUAAGGGUGAACCUUGGGUAUCUAUUCAAUAUUUUCUACUAUGAUUCCCACAUUUGAAACCUCCUUUUGAUUAAUCAACUUAUUUGGCCCUUUUUUACGCGAUGAGAUAUCUUUUUGGUCACCCCUCUAUUACUCCUGUUUUUUUUUUCUUUAGGUUGGCCCUCUUGCCCGUUCGUGGCAACUUCCUGCAGAUCUGCAUUUUCCAUUUCUGUAUUAACUUCACUUUCAUUUCUAAGGAUUUCAAAACGUGAUCCAGCCCUCUCCAUUUUAUCCAGUUUUUCCAUAUUCUCCUUUCGUGGUCGUUCGUUACGCCGUGAGACUUGAAUCCAUUUCCCAAAAAAAAUUUAUUUCUCCGGCUCUGUUCUAGUUUGCUCAGGGUUAGGCAUUCCAUCAUUACUGGAGACACCUUUGAAAAAAUAGAAAUUACUCCAAUGACUAAUUCGUCCAUACUCAAAAUAGAUUUGUGGCAAAAUUUUGUAUUCAACCUGUUGAACUCUAUUUUUAACACUAACUUGCGCAACAAUUUGAGUAAAUUUUUUCUGGAGCACAUCAGCAGUAUUAUAAUCAACCUUUAUUACUUUACCCAUGGAAGAGGCAAUUCUAUUUAGCAUCCUUUCAUGCUAUAAAUGCACUNNNNNNNNNNNNNNNNNNNNNNNNNNNNNNNNNNNNNNNNNNNNNNNNNNNNNNNNNNNNNNNNNNNNNNNNNNNNNNNNNNNNNNNNNNNNNNNNNNNNNNNNNNNNNNNNNNNNNNNNNNNNNNNNNNNNNNNNNNNNNNNNNNCUCUAUUUGGCAACAAUGCUCCCGUUUAUGUCUCUCAAUUCUCCUCUAAUUCCUCUUCCUCUUCAUCUCCUGGUAAGUUUGCUUUCUUUUAGUAUGUACAGAAUCUAUUUCACGAUCUUCCUUUCUUUUACAUAUAUUCUUUCUCUUUUUGGAGCUGGGUUUCGGAUGGAAGAUUUUAUUGUUAUAAUUAUUUGCUUUAGUAUAGUUGAUUACUUUACUAGUCUAACUUGAUCUCAAUUUUAUUUAUUUUCUUUCUAUGUUUGGUAUUGCAAUUUGCUGAUUAAUUGGAAAUUCUAGUUUACUUCGUUUCUAUUUUCAAUAACCCAUUGCAAUUGUAGAGAAUGUCAAAGUUAUAGGGUAGGGAAAUUUUGUGGAUCGCAUGGGCAGCUCUCCCUGCCCUUUGUCACUGCUUUCGUAUUGCUAAUAACCAUUUACAUGCACUUAUUAAUACUGAAGAUUACUUCUAGUAUUAGAAUAAUGAUUUGGGACAUCAUUGAUUAAAAUCUUUAAGAGUGAUAGGAAUGCUGGAGCAGUUUCAAUAAGAUUCUAGAAAUCUGGCAUUGUCCUUCACAACAAAGAUUAUUAAUGGAAAUGCAUUUGGAAUUGAUUGACCUUUUCUUAGCUGAGAGUAUUGAACAAAAUAGCUUACCACCAAUGAAAUUGAAUGAGAUCACCUUGAAGGGGAGCUUUAUGUAAUUCUUUUUUUGGAUCAAGCAUUAUUUGAUUUGUGAUUAAAUGAAGUUUUUGAGUCUCAUUGCGUUAGUUGACUUGCAGACAUUUUUUCUGGGAUCAGCUUUUAUACUUUCGUAUUCCAGAUUUGCCAGUCCUAUGCAGCUUCAGAUAUCAAACUACAUUUUACACAUGCACAUAUAUUAUUAUUCAAUACCAGGUUAGUUAAUGUUGAUAAAAACAUGUCACUUAGAAUGUGCACGUGAAUUGUUUUAUGGGUCUUUUCUUUUCACCUAAACCCCAAUUCAUUUCUGUUUCUCAUGAAUGAUAUUUCCCUUGAUUUCAGUUAGAAUAAAAAAACUGCAAUUUAAUUUGUUUUGGCCUCCUAGGAAUGAUUGUUAUGAAGUUCUUCACUUUAUGUGUAAUAUUGACUUUUAACUUCUUUUGUGCUUACUGAAAUAUUUUAUCUUGGAAACUUUCAGAUAUGUUCACAUUUAGCAACAAAAUUGCUCGCUUUUAACUGAAAAUGGGAUGAAUAUAUGCCCCAUGAAGUUUAAUGAGUAAAUCCCUUGCCAUGAUGUUCUCCAAGUGAAAAGUCUACUCCCAAGCUUAGAUCUUUCUUGAAAAGAAGAGCUGGAGAGGCGUUGCCCUCCACCUGAAAAGCGUCUACUUGUGCUCGGUGCCACCCCAGAAGAUUAUAAAUUGCCAACCAGCAGGAAUCAUGUUUGGCAAAGCAAUGUGAAUCAGACACGUCUUGCUGCAGUCAAAGGAAUUGGGUGCAUGAAAAGGAUCAAUUACGGUGGUUUGCAGGAGGCGAUGAUCAUUUCAAAAUUCAAAGCACGGGGCACCGGAGUGCAUUUGGAGGUAACUUAGAUGAUCUUUUUCUUACAUAUCUUAAUACCUUUGAGCUGGUUUUGUCAUUUGAUGUUAUUUCACUACCCAAGCAAGCGAUUGGUCUCACAUUACGUAUAAUUAGUUAAAUACCAUUCUGUUUCCUUUUCAAUUCUAAAUGCAGGUUGGAACUGUGACGACUAAUGAAACAUCUGCUGUCAGCUGGGGUUGUUGAAGUUCUGGAUGUUGGGCUGCGUGUUUGCUAGCUUCUCUGGUUGUCUCCUUCCCUUGGAAAUACAAACAUGUCUUCUUCUCCCAAAGGUGAUUCUUAUUUUUGUUUCGUUUUGGAAUUGAAGCAACUGCAGUCCGAACUGAUUGUACCUUAGAUGUAGGGUUUUUAAGAGUUUGGUUAUGUUGGACAUCACCGUUUUAGUGAGUUUGAAAGGAAUCAUUUAGAGUUGCAUAUUGUUUUGAGGACUCUCUUUAAUUAUAUGUGGAGAGAUAAUUAGGUAAGGUCGACUCGAAAUUUGAAAAAUAAAAAAUCGAAUUGAUAAAAAAUACUAUUAGAAAACGAAUUGAAAUAUGGAGAUGAUUAGGUCAGGUUAGGUUGGUUGAAAAAUUAAAAUUAAAAAAUCAAAUUGAUAAAAAAUACUAUUAGAAAAUGAAUUGAAAUACGAAAAAAAUCAAAUCGUAUGGAAUUAAAUAUUUUCGGUUUGAUUUGUUUAUUCUUUACAACAGCAUAAAACAGCAAUAAAUUUUGUCCAAAAUAAAAAUCAAUACCUUCGAGAACAAAAAAUCACAUAUACAUCUAAAUCAAACAAUAAAAUCACAUAUACAUUUUCUAAAUCAAACAAUAAGAAAUAAAAUGUUCCAAAAAUAGGAACUGAAGUAAAAAAAUUCAUUCAAAAUCAACAUAGCAAACACAAGGAAUCCAUAAGCCAAUCCAAAAAUCAAAACCUCAAACACCCAAUUGAAGAAAUUGAAUCAAAACCUUAAACAUCCAAUUGAAGAAAUUGCAAUCUGCAUCGUGAUUUGUGGACCCUUUGCAAUUGUCUUUGCGCCCAAGACAAAUUCAUAUACGCUUGUUUGUAGAUCUUCCUCAAGAAUCAUCUAAACAAGAAGACACCUAGGAAAAAUUAUUUUCAACUCUUUCUCUUCGUUCGCAAUGUCGAAAUUUGAGCCUUCAAGAAAAAGCAAUCCAUCAUGCAUAUGGAUGAAUGAGAUGAGAAAUUGUAAAAAUGAGAGGAAGGCCAAUGAAGUAUGUGAUUUUUUGAUGGUCAUGCGAGUUUAGUGAUCUUUGCCACUUAGAUUUCAGCUUUGUGCAUGAGUUUUAGAUGAAGACUUAAUGGUAGAUGAAAGAAGAAGAGACAACGAUAGAGAAGAGAAAUUGAGAAAUUAGCAAUUUUAAACACUUAGACUUUAACCAUAGAGAUGAGAAAGGUAUAUAAAAAAAAAAGGUCUUGUGGACAGAGAAUGUGAAAUAUAGGAAAAGAAGAAAGAAUUGUAGAAAUGAAGCCUUUUAAUUCUUCGGCUGGUACAGUUUUUUCCAUUAAUUUCAGAUAUUAAAUCAAACCAAAAAUUAAAAAUUUAACUAAUCAAACUAAAUAGAUUAAUUUAAUUUUAUUUAAUUUAAUUUUUUUUAUUAUAACGGAAAAGUAUUCCCGCCGGCAAAUGGUAUGAUUGCAUUUUUUUUAAAAUAAAAAUCGAAAAAGUAAAAUCAAACCUUUUAAAUUUAAUUACAUAUAUUUAACAACCGAUUAAACAUGUGAUUUUUUUUUUUUCAGCUUACAUUUUUUAAAUUACUGUAAAAAAGGAUUAAUUACCUGUCAAAUUCAAGUCACUUUCCAUGUAUUAUUUUUAAUUAUUAACUUUUAAAAUAGUUAAAUUUAAUUUAUUUAUUUAUCUCCUAAUUCAAAAUUUAUGUUAAUUGUAUCAAUCAUAAGAGAUUAUUGAAUUAAUUUUUUAUUAAAUUAUUAUUUUAUAGAUUAUUUGAAUUUAAAUCAUUUCAGUUUUUGAAUAAGUUAAAAUGUUAUGAAUCACAUUGGAUCCAAUAGACAUUGAUCAAAGCGAUUGGUUAGUCAAACCAAAAUUUUUCUCCUCCGUAAUGUAUAUUUAUCCCUUGUCUGAAAAUUUUAAAAAAAAAACAAAGAAAGAAAGAAAGAGGAAGAGGGAAGAGGGAAGAGAGAAGAGAGAAGAGAGUCACCGUGAAGUGCUUUUUCGCAGGAGGUGAUGGCAUCAUCACUUUGAUGGCGAGUUAUCAGCCCCUCUAUGGCUACGGGGAGAUUGAGAUUGUUGUUGAUCUGCUCUUUCUUUGCCCUUACUGUAAAAUUUCUACUGUUUGUGGAGUUUCUGAUUUUGUGCUUCUUCAUUUUUUUUUGGUGUUUUUUAUUUUCCUAUUUUACAGGAUGCUGAGUUCUAGGGAAUAGUAAUUCACAGUUUUCUACCAUUGCCCUGUGGUAGUGGUGGUGGAGGUGGUGGCGGCUAGCGGCGUUGGACUGUUUUAUCUUUCUUUGAUUAGGGUUUCAAUUUUGAGAGAUGUGGGUGGGUUGGGUUGAUGGACUGCUCUCUAACAAAUAGGCUUAGGCUUGUUUAAAUUGAGUUGUUGGGUUUCGAUUGCUAUUUCUAUCACUUUGACCCUCGAGGGGUUUUAUAAUAUUGCCUGUUGGACUUUCAAUGCAAUAUUUUGUAACCGUUGCAGGCAUUUGUGAUUUGUUAAUUAUUUUGUAACCGUUGCCAAUAAAAUUUUGUAUUUUUUUUAUAAGUAAAACUAUUUAUUGUAUUAAUAAAAUUUUAUCAAACAAAAUAAAAUAUCAUCCCAAAUAGACAAUUAUAUCUAAUAGAUUUUUUAGAUAAACUAUAAGCAGUUAUAGUAUUACGAUAAAUUAUUUAACAGAAAUAUCAAUUCAGAAUCUAACAAAAAUUUAUAAUCAUUCAAAUCAAAUCCCUAUAUAAAAUAAUUUGAUAAAAAUGCUUUUCAAGUGUUUAUUUAAAAUUUUGUAUUGAAUAUUUAUUUGUUAUUAAUUUGAUAAAAAUUAUAUAAGUGAUAAAAAAUAAAAAUAAUUAAAUAGAAUAAAAAGAAUAAAAUGAGAGAAUAUAAAAAAAAUAUAACAAGAGGAGAACAGAGAAAACAUGAUUAAAUAAAUGAGUAAUUAUAUAAAUAUAUAAAUUAUUAAUGAAUUAACAACGUAAUUUACAAUAUGGUCUUAAAUGUUUUUUAAAAAAUAGUAUUUUUAUCUAAAUUUUAAUAAUAAGCUUUGAAAUUCGUUAUUAAAUUUGUAUAAAAUUUUAGUACUUCAUAAUUUAAUAAUAGUUUAUGAAUCCAUUGCAAAAUUCAAUAAUAGUUUUUGAAAGCAGUUAAAAAAAAUAUAUUACGAUUUUAUUUUUUUUUUUGAAAUAGGGGGGUGGGGGAGUCGAACCUUUGACCUCACAAGACUACAAGGAUGCACUUUCCACCAGGCUAAGCCUCGGAGUGCAAAAUAAUGCUUUACUAAAUUUACAUUUAAUUUUAAUAUUUUAUAAUUUAAUAAUAAAUUUUAUUAUUAAUUGUUAAUUAGUAUUGAUACGCUUAAAUUUACAUUUAAUUUUAAUAUUUCAUAAUUUAAUAAUAAAUUUUUUAUUAAUUAUUAAUUAAUAUUGAUAUAAUUGAAAUAAAAUUAUAUUGUAAUUUCUAUAAUAAAAAGUAUGUGAAGGCAGGUGAAUGUCAUUGACAUUUAUAACAGUUAAUUCAAUAUUUAAGUAAAUUUAUUAAAAAAAAUAAAUAUAAAAAUUUCUUUAAAAGUCAAAAGUAAUUGUAUAAAAAUAUUUAUCUUGAUUUUUAAUAUUAUUAAUUUUUAUAUUAUAAAAAAAAUAGAGUGCAUUAUCACAUCCACUUAAAAUUUAAUUAGUCAAUCCACUGAAAAUCCAAUUAGUCAAUACAUUGAAAAUCUCGUAAUUAUGGAAUAAUAUUUUAGAAGUAUAAACUUAUGAAUUUUGAUAUUUAACCGACGUGAUAAUCAAAUAUUACAUAUUAAACAUGAAGUCAUUAAUAAUUUAUUUGUGAAUAAAAUAAUCAAAAUACAAGAUAAUUAUACAAUAUAUGUUUUUAAAUUUAUUUAUAUAAUAUUAAUUUAGACUUUUUAAAAUAGUGUAUAUCGUCUGUAAAUAUAAAGUUAUAUGUGAUGUAAUUGUACAAUAUAUGUUUUUAAAUUUAUUUAUAUAAUAUUAAUUUAGAUUUUUUAAAAUAAUAUAUAUAAUCUAUAUAAAUAUAAACUUAUAUAUGAUGUAAAACAACAAUCAUUUAAAAUAAAUUAUAAUUAUAAGUUAUCAUUAUAAAAUAAAAUAAUAUUAAAAGUCUAAUAACAUCAAAUGACAAAACCAGCUCAAAGGUAUUAAGAUAUGUAAGAAAAAGAUCAUCAAAGUUACCUCCGAAUGUACUCAGGUGCCCCGUGCUUUGAAUUUUGAAAUGAUUAUCGCCUCCUGCGAACCACCAUAAUUGAUCCUUUUCAUGCACCCAAUUCCUUUGACUGCAGCAAGACGUGUCUGAUUCACUUUGCUUUGCCAAACAUGAUUCCUGCUGGUUGGCAAUUUAUAAUCUUCUGGGUUGGCACCAAGCAGAAGUAGACGCUUUUCAGGUGGAGGGCAACGCCUCUCCAGCUCUUCUUUUCAAGAAAUAUCUAAGCUUGGGAGUAGACUUUUCACUUGGAGAACAUUAUGGCAAGGGAUUUACUCAUUAAACUUCAGGGGGCAUAUAUUCAUCCCAUUUUCAGUUAAGAGCGAGCAAUUUUGUUGCUAAAUGUGAACAUAUCUAAAAGUUUCCAAGAUAAUCUAUUUCAGUAAGCACAAAAGAAGUUAAAAAGUCAAUAUUACACAUAAAGUGAAGAACUUCAUAACAAUCAAUGGCCACAGUUUCCUACGAGGCCAAAACAAAUUAAAUUGCAGUUUUUUUUUUUUUUUUUUAACUGAAAUCAAGGGAAAUAUCAUUCAUGAGAAACAGAAAUGAAUUGGGGUUUAGGUGAAAAGAAAAGACCCAUAAAACAAUUCACGUGCAUAUUCUAAGUGACAUGUUUUUAUCAACAUUAACUAACCUGGUAUUGAAUAAUAAUAUAUGUGCAUGUGUAAAAUGUAGUUUGAUAUCUGAAGCUACAUAGGACUGGCAAAUCUGGAAUACGAAAGUAUAAAAGCUGAUCCCAGAAAAAAUGUCUGCAAGUCAACUAAUGCAAUGAGACUCAAAAACUUCAUUUAAUCACAAAUCAAAUGCCUAUAUAAUGAUCAAAUAAUGCUUGAUCCAAAAAAAGAAUUACAUAAAGCUCCCCCUUCAAGGUGAUCUCAUUCAAUUUCAUUGGUGGUAAGCUAUUUUGUUUAAUACUCUCAGCUAAGAAAGGGUCAAUCAAUUCCAAAUGCAUUUCCAUUAAUAAUCUUUGUGGUGAAGGACAAUGCCAGAUUUCUAGAAUCUUAUUGAAACUGCUCCAGCAUUCCUAUCACUCUUAAAGAUUUUAAUCAAUGAUGUUCCAAAUCAUUAUUCUAAUACUAGAAGUAAUCUUCAGUAUUAAUAAGUGCAUGUAAAUGGUUAUUAGCAAUACGAAAGCAGUGACAAAGGGCAGGGAGAGCUGCCCAUGCGAUCCACAAAAUUUCCCUACCCUAUAACUUUGACAUUCUCUACAAUUGCAAUGGGUUAUUGAAAAUAGAAACGAAGUAAACUAGAAUUUCCAAUUAAACAACAAAUUGCAAUACCAAACAUAGAAAGAAAAUAAAUAAAAUUGAGCUCAAGUUAGACUAGUAAAGUAAUAAACUAUACUAAAGCAAAUAAUUAUAAUAAUAAAAUCUUCCAUCCGAGACCCAGCUCAAAAAAGAGAAAGAAAAUAUGUAAAAGAAAGGAAGAUCAUGAAAUAGAUUCUGUACAUACUAAAAGAAAGCAAACUUACCAGGAGAUGAAGAGGAAGAGGAAUUAGAGGAGAAUUGAGGGACAUAAACGGGAGCAUUGUUACCAAAUAGAGUGCCCAAGUAGAAAGAACCCACCAUUAAUAAUAAAGCCACCAUUAUCAUCUGCCCUGAUUUCAAAUCAAAAGCCGACCCCAAAGCAUACCCUCCCAUUCUCUCUCUCUCUCUGUGUCGGUGAUCUAAAUUUGAUUCACGCUUAACCUUAGAGUAACCAGAGGAACCUAAUCGGAUCUCUCUAACAAGCACGAAGAAGAAGAAGAAGAAUAUCUCCAGAACCAGCUUGCUUGCUCUCUCGGGACUGGGAAUCUGUGCUGCUAUUUUAUUUUUGGAAGCUUGAUAAUUGAAUUAUUUAUCAAAUAGUGAUAUCGCCGGCUUUUGUCAUGUGAGAGACGCGUGCCACAAUCGCCUUUACGUGUCGAAAAGACGAUUUAAGCCCUGAAGGAGGCGAGUUACAAUCCCACAUCGAAAGGUUGAAAGAACGAAGCAGCCCAUCUAAUUGCUGAGGUUAGGAAACGAGUGCACGACCUUACUUGAACAGGAUCUGUUCUAUAGGAUCGUACUUCUGUGUCCUUUAGCACAAAGGAGACAGGAACCACAGUCUGGAAGAUGAAGCAUGGCCGUACGAUCAGAGCGUGAUUAACGGCUAAGGAUUCUUUGGGUCCGUGAGCUUGUAGAGGAUCGUUCUCAGCCAUACGUGGCUGAGGUGGUCGCACGGUUGCCUGACAGACUCCAAUAUUUUUCAUUUUUCUAUUUAUUGUUUUAUUUUCCUUUUCUCUAUGAACAUUUAAAGAUUGAAUUGUAAACUUUAAAAAUCAAAUUACAAUUUAUAAUCUUUAUUCAAUGAAAAUAUUAUAAUUUGAUUUUUUAUAUUUUUAUAUAUAGUUACUAAACAGUUGUAUUUUUUUAGUAAUUUUAAAAUCGUUCCAUUUUCUUUUAUCGAUUUGAUAAUUAUGUAUAAAUUUAUUAUGGCAAGGAAGUAGACUUUUCAUGAAAGAUCUAAGCUUGGGAGUAGACUUUUCACAUACAGAACAUCAUGGCAAGGGAUUUCCUCAUUAAAUUUCAGGGGACACAUAAUAAAAAUCUUGCAUCCAAAACCCAGCUCCAAAAAGAGAAAGAAUUUUUUUGAAAAAAUGAAGAUGAUGAAAUAGAUUCUGUAGAUACUAAAAGAAAGCAAACGUACCAGGAGAUGAAGAGGAAUAGAGGAGAAUUGAGAAACAUAAAUGGUAGAGUGCCCAAGUAGAAAGAAUCCACCAUUAUCGUCUGCCCUGAUUUCAAAUCAAAAGCCGACCCCAAAGCAUACCCUCCCAUUCUCUCUCUCUCUCUCUCUGAUCAAAAUUGGAUUCACACUUAACGUAGAGUAACCAGAGGCACUUAAUCGGAUCGUUCUAACGAGCACUAUGAAGGAGAGGAAGAAGAAGAAGAAGAAGCGGCAGCUUGCUUUGCCCUCUCAGGGAUCUGUGGUGCUAUUUUAUAUUUGGAAGCUUUGAUAAUUGAAUAAUUUAAUGAAUAGUGAUAUCGCCGGCUUUUGUCAUGUGAGAGACGCGUGCCACAAUCUCCUUUACGUGUUGAGAAGACAGAUUAAGCCCCGAGGGAAGCGAGACAAUCCCACGUCGAAACAUGACACCACGACCUUGCUUGAACAGGGUCUCACGUUUAAAUUAAUCUUUUGGCCGAGUCCAACUGGUAAAAUCAACUUGAAGUUCUGAAAUUUAAGAUUGGCCAGGUCAAACAUGGGUUGCAACGAAGCAAUCCUCUUGUUUAAUUCGCCAACCAGCUAUUGUCUAUCACACAAAUAUCAAAUCUUAUAAUAAUAAAUAAUUAACAUUGAAAAUAUCCAUAGAACGUAUCGAUACUUGUCCAUUGACGCAUAUACCAAAGCAUUGUUUUAGGUUUUAUAUCCUUGGCCUCCUUCAAAUCCUAAUCUUAGCUCUGCAAUUGCAAAUGCAAUGCCGAGUCCAGCAAUCCCUCGUUCAACUUCUGAGAUUUUAAUCUCCUCUUCCUCUUCAUCCAAGAUUCGCCUUCCAUCUUCCACUCGCUCUACUAGCUCAUCUUCUCGAUCUAACAAGUCCUCCUACUGGCUUGCUUGGAGCAACGUUAACAAGCUUGGAAACUUCAUCACCAUUGGAAGAAAGAGCAGUGAGUUAUCUCAUUCUGAUUUGACAGAGGAAAGCCUUGAAGCUCAUAAUAGAAGACAAGAAGCUUUCAUAUUACAGAAUCAAAGGGUUGAUUAUAAGAACGCUAAGUGCAGCCCUUAUUAUAAAGGACUUACUGAUUAUUCACUUGAUAUAAACCGUGAGAAGCAUCAUUUGAAUCAGUCUUCUAGCCCUGGACGUGAAAGCCAUGCUACUACUUUUGUUUCCAAUUCAAGUUCUAUUUCCUCUUUCGUUCUUGUUAAGAUUCAAGAAUGGACUGCUUGCUUCUCUUCCCUCAAGUAUUCUUCUACUAAGGACAAGCAAAAUCAUGUUCCUGCUCCGGCUCCGGCUGCUGCUCUGGCUUCAGCUCCUGCUCCUCCUGUUCCUGUUCCUGUGCCUGAACAUCCAGUAGAAAGUACGCCCUUGGAGACUGAUAAAAUUGUUUCAUCGGUUAUUCAAGAGGAGAAGCCAUUGAGGGAGAGAGUAUUGCCAUCAGAACCUGAACCACCAUCAUCAUCACCACCACCACCACCACCACCACCACCACCACCACCGUCACCACCAUCCAUAAAGGCUGAGGCGCCUGCAAAAGUUGAUGAGAAAAAUGAUACAGCCAUUGACAUGUUGGAUGGGAGGAAGCAGUUUACUUGGGCAGACAAGUAUCGUCCCAAAGCUUUGAAAGAUUUUAUCUGCAAUCAAGCUACUGCCACUAGGGUGCAGGGUCUGGUAGGAUUUUUCAUUCAAUUUCUUGAUUUUCUUUCAUCAUACUGCUUUAUUUGAGAAGGAUUUGAGCUAAGAUGUGCCGUGGCUUUGCAUCACUUUACAGAUAAAAGGCGAAGAGUGUAAUCACUUCAUAUUCGAGGGACCUACUGGUGUGGGAAAAAGAACCAUGAUCUCGGCUAUGCUUCGAGAAGCAUAUGGGCCCGACAGAGUGAAGGUUUUUAUUUCUUUUUGUUCAUAUUCGUAAUGAUCUGCUACUUUUAUUUAGCAAAGCUUUUCAAUAGAACAUGAGAUUAAAGCGUUGGUAAUAAUUAAUAUAAAUUUAUGAAUAACUAGAUUCUUGAACCUCCAAUUGAAUUUCUUAUGUGAUCAUCACUGCUUUUACGACUUCAAUUUACAAACUUUUAAAGAAGUAUUGAUGCCUGCAUAUUUUUUCUGUUGAUUUUACAGACUAGGGAAGAGUCCAAAGCAUUUUACUUGAAGGUAAUUUUCAACCCAUUUUACUAUUGUUAGAAUAUAAUAUCACCUCCCUUCUGCUGUGUGCUUUAAAUACUAAUUUGAGAAAAUUUAAAAAAAAAAAAUAAAAAACUAUAAAAGAUAACUCCAAUUUCAUCACUUCUUUGAAUGUUGAUCACAGGGAGAAUCAGUUGGGAGUAUAGAAGUAAAAAUUAAGGUAUCUUCUCAACAUGUAGAAGUCAAUCUCUCUGAUCUGAAAGGCUAUGAGAAACAUGUCAUCGUGGACCUUAUCAAAGAAACCAGUAAUGGGAUGUCGAAGAAAGGUUUGCAGUCGAAAACUGACAGUUGCCGAGGUAUAUAUAGCGUUUUAUUUCAACAAUGAUUUAAGACAUAAAUCUUUUCCUUGAAACAAACACACAAUCCUAGAGAAAAAACGUGGUUCGACCUUACGUUCUACAUACACAGAUAAGGCAGCUCUCAAAUCUCCCAAAACCCUAACCCUAAUGUAUUUCCCUCCCAACACAGAUUCUCAUUUUUAUCCAAUUCAAGUUACAGGCAAUAACAAAAUAUACCCAAAAUUGAAACCACAUAAUUAACACCUCUGCUAAUAAUUUCCAGGAAAAUGCAAUGCCUGAAACAGUACAACAACGACUAAUUAUUUUUGUGCAGCAAUCAUUUUAUACAAUGCAGACAAGCUAUCUGCAGAUGCUGUCCUGUACAUUAAGUGGCUAUUGGAAAGAAAUAAAGGGUCCAGUAUGUUUUUCUUCUGCUGCUCUGAUGUCUCAAAGCUUCAGCCGGUCAAGGAACUCUGCACAUUUGUUCAGCUUCACCUGCCUUCAAACGAAGAGGUGGGAAUGCUAUAUAUGACAGGAUUUACAGUAAUGGUUAAUCUGAAACCAGAAAUAUUAUAUAUCUCUCCAGGGUUUUUAAUAGACUGCUAUUUUUCUAUGUCAACUUUUUCCAUGUUUAGAUUGUUGAAGUUUUAGAAUUUAUAGCAGAACAAGAAGGCAUAGAUUUGCCACGGGAAUUCGCUGAAACUAUAGCUAUAAACUCUAAGAAUAAUCUGCGUCAAGCCAUUCGAUCUUUAGAGGCCUCCUGGGAGAGAAGGUAUGAUUUGGUUCAUAUCAUUCAAUAUCAUAUAAAUGUCUGCUUUACGAAAAUUUAUUCUAUAUAACUAUUGCAUGUAAUAAAACUGCUUUGACGUCCUCUCACCUUGUGACCUUCUAACGAUCUUUGCCUUGGCAGUUAUCCAUUUACAGAAGAUCAAAAAUUCUUGACCGGGUGGGAAGAUGAUAUUGCAAAUAUUGCCAAGGACAUGGUCCAAGAACAAAGUCCCAAACAGUAAGUUAUAUCCGACCACAAUACUAUGUAAACAUUUUUAUAAUAUUAUAAUAUUUAUAAACUUUACAAGAUAUAUAUUAUGAUUUUUAUAAUAAAAUAUAAACAUUAAAAUAUUUUUUAUAAUAUAAUUUUAUAUUAUAUUUAAAAGUAAUAUAACAAAUAUAAAAACAUACAAAACAUUAAAUAAAAUUAGUAUAUAUAAAUCUAGGUGAAAAAUCUUGUGAUUUUCACUAUUUUUUUUUAUUUUCUUGCAGUGUAUGUUUUGGAUGAAAUUUACUAUAAUUUUAAAUAAUAUAUCAAUUUUAGAUUAGAUGAGUGCAUAAGUUCAAUUUUGUGUGCUUACAAGAAUUUUCCAGUUCUCCUAACCCUAAUAUAUGGCAGUCUCAGACUAUGAACGCCCUUUAAUAUAGCUAGGAUUAUAAAGGCUUCAAAAUACAGUUGCAUCAUUUUUGCAAAGUAGGAUUCGCCCGAGUACCCGUCCGCAGAUUUCUCCCUAUUGAGUGUACAGUAGAUUAUGGAAUGUCUGCCAUUAACAGCAUCUCAUACUGUGAAACAUGAUCCAUAAAUUUAAGUUGUAAUUUACUUGUGCUUUGCAGGCUAUAUAUCAUACGUGGGAAGCUUCAAAACCUAAUAGAGCAUGAUGUAUCACCUUCCUUUAUUUUCAAAGUAGGAGCUUCACAGUCCUUGUACUCUCUUUUAUAAGUUUUCUUCAACAGAUUCAGAGAGCCUCUAACGUUUGAAUACUGGAUUGAAUCAUGAUGAUACAGGCUCUGGUUGAAGAACUGAAAGGCAAUUUGGAUACUUUCUGCCAACUGCAACUUGACAACUUGUACAAGGAUUACAUUUUAAGAGAAAAACUCUCGUUAGAAGAUGGUAAAAGGCCUCAUGAUUCUGCCAAACACAAAUUUCAGAAAUACAUGAACAUUGAAGGUAAAAUACAAGCUCAAAAAUACAGAAAUUCUUCAACCUUAGAUAAUGAGAUAAUAUUAUAUGCCCAUGAAAACACAUGCAUGCCAAUAUUGCUCUAUGUUAAUAAAAGGCUUAUUGGCUCAAAAAGACCGCAAUUUUAUGAGUUUUCAUAUUUAUAGCUAAAACUUUUAAUUUUAUAUUAAAAAUUUCAACUUUCAAAUUUAUUAUAAUUAUAAUAACUUUUUAAAUUAAUUUUGAUCAGAUUUAAAUCUUAGAUCAUAUGACAUUCCAUGAGUCAUUAUUUUUACUAUAUGAGUAAUUUUAUUAACUGAAAUUAAAUUUUGAUUAAGAUAUUAAACCCUUAAUUAUCUAAAAUUCUCAAUUAAAAUCCUUAUUUAAGUAAGAGAGAAUCAAGUAUUUCAAUUAUAUAAUUUGAAAAUUUCAUAUAAUUAAGGGUUUAAAUUCUUAAUUAAAGUUAAUUCCAGUUAAUCAAAUUGCUUAUAUAGUAAAAAAGAAUGUCAUCUAACAAUAUAAGUUAAUUUAAAUUUGAUUAAAAUUAAUUUAAAAAGUUUCUAUAAUAAUAACAAAUUCAAAAAUUGAGACUUUUUAAUUCAAAAUUAAAACUUUUGACUAUAUAAAAAAUCGUAAAAUUGUAGUCUUUUUAAACUAAUAGACCUAAUAAAAAUAAUUGGGUGUAAUUAAUAUAAACUCAGACUCUUAUGAAAAUGAGUUUUAUGAUUGUUAAAUUUUAGCAGAAAAGACUUGUAAUGUCCCUAAAUUAUUUAAGGAUGGAAUUAAGAGGAUAUUAUGAUUCUAAUCAUCAUGUAGUAUAAAUAUUCUGUAACAUCUUUAGACCAAUUUGAAUUCAAAAGAAAAAACAAACAACUCUUUAAGUCUAUAAAAUAUAGGAUGAGAGUCAAUUGAAAAUUCAUAUAUUAUGUAUGGAUAUAAAUAUUAGGUUACUGAAUACUAACGGUGAAAUUAAAUAUCCAUAUCGACCGCAUUUAUAAUUUAUGUUAUCUUAUACUAAAUACAAUAUUAGAUCUAACAAAUAUUAAACUCAUAAAAGUAAGAUAAUAGCUAACAACAAAAAUAACAAGAAUUACAUAGGGUUCCAUCUUCUUUUCAUAAUCUAAAAUUCAUCUUUGUUUCCCUCUGCAGAGUUCAUAGCAAAAUUUAUGAGCUUGUACAAGUUACACAUCACCACUUCCAAAAGCAUGGAACAUGAUAGUGAAGCAUGAGGGAAGUUGAUCAUUAACAACAAUCAACAUCUGUGGUUGCAGCAAAUUUGCAUAUCUGGUAUUGCUUGUAAAAUAAAUAUAAAAAUUUUACAAAGAAAAACAAAAGGAAAAAUACUUGGAAACUGAAAAUGGUAUAUGAAAUAUUAUAGAGAAGAAGAUGAUGAUGAUGCUGCUUAGGGUUAAGCCUUAUCAUAUGGAUAAGUGUUGUGGUUUGAAUAAAUGCUGUGUAUGCUAGUAGCUUAUAAAUGUUGAUCAUUUAAUAAAAUUUUCUAGCAGACAUGCACCAUUGGUAUUUCAAUGUCCAUUAAGAUUUUUAUUUAUUUUAAAUUUUUUUGGGGAAGGCCUAAUUAAUGCGUUGAAUAAUGAUAAUGGCUCACAAGAAAAUAUCUCUCCGAGGAGAAAUAUUUUUUAAUAUUUUUAAUUCUUUAUUGAUGAUAGUUUGAUUUUUAUUUAAUUCGAAUCGAACCUUUUUUUUAAUUCGAUUGUGGUUCAAUCUAAUUUGUUGAAAAAUAUUCUUGUUACUUAUGAAAAGCCGAGUGGUCAAAUUAUUAGUUUUUUAAGUUCUCUAUUUCUUUCGGUAAGAAUACUCCUCUGAUCAUCGAGAAUCAGCUUGCUCUUUGUUGGGUAUGGUCUAGAAAGAUUCUCUUGGUUCUUAUUUAGGUUUGUAGUUAUAUUUUGGGUGUAAUCGAAAAGUAAUUUUUAAGUUUAUAAAAGAUAGGUCUAGAAGAAAUUGAAUUUUUGAAAGCGGAAACCUUUGUCUCAAAUAGAUAAAAAAAUUAUGAUUAAAACUAUUUUACAGGAUCUCCCUAAUUAUAUUAUGAGCCUUUUCCUGUUACUGAAAACUUUGUGCUAUCUCAUUGAAUGGAUUGCGAAUGUUUUCUGGUGGAGUAAAUGGAAGCAUUUUACAAAAGGAAUUUAUUGGAUAGCCUGGGAUCGGAUGGCAAAGCACAAAGCAGUUGGUGGUUUGGAUUUUAAGCGGAUUUGUGAUUUCAAUCUGGCUUUACUAUGCAGUGCAAGCAGGGUUGGCGGGGCUGUUAUCUCAUCCUGACUCUUUGGUAGAUCGGGUCAUGAAGGCAAAAUACUUUCCUUCUUCCUCCUUUUCUUCUGCUUUGCUUGGUCAUAAUUUAAGCUACAUUUGGCGUUCCAUUUGGCAAUCUUAUAAUAUUGUUCAGGCUGGAGUUGUUUGGUGUGUGGGUUCAGGCAAGGACAUAUCAGUUUGGCACUCCCCUUGGCUUUAUGAUCAUGCUAAUUCUUUUGUUACUUCCUCUUUGCUUGUUAAUGGGGCUAAUCUGUUGGUUUUGGAUUAAUUUGAAGGCCGACCUUGGAACUUUCCUCUCACCUCAUCUCUUUUCAAUGAUAGAGAUAAGCAUAGUAUUCUUUCUAUCCCUUUAGGUUUAGCCUCUGGUCCUGAUUGCCUUAGUUGAAAAUUUGAGCAGAAUGGCUUAUACUUAGUUAAGAGUGCAUACAAGCUGCUUCAAUCUCACAACUCACCUAUGCCUUUGAUUUUGGAGUGUGGUCUAAGCUUUGGCAGUCUCCUGAUCCUCCUAAGGUUCUAAAUUUUGCUUGGCAUGCUCUUUCUCAUGUGCUUUGUGGUGUUUCUAUUUUGCAACACUGUCAGGUGCAGGUAUGUAAUCGAGGGAUCGAAACAAUUAUGCAUAUUUUAGUUCAAUAUUCUUUGCCCAGAAUGUUUGGAUGUUAAUUGAUUUGGGUCGGCAAGUUCCUGAUUUGCCUACUUUGACGGAUUGGUUUUGUGAAAUUUUUGUUCGAACUUCACCUGAUAUGAGCACCAUAAUUCUUACGGCUUGUUGGGCUCUUUGGACCAACUGCAAUUCUAUUGUCUGGGAUCACGCUGGUAAAAUUCCAGAUCAAAUAUUUCAUAUGACUAUUCAUUUUCUUCAGAAUUGGUCUACAAUUUCUUUUCUAGCCCAUCUUCAGCUUCUGCAAAUCCUUAUCGUUCUUGACAGCGACCACCUGAAGGUUGGAUGAAGAUUAAUAUUGAUGCUUCUACAGGUGCUGGUAUGAGUUUUAUUGGUUUUGGUGUUAUGGAACGUUGUUGCUCAUUUUAUUGCAACACAAACUUGGCCUCGAAUGGGCUUUUUUACUACAAAAUCUAUUGAAAUUAUUAUGUAUGUAUUUUUAUCAUAUGAAAAAUUAUAUUUUAUAUUAAUAAUAUUAAAUAAAAUAAAAUAUUAUAUAUUUUAUUAUAUAAAAUAAUUUUCUCUAUAAUUUUUAUAAAAAUUUAGAUAUAUUAAUCAUGUUUCUUAUAAGUUAUUUGAGAUAUUUAAUAUUUUUAUUUUACUCACCUAUAUAAUAAAUAAAUUUAUGAUAUAUAUUAAUUUAUUAAUUAAUGAGAUAAAAAGUUAUAUUUUAUAUUAAUAAUAUAAAAUAAAAUAUUAUAUAUUUUAUAAUAUAAUUUUUUUAUAUUUUAAAUUUUUGUUAAAUUAUAAUACGUGUAUAAUAAAGAAAAAUGAAAAGUAAAUAAGAAGAUUAAUAAAAAAAGAUAUUAUUGAAAUAAAAAUAUAUAUUUUAAGAAUUAUUUUAUUAGUUAAAUAAAAUUUUAGGGACUAUAUUAUAUUUUUUUAAUAAUAUUUAGAUUUAAUAUAAAUAUUAAAUGGUUCAUGCAUGGGAAAAUGGUUCAACCACCCCAAAUUCAAUAUUUGAGUAAACUCAUGAUCAUAUUUCCAUUUUGUCCAAACAUUAAAUUUUUUUUUUAAUUUGUUGCUUUUAUUUAUUUUAUUAUUUAAGAAGGAAAAACUUGGAAUUCAUUAAAUAAUAACAUAUGACCUUAGAAAUUUGAUUAAAUAAUUACUCAGUAAAAAAAACAAAUUUGAGCCUCUAAUAUGUAAAUUACAAUUUUAUUAAUGGAUGAACAUAUGGUAUACAUACCAUAAAUUAGAGACACCGUUUUAUAAUUUUUAUUUAUCUUUAUUUUUUUAAUUAUUUUAAAAUUAUUAUUCAAUUUUUUAUUAUAAUAAAAUAUAAAUGGAAUAUUAUAAUUCUAUUUUAUUUUAUUUUAUUUUUAAAUUUUUUUUAAAAAUAUCUCUUAAUAUUUAAUAAUAUAUAAUAUUUUUAAAAUAAAUAUAAUUAUAAAGAUAUUAAAAAAUAUUAUUUUUUUAAUAUGUAUAAAAUAGUAAAGUAAAUAAAAAUUAUAUAAAAAGGAAAUAUGAUAUAUUGAUAAUGACAUAAUGAUAAUAUUCUCAUAUAAUGUGUAUUAUAAUUAAAAUUUUAUUAUUUUAUUUUAUAAAGUUAUAGGAUAGGUAAAUAAUUAUGUGGUUUGAAUUAUUGAGAAUAUAUUUAAGGCCUAUUGAAUAAAUUUUUAUAAUUUAAAUAUUUACGUUAAUUUAUAUUUAUAUUUAAAAUUUAAAAUUUUUAUAAUAAAAUUAAUUUUUUUUCAAUUUAUCAUGAUAAUAAUCAAAAUAAGUAAAUUGAAUCUAAAAAAAUUAAUGAUAAAUUAUAAUGUAAUCCCUAAAAUUUUUUAUUAAUAAAUAUAUAGUCUUUUAUAUAAAAAUAAAUUUAUUUUAUAUUUAUCAUAUAUAAUAUUAAAUAAAUAUUUAUUAUAAAUAAAAUUUUCACUACAUAAAAUAUCAUAUAUGAAUAUUAUAUAUUAAAAUAUUUUAUGAAAGAUUUAUAUUUACCAUUAUAAAUUAUUAUGUAUGUAUUUUUAUCAUAUGAAAAAUUAUAUUUUAUAUUAAUAAUAUUAAAUAAAAUAAAAUAUUAUAUAUUUUAUUAUAUAAAAUAAUUUUCUCUAUAAUUUUUAUAAAAAUUUAGAUAUAUUAAUCAUGUUUCUUAUAAGUUAUUUGAGAUAUUUAAUAUUUUUAUUUUACUCACCUAUAUAAUAAAUAAAUUUAUAAUAUAUAUUAAUUUAUUAAUUAAUGAGAUAAAAAGAUAUAUUUUAUAUUAACAAUAUAAAAUAAAAUAUUAUAUAUUUUAUAAUAUAAUUCUUGUAUAUUUUAAACUUUUGUUAAAUUAUAAUACGUGUAUAAUAAAGAAAAAUGAAAAGUAAAUAAUAAGAUUAAUAAAAACAGAUAUUAUUGAAAUAAAAAUAUAUAUAUUAAGGAUUAUUUUAUUAGUUAAAUAAAAUUUUACGAAUUAUAUUAUAUUUUUUUAAUAAUAUUUAGAUUUAAUUUAUUUCUCUUUAUUAUAAUUAGAUAAAAUAAAAAAAAUUAAUUUUAUUAUUCAAAAUUUAAAAUUUUAGAUAUAAAUAUGAAUAAAUUUAAACUUCUUAAUUUUUUAUUUAAUAAAUCUUUUAAAUUUUAAACACAUGAAUAAAAAUAUUUUAUUAAAUUAAUUAAAAUAAAUAAUUAAAAUUAAAAUAAAUAUAAAAGAUUGAUUUUAUUAUUUAAAAUUUUAAAAUUAUGGUAUAAAUAUAAAAAAUAUAAAUAUUUAAUGACCAUAUAUUUAAUAUUAAUAAUAAAUAAUCUUUUUUUUAAAAAAAAAAACUAAUAAAAGUCGAGAAACAUGAAAGUGAUUGUAAUAAUAUUGUUGGGUAGUGGUUUGUGCUUUGCAUGUUUGUCAUGAUUCCACAUUUCCCAUGUUCCCAUGCCAUGAUGCUUCAUGCCAAACCGCCCAUUUCCAAUGACUUUCUUUAUCAAAAUUCCAGUUAAGAUAAUUAAAUACUCAAAUUUCCCAAUUAAUUAUUUAUUUAUUCCAUUCAAUUUCUUGAAUAAUUGUAAUGUGGGGAUAGCUACGCAAUUCUUCAAGUUGACAAAAGAUAUUGUUAGAAAUUUUUACUACAUUCACACUUAGGUUAGUACUUUUAUUAGUUUUCAUGUGAAUAGGAAAUAUAUUAUUUGAAAAAUUUUGAAAGAGGAUAAAGAUAUGAGGUAAAAGGGAAGCAAUCGAGCUUUGAAUAGUUUAAAUUUAAAUUGAAUUUGAUUUUAAAUUUAAUUAAUUUAAGUUAAAUAUUAAUAAUUUAUUUUUUUAAAGUAAAUUUAACACCAAAUAAAAAGAGAUAUCAUCUCAAAUAAAGAGAGAUAUCAUCUCAAAUAAAGAAACGAUAAUAUCUAAUAGAUUUUCUAGUUAAAGUAUGAGUAGUUAGAGUGGCAUGAUGACGAAACCAUCUAAUAGAAAUAUCAGUUCUAGAGUCUAACAAAUAUUUACAAUCAUUCAAAAUCAAACCCAGUUCAGAAAUGUCUAAAUGUAGAGACUGAAGAGCUUGAAUCACCUGCAAACCGUCCAUAAGAAUGCAGCUAUUAAAAGGCAAAAAUUUCAUCGCAAAGAGCAAACAGUGAUGGAGAGCUAAAGUUUCAACAAUUACCGGCGUACCAUUACCUUCUGAGAAACCAGAAACACCACGUUGAAAUAUACCCUCAGAGUUUUCCACAACAAAAUCGUAUCCAAUAAAAUGUUGAACUUGAAACAAAGCCCCAUCAACUUAACAAAGUCAACUGAAAUUGUCUAAACUUGAAGAUGACGCACGAAUUUGGAGAGGAAUGACUUCAGGAUCACAAGCAGGGUUGGAGGAAUAAAACAGAUUCCUACUCUGAUAUAAAGUAGCAGUGGUAUUUACAUGCAAAGCACCAGCAUGUUGAGCAGCUUCCAAAUCUGAAAUAUGAUGCAUGACAUCUUCCACAAGGUGAGCUGCUGAAUUCUGCACCUGGUUCCAUAAUAAUGAGUUCCUUGCUGACCAUAAUCUCCAUGCACAGACCAUUACAACUAUUUUUCGAACCUUAUUUUGGGACUUCAAAAUCUGCAGUAAAAAAUUAAAAAAAUUAUCAUUAGGCUGCAAAUCUCUCACUCCCACUAACCUCCAAACUUCCUUGGACACAGAACAAUGCAACAAAAUAUGAUUGACACUUUAAUCUUCAUGGCACCAAGGACAUCUAGUAUCCACAUCCACACCCUUUUACCUUAAGUUAUCCUUUGUAGGCAAUAUAUUUCUACAAACUCUCCAACAGAAAUCCUUCACUUUUGGAGGGACCGAAACAUUCCACAAAUUAGUCCACAACUCACCCCCCACAUUAAAAGAUGAUCUUCCUAACAAGUCCAUACAUACAAAGUAUGCGGACUUCACCGUAUACACACUUCUUUUAUCAAAGUGCCACAAAAAGGAAUUUUUCUUAUUAGUAAUACUAAUAGAAAUACUAAUAAUAACCCUGAUAUCUCUUGAAGAAAAAAGCUCUAUUAAAAUAGCAAUGUUUCAAACCCUCCCAUUACCUUCAAAAAGAUCACAAACACGCAAAUGUGGUUCAAUAAAAUCGUGGACAUCAUCCGCAAAAAAGGUAUUCUCCUUAGGAAUCCAGGAGCUGAAGCCACUAAAAUUUUCUCUCCAUUACCCACCCUCCACCUUGUACCCCUUUGAAUCAACUUCCUUGAUGCCACCACACUUUACCAAACAAAGCUAGCACCAUUACUUACAUUGGCAGAAAAUAAAUCACCAUUUGGGAAGUACUUUGCUUUAAAUACUCUAUAACAAAGAGUAUUAGGAUUUGUUAAGAACCUCCACAGUUGUUUGCCAAGUAAAGAUAAAUUAAAACUCCUAAAGUCCCGAAACCUCAUACCCCCCUCCUUCUUUCUACUACAUAUCUUCUCCUACGCUAGCCAAUUAAUACCCAUCCGCCCUUCUCUUUUACCUCCCCCACCAAAAGCCAUUGACUAUUCUAUGCACUUCAUUCAAAAUAGUAAUGGGAAUCAAAAAAAUAUUCAUGCAAUAUGCAAGUAUAGCCUGCAACACAGAUUUUAUGAGAACCUCCUUGCCUGCUCUAGAUAGGAAUCUACUGCUCCAUGAAUUUAUCCUCUUCCACAUUCUUUCUUUCAGAAAACCAAAAAUUACUUUUUUGUUCCUCCCAAUAAGAGAAGGUAACCCCAGAUAGGCACUAUGACUCAAUAGUGAAUGAACAUCCAAUAUAUUACUGAUAUUAGACUUUACAGAGGAGACCACAUUGAAACUGAAUAAAAUGUCAGAUUUGUUGAAGUUCACCACUUGUCCAGAAGCAGCCGCAUAAGUAUUGAGAAUAGAUUUAAUAUUAUCUGCUUCCUCCAGUCUAGCAUUAAAAAAUAUCAGAGAAUCAUCUGCAAAAAGUAAAUGUGAGAUCUUUGGGCAUCUAGCACCUGCCUUACAGCCCUGCAACCAGCCUCUAGAUUCAGCAUCUUUAAGUAGUAACGAUAAGCCUUCUGCACACACCAAAUAGAGAUAUGGAGAAAUAGAAUCCCCCUGUCGAAGACCUCUACCAGGCACAAUAGGACCAAUUCAAUCACUAUUAAAAUUGAUAUUGUAAGAAACUUCCGAAAAGCACAUAGUCAACCACCUAAUCCAUUGAGUAGGAAAACCAAAUCGUUCCAGCAUGCCUUUUAGAAACUCCCACUCUACCAUAUCAAUAUCAAUUUUAAGUGCACAAUUACCAUCAUUUCUGCCCUUAUUAGUUUUCAUAUUGUGUAUCAUUUCAAACACAACCAUAACAUUAUCGGUAAUCAACUGAUGAGGAAUAAAGACAGACUGAUUCUCAAAGAUAAUUAUAGGAAGGACCCUUUUAAAUCUGUUCGCUAAAACUUUAGCCACAAUCUUAUAUAACACAUUACAUAACGCAAUUGGACGAAAGUCUUUAAUAGUUUCAGAGCUAUCCACUUUAGGGAUCAAAACAAUCAAUAUUUCAGUAAGAGAAGAAGAAAAAGUACCAGGCGACAACCAUCGGAAACAUCAUUGCCAAUCAAGUGCCAAAAUCUUUAGUAAAAUGCAGGAUUUAACCCAUCCGGCCCAGGUGCCUUGUCUGGAUGCAUCUGAAAAAGAGCAGCUCUAAAUUCCUCAUUCAAAAAGGGAGCACAAAGUUCAGCAUUAUCAGCAUCACUAAUCAAGGGCGGCACCAACUCAAAAAACCAUUUACAAUCCACAGAACCGCCAUAAAAAAAUAGACCGAAAAUAAUGCAGAACAUGAUUUUUAAUUUCCUGCUCAUCGUCAAUAUAGGUACCCGACUACUCCUUUAAUUUAGUAAUACGGUUCAUUCUUCGUCUACCAUUAAUUUGUGCAUGAAAAAAUUUUGUAUUUCAAUCCUCAUUUUUAAGCCAAAAGCACUUUGCCUGCUGUUUAAGUCUAGCUUCUUCCUGUUCAAGGAGAUGAUUCCAAUCUUCCUUCAAAGUGGCGUGAGAAACAGUACUAGGCCCAUUAUCCAAUAAUCUCUGUAUAGUCUUCUUUUUUUGUCAAAACUCUCUAUUUCUACUCCUACCCCACAAUGAAAGAGCAGAAACUAAAUCAUCACAUUUCAUCAAAAGGUUGCGUGGUAUAGAAUUAACCCAAGUUCCUUUAACAACCUCAGCCAGAUCCUCAUCACAUAACCAUACAUUAUCAAAUCGAAAUCUCCUUCUAUCUCCCCUAUUAUCCUUAGGAACUGUAUUAAUCACCAACGGUUUGUGAUCCGAUCUAGGAACAUGAACAACCGAGCAGACAACAUUAGUGAAUUUAUGAGCCCAAUCCUCAGUAGCAAGGGCUCUAUCGAGCUUCUCUCUGACCAGAUUAUUCGACUCCCAGCCCUUCUCCCAUGUGAAGAAAGAGCCAACAGUGGGUAUUUGAACAAGAUUACUAUCCUCAAGUGCCUGUCUAAAGAUAAUUUGGCAAAGUUGCUUCUCCUUCUUUUUCAUCUCUCGAACAUAAAUCAUUAAAGUCUCUCGAACAAAGCCACGGAAGAGAGUUUCUACGAGAUAAGGCUCCAAUAAGGUUCUAAGAUUGACGCCGUCGUUGCAAUUCCGGAAAUCCAUUAUAACCAGUAAACCUCCAUUGGACAUUACCUUGCAAAACAACCGAAUCAAUAAAAUUUGAAGAAAAGCCAAUCAUAGAAAUAGAUACAUGACUCUUUCACAUUAACAAAAGGCCUCCUCCCAAUCCUUAUCUAUUAACUGAGAAACAAUCAUCAAAAUGUAAAAAAUUACGAAAAAAUUUCAUACGAGAACUAAGAGCUUUUGUUUCCAUCAAAAAUAAAAUGUCCAACUUGUAACUAAUAACCAAAUCUUUCAAUGCAUUAACUGUCCGAGAACUGCCGAGUACUCGGCAGUUUCAAUACAGGACGAUCAUUGCUUUCGACUAUUCUGACUUUUGACAUGAUGAGCCGCUUCGAUAGUCAGUUUCAAUACAGGACGAUUAUUGCUUUCGACUAUUUUGACUUUUGACGGGAUGAGCCGCUUCGAUAAUCAAUUGACGCAGAUCGUCUUUCAUGAGAAAAGAAAAAAUAAAUUAAAUUUAAAAGAAAAAAAUGAGAGUAUUAAACCACAAAUAGAAAUUUGGCCAAAAAGCAACAAACUCGAGUAAAUAUUAAUAAUUUAUAACAUUUUUAAAAUUAUAAAAUCAAUUUAUAAGUUAAAUACCUUUGCAAUUGCAAUUAUGAAAAAAAUCAACUAUUUAAAGUAGUAAUAAUAACAAUGCUGUGCAGAAGCAGAAAAGAGAGAGAGAAAAUAAGAAUUUAAAAUCAGGAUAAAAAUGAUGUUACAAGCUAUUCUGGAAGCAUCGCUUCCUAUUUAUACCAGACAGACCCACAUGCACAGCACGUGCAUAUAGACAACUCAGUUCAGACAAAACGACACAGUUUAGAUGUUCAACACAAAAUAACAACCACAAGCAUUAAAACGACGUAGCUUUAACACCCCCUCCUCAAGUUGAAGCUGGGAGAGGCAAAAGAUUCAACUUGCGGGUUAAUGUGCCAUGGCGGGAGGCUGGUAAGGCCUUGGUGAAUAAGUCAGCCAGCUGUUCUUCAAUAGUGACAUGGUGAGGUAAUAUAAAUCCCCGUUGAAGUUGAUCUCUCACCAGGUGGCAGUCUAUCUCGAUAUGCUUCGUGCGCUCAUGGAAAGCCGGAUUGGCGGCAAUGUGUAUGGCAGCUUUGUUAUCGCAGUGCAGUGGAAUGGGCAAUUGGAUAUGAACCUGCAAGUCCUGCAAAAUAUAGCUAAUCCAGAGGAGUUCACACACAGUGUUAGCCAUUGCACGAUACUCAGCCUCAGCUGAGGACUUAGAAACAGUAGGCUGUUUCUUUGUUUUCCAAGAGACAAGGCAAGGGCCCAAGUAUAUGCAAUAUCCAGAUAGUGACUUUCUGGAAUAAGUGCAAGCUGCCCAAUCAGAGUCACAGUAGGCAUUUAGAGAUAAAUCAGUACUUACAGGAAAAUAAAGGUUCUGAUGUAAGGAGCCCUUAAGAUAGCGAAGCACAUGUAAAGCAGCCUCCCAAUGAGGCUUUUGGGGCAUGCUCAUAAAUUGGCUCAAGUGUUGCACAGCAUAACAUAUAUCAGGCGUUGUGAGAUUAACAUAAAGGAGCCUCCCAAGAAGUCUCCUAUAUAAAUCAAGUUUAUCAAAAGGCUCUCCUGAAUCAGGAGAUAAAUGCAAGCCUUGAGGUAAAGGACAAGAGGCAGGUUUAUAAUGAAACAUGCCUGCAUAUUGCAAUAUGUCUGAAAUAUACUUAGUUUGACUAAGUAAAGUUGUUUGAGAGGAUCUAGCAACCUCCAGGCCCAAAAAAUAUUUCAGGGGUCCCAAAUCUUUGAUAGUAAAUUUUGAAUGUAAAGCAAGCUUGCAUUCAGUAAUAGCAUCAAUAGAGUUUCCAAUUAAAAUAACAUCAUCAACAUAUAUAAGCAAUAUCAAAGUUAAAACACCAGUGUGCUGUGUAAAGAGACAAUGAUCAUGGGGGGACUGCACAAAGCCUAAGCCCUUUAGAAAAGUGGUAAAUUCAAUGUUCCAUUGUCUGGAGGCUUGUUUAAGCCCAUAUAAGGACCUUUUAAGCAAGCAAACUUGCCCUGGCUGGGCUUUGUGAUAACCUUGGGGAGGUGUCAUGUACACCUCUUUAUCAAGAUAACCAUGUAAAAAAGCAUUAUUUAUAUCCAAUUGAAAAAUAGGCCACUGUUUGGAAGUAGCAAGAGCAAUCAAAAUUCUUACAGUUGUAAGUUUGGCCACAGGUGAAAACCUAUCCUUAUAAUCCAACCCCUCAAUCUGGUUGUAGCCUUUGGCCACCAACCGGGCCUUAUAUCUCUCUAUAUCCCCAUUUGUCUUAAAUUUCACUUUAUAGACCCAUUUACAGCCUAUUGCUUUCUUACCCCUAGGUAAAUUAGUGAGCACCCAAGUGUUGUUAUUUUCCAAGGCCUGAAGCUCUUACUUCAUGGCUUCAACCCAAUGUGCAUCCUUAGAUGCUUGAGUGUAAGUACAAGGUUCAGAAACCUUGUUGACAUUGCAAAUGUAAGAUUGAUGUAAGGGAUGGAAGGUCAGGAAGGAUAUUUGCUGGGAAUUAACAUAGUCUUGCAUCCAGAUAGGGGCUUGUCUAUGCCUUUGUGUCCUUCUAACUGAAGGACAUUUCUGUAGGUCAUCACUGGUGUGACCAGAUGGACAGGAUUCAACAACAGGGCAAUCAUUCUCAAUCACAGGAAUAGGAAUCACAUAGUUUUCAAUCAGAUUGCUAUCUUGGAAGGGAAAGAUAUUUUCAUGGAAGAUAACAUCCCUACUAAUAAAGAAGGUUUUAUCACUGAUGUUAUAAAGCUUAUAGGCUUUGUGUGUGCUGGCAUAGCCUAUCAUCACAGCUUUAAUGGCUCUUUCUUGAAAUUUGUCCUUCUGAGUUCCCACAGAAGUAGCAAAACACAAGCAACCAAACUUUCUCAAGUGAGAAUAGUCAGGUGAGGUCCCAUAGAGCCUCUCAUAAGGUGUGGACCAACCAAAAUGCUCCAUAGGCAUUCUGUUAAUUAGGUAGGUUGCAGUUAAAAUGCAUUCUGACAAAAAAUGAAUAGGGACUUGUGAUUGUAUUUUCAAAGCUCUAGCAGUGUCAAGUAUGUGUCUGUGUUUCCUUUCUACAACUCCAUUCUGUUGUGGAGUGUAGGGGCAGGAUCUUUGGUGCUUAAUUCCCUUGCUCAUAAGCAGAGAGCUAUAAUUAUGGCUUAGAAAGUCUCUUCCAUUGUCACUUCUAAUGACUUUGAUGGUAGUAUUAAACUGAUUUUCUACCAUGUGUAUAAAGUAUCUAGUCAAGCUAAAAGCCUGACCUUUUAAGUGCAUCAUAAAGGUCCAUACAGCCCUACUAUAGUCAUCAACAAUGGUGAGGAAGAACUUAGCUCCAGUGAUAGAGCUGGUCUUAUAUGGCCCCCAUAUGUCAAUGUGAAUCAAUUCAAAAGGUUUUAAGGCUAAGGUGUGGCUUCUGGGAAAAGGUAAUCUGGCUUGUUUAGCUAAGGGGCAAACAGGACAUCAUCUCAUAGCCUCAUUAUUGAUGUUCAUGCCUUUAAUAUGUUUGAGCUUACCUACUGAUGCAUGCCCUAGUCUAUCAUGCAUGUCAUUCAUGGUCACUACAUGCUUAUGUGUCUGUUCAAGUUGCAUGGAAUGUUCUUUAUUCAAAUCCAUUUGGGAGAAAGUGCUUGUAACAGCCCGGGAACCGGUACCCCUCUGUAACGGCUCCGACCUGCUCGGCGCUAGGAUUCAGAUCGGCUUAAGGCCGCCGGAACCCGUAGCAAGCCUCUAAACAUCCUGAAACUCUAGGUAUAAUCCCAUACAUGAUCACCAUUUUCAUAAAACUUAAGCUUUGGUCUCAUAAAAACCUUUAAACUUGUUUUCCUUACCUCAGCUUGACCUAUGCAUGCAAACAUAGAACCUCAUACCAGAUGGGUCAUCAAGCUUGCUUUAAAACAUAUCCGCUUUGGGGUCAAGGGAUUGGAACCCUUUCUUCCCUCACGGGCCAUCCAAAACUCAUAACAUUUAAAACAUUUUCUCAAGAUCAUGCAUAACAAAAAGGGAUUUACCAAACUCUAGGCAAAGCACAAUUCUAUACAUCUCAUGCUACAUCACAUGGCAUAUCUAUACUUUUCUUAACUUGGCUCUAUCUCUUUAUAACAUUACUCUUUCUAUUCUUUCAUAUUCUUUAUAUACAUAAGGACCAUACAUCAAGUCCAUCUAUCAUGUCCAUAUAUCAUCAUGCUCAUGUCCACCACUAAACUAUGCAAGCAACAAACAUACAUAGCAUUACAUAACAUAUCAUCUCUUUAGCAACUUACAUUACAUAACUAUCACUAUCUCCAUAACAUAUACAAUAAGCAUCUCUCCUUAUACAUAACCAUCAACAAAACAAGCUAAGCUAUUACAACCAAACAUGGUAACCCAUGCUUGAACCUCUUCUAUCCCAUAGCUUACUCUGACUGAACUCUGGCUUGACAUACUCUGGCCCUGCAAAACUGGGGGUAAGGGAAUGGGGUGAGCUACAAGAGCCCAGUGAGUAGAAACAGAGAAAAACAUUUGCUUUAGUUCCUCCAUUUUUAGGUAUAUUAUUAUUCAUUUUAAUGUUCCACCCUUUUUAUGUAUUUUAUUAUAAAGACAUUUUAUUCAAUUAUUCUUCUUAUUCAUGCAUUCAUGAAAUGCGUCACAUCACAACUAUAGCACAACAAACAUCUCACCCCCGCUUGAGUUCAUGCUAGCAAAUCUCUUCCUCUUGCGGGUGAUUUUAGAGGGUUCACGUAACGUCCUUCCCCUCAGGGUUAGACAUGACCCCAACAUUCCCUCUGUCAAAACUUGGCCCCGAAGGAGCUCUCAUGGGGCUUUCCUACAUGUACUCGCCCGAUUGACAAAGACUCAUUGACAGACUUGCAGGCUAUUGAGGUCGCCUUGGUCCACCCAUCUCAUCAUAUACAUAGCACAUUAUGCAAUGCGUCACCUUCGUGAAACUAGUGCAAUCAUCCUAUAACAUAUGAACAUGGUGCAUGGGCAUGGUGAACUAGUGCAAACAUCCUAUUACAUAACAUGAUGUAUGAGUAUGCUUUAGGCAUUAAAUUCUUAAAAUAAAACAUUAAGUUAGUUCUACUCACCUGAAGCCUCUGCUCAACAAACUCAGGGUCAACUAGCACUGAAGCUAGACACCUCUCCUCAGGUCCAAUCCUACACAGAUGGACUCACAUGAGGUACUAAACACAUGCUAACAACUCAUAAGAANNNNNNNNNNNNNNNNNNNNNNNNNNNNNNNNNNNNNNNNNNNNNNNNNNNNNNNNNNNNNNNNNNNNNNNNNNNNNNNNNNNNNNNNNNNNNNNNNNNNNNNNNNNNNNNNNNNNNNNNNNNNNNNNNNNNNNNNNNNNNNNNNNNNNNNNNNNNNNNNNNNNNNNNNNNNNNNNNNNNNNNNNNNNNNNNNNNNNNNNNNNNNNNNNNNNNNNNNNNNNNNNNNNNNNNNNNNNNNNNNNNNNNNNNNNNNNNNNNNNNNNNNNNNNNNNNNNNNNNNNNNNNNNNNNNNNNNNNNNNNNNNNNNNNNNNNNNNNNNNNNNNNNNNNNNNNNNNNNNNNNNNNNNNNNNNNNNNNNNNNNNNNNNNNNNNNNNNNNNNNNNNNNNNNNNNNNNNNNNNNNNNNNNNNNNNNNNNNNNNNNNNNNNNNNNNNNNNNNNNNNNNNNNNNNNNNNNNNNNNNNNNNNNNNNNNNNNNNNNNNNNNNNNNNNNNNNNNNNNNNNNNNNNNNNNNNNNNNNNNNNNNNNNNNNNNNNNNNNNNNNNNNNNNNNNNNNNNNNNNNNNNNNNNNNNNNNNNNNNNNNNNNNNNNNNNNNNNNNNNNNNNNNNNNNNNNNNNNNNNNNNNNNNNNNNNNNNNNNNNNNNNNNNNNNNNNNNNNNNNNNNNNNNNNNNNNNNNNNNNNNNNNNNNNNNNNNNNNNNNNNNNNNNNNNNNNNNNNNNNNNNNNNNNNNNNNNNNNNNNNNNNNNNNNNNNNNNNNNNNNNNNNNNNNNNNNNNNNNNNNNNNNNNNNNNNNNNNNNNNNNNNNNNNNNNNNNNNNNNNNNNNNNNNNNNNNNNNNNNNNNNNNNNNNNNNNNNNNNNNNNNNNNNNNNNNNNNNNNNNNNNNNNNNNNNNNNNNNNNNNNNNNNNNNNNNNNNNNNNNNNNNNNNNNNNNNNNNNNNNNNNNNNNNNNNNNNNNNNNNNNNNNNNNNNNNNNNNNNNNNNNNNNNNNNNNNNNNNNNNNNNNNNNNNNNNNNNNNNNNNNNNNNNNNNNNNNNNNNNNNNNNNNNNNNNNNNNNNNNNNNNNNNNNNNNNNNNNNNNNNNNNNNNNNNNNNNNNNNNNNAAAACACUUAAAAACAUUUUAGAAAACCUUUCCUUUACCCUUGCUCUACCCCCCAAAGAGGAUCCGACACCCGAGAUUCCACCGGACGGUAGGAAUUCUGAUGUCUGAACGAGCGGGGUCUUACAUUCUUCCCCCCUUACAGAACAUUCGUCCCCGAAUGUUCAAACAAAAACACAAACAAACAAACAAAACCUCAAACUUGGGCUUGAACGCCACAAGCUUCUGCUGCGCUACUCUGAUCCUUCUCUUCUUCUUCCUUCACUGAUCUUACUCUUCUCUUCUGCUUUCUAUUCUACUCUUACUCUUCUCUGCUAUACUCUUACUCUCUGCAGGUACCAUCCCGUGAGGAAAAAGAGAAAUGGUUAUGGGUACCAGGCACCACCUCUGAACCAAACUCUACCUCCCUGACCGAUGGUAAACCUGAUACUAGCCUGAAACCUUUGAACACUCGCUCUAUCUAUGGCACCAGGGCUGGUUCCUAAACCUGCCUGCUGCCCUCUCAAACUCAACUAAAACUCUCUACUAACCAUUCCUAUACACUCUACGAGCCUGACAGCUGACAUCAACCUUCUAGGCAUCCUACACGGUCCUCUCUGAAGCCUACCUCAGACCCACUCUGCAUUUCGAUCCUGACCACCUUGCGCUGCAGACGCAAGUAUUACCAGCUCCACAAGUAGAAAACCAAUCCAUCCCCCGGCUGACAUCCAGACACUCAAGUCUAGGACCUCAUGCACGGGUGGAAGGCAUCUACCCUCAUCGGACACUGGCCUGAAUCUCAGCCACAGAUGGAUCCUACCCGGUCUACUAACCCAAAGAGAACACUCUACACCCAGAAGCUAUCAACUCAACCUCUCAAAGGCUCCUAGAGCAACAACAGAAAAGGGAAACACACUAGUGCACAAACACACACAUCAGAACAUGAACAAGUGAGCGUACCUGGCAUCACUGCGUUCGAUGUGUCUGCUCCCCUUUCUCGAUCACUGGCCUGAGCCACAACACCUGCAGCUCGCUGCUGGGACCACACCCUCCUGGGCGCAGUAGGACAAUCACGUGCGAAGUGCCCUUCCUGUCCGCACCUGAAGCAUGCCGUUGUCCCAACUCGACAAGGCCCUCUGUGCAACCUUCCGCACCUCAAACAUCUUGUAGGACCUCGGCCAGAACUCGAACCAUCUUCAUCAUCUAGCCUAAACCUCUUCCACAAUCUACCCUUUCUAGUCUUGCCCCAUUGCUUAGGGGCUCUGGCUCUUCCCCACUUUCUACCUCUCUUGGUAGCUGUACUCAGCAUGGAGGGAUCAACUUCUCCUGAACUUGAACUCUUAGAAGCCUUAGACUUUUCCAUACUUUCCUCAUCCAUGUUCACUUGCAAACUAACAUCCCUCCUCUGCACCAUAACUUCUUUGCAGACUUCUACAGACCUUUCAGGGUCUCUUGCUCUGUCAUCUCCACCUGACCUUGCAAGGGGAAAAGGCUCGCUUUCCCACUCAGAUGGAUCUGACUCCAUAGAGCUCCUAGCACCUUGCAUCUCAGCUUGUCUGAAACACAACAGGCACACAAGCACACAUAAGCAUCACAUCAUAUCAUGUGGUCCAUGACAAACACAUGAACGCACCACACAUAGCAUAGCAUCAUAUCAUAUGGUCCAUGUGAUAAACACAUGACCCCUCAAGCAACAUAUAUCAUGGAUGAACCUGUCACCUACAGCCUACAACAUAGCAGAACAUGCCAUGACCAACUGGGCCAAGGGCCACUCUUGGUCGCUCAGCUCAUCUCAUAUCAGUACAUAUCAUGCCAUCUCGCAGCUAAGGGACUAUCAACAUCCAUAAUACAACAUAAAUGCACAUGCAUCACACAUGGCAUUACACAUCAGCAUGCAAGACAUGACUCCUCAUCCUAUCCUAGUGGACAUGAUCUUACUCUUAAUCUCUCUUAAUGUGCUUGCCCUCCUAACAUCUAGCACAACCUCUUUCCGAUGUCUGAGCAUCUUCGCAUCAAAACACCGUACUCUCGAGGAACCUAUGCUCUGAUACCAACUGUAACAGCCCGGGAACCGGUACCCCUCUGUAACGGCUCCGACCUGCUCGGCGCUAGGAUUCAGAUCGGCUUAAGGCCGCCGGAACCCGUAGCAAGCCUCUAAACAUCCUGAAACUCUAGGUAUAAUCCCAUACAUGAUCACCAUUUUCAUAAAACUUAAGCUUUGGUCUCAUAAAAACCUUUAANNNNNNNNNNNNNNNNNNNNNNNNNNNNNNNNNNNNNNNNNNNNNNNNNNNNNNNNNNNNNNNNNNNNNNNNNNNNNNNNNNNNNNNNNNNNNNNNNNNNNNNNNNNNNNNNNNNNNNNNNNNNNNNNNNNNNNNNNNNNNNNNNNNNNNNNNNNNNNNNNNNNNNNNNNNNNNNNNNNNNNNNNNNNNNNNNNNNNNNNNNNNNNNNNNNNNNNNNNNNNNNNNNNNNNNNNNNNNNNNNNNNNNNNNNNNNNNNNNNNNNNNNNNNNNNNNNNNNNNNNNNNNNNNNNNNNNNNNNNNNNNNNNNNNNNNNNNNNNNNNNNNNNNNNNNNNNNNNNNNNNNNNNNNNNNNNNNNNNNNNNNNNNNNNNNNNNNNNNNNNNNNNNNNNNNNNNNNNNNNNNNNNNNNNNNNNNNNNNNNNNNNNNNNNNNNNNNNNNNNNNNNNNNNNNNNNNNNNNNNNNNNNNNNNNNNNNNNNNNNNNNNNNNNNNNNNNNNNNNNNNNNNNNNNNNNNNNNNNNNNNNNNNNNNNNNNNNNNNNNNNNNNNNNNNNNNNNNNNNNNNNNNNNNNNNNNNNNNNNNNNNNNNNNNNNNNNNNNNNNNNNNNNNNNNNNNNNNNNNNNNNNNNNNNNNNNNNNNNNNNNNNNNNNNNNNNNNNNNNNNNNNNNNNNNNNNNNNNNNNNNNNNNNNNNNNNNNNNNNNNNNNNNNNNNNNNNNNNNNNNNNNNNNNNNNNNNNNNNNNNNNNNNNNNNNNNNNNNNNNNNNNNNNNNNNNNNNNNNNNNNNNNNNNNNNNNNNNNNNNNNNNNNNNNNNNNNNNNNNNNNNNNNNNNNNNNNNNNNNNNNNNNNNNNNNNNNNNNNNNNNNNNNNNNNNNNNNNNNNNNNNNNNNNNNNNNNNNNNNNNNNNNNNNNNNNNNNNNNNNNNNNNNNNNNNNNNNNNNNNNNNNNNNNNNNNNNNNNNNNNNNNNNNNNNNNNNNNNNNNNNNNNNNNNNNNNNNNNNNNNNNNNNNNNNNNNNNNNNNNNNNNNNNNNNNNNNNNNNNNNNNNNNNNNNNNNNNNNNNNNNNNNNNNNNNNNNNNNNNNNNNNNNNNNNNNNNNNNNNNNNNNNNNNNNNNNNNNNNNNNNNNNNNNNNNNNNNNNNNNNNNNNNNNNNNNNNNNNNNNNNNNNNNNNNNNNNNNNNNNNNNNNNNNNNNNNNNNNNNNNNNNNNNNNNNNNNNNNNNNNNNNNNNNNNNNNNNNNNNNNNNNNNNNNNNNNNNNNNNNNNNNNNNNNNNNNNNNNNNNNNNNNNNNNNNNNNNNNNNNNNNNNNNNNNNNNNNNNNNNNNNNNNNNNNNNNNNNNNNNNNNNNNNNNNNNNNNNNNNNNNNNNNNNNNNNNNNNNNNNNNNNNNNNNNNNNNNNNNNNNNNNNNNNNNNNNNNNNNNNNNNNNNNNNNNNNNNNNNNNNNNNNNNNNNNNNNNNNNNNNNNNNNNNNNNNNNNNNNNNNNNNNNNNNNNNNNNNNNNNNNNNNNNNNNNNNNNNNNNNNNNNNNNNNNNNNNNNNNNNNNNNNNNNNNNNNNNNNNNNNNNNNNNNNNNNNNNNNNNNNNNNNNNNNNNNNNNNNNNNNNNNNNNNNNNNNNNNNNNNNNNNNNNNNNNNNNNNNNNNNNNNNNNNNNNNNNNNNNNNNNNNNNNNNNNNNNNNNNNNNNNNNNNNNNNNNNNNNNNNNNNNNNNNNNNNNNNNNNNNNNNNNNNNNNNNNNNNNNNNNNNNNNNNNNNNNNNNNNNNNNNNNNNNNNNNNNNNNNNNNNNNNNNNNNNNNNNNNNNNNNNNNNNNNNNNNNNNNNNNNNNNNNNNNNNNNNNNNNNNNNNNNNNNNNNNNNNNNNNNNNNNNNNNNNNNNNNNNNNNNNNNNNNNNNNNNNNNNNNNNNNNNNNNNNNNNNNNNNNNNNNNNNNNNNNNNNNNNNNNNNNNNNNNNNNNNNNNNNNNNNNNNNNNNNNNNNNNNNNNNNNNNNNNNNNNNNNNNNNNNNNNNNNNNNNNNNNNNNNNNNNNNNNNNNNNNNNNNNNNNNNNNNNNNNNNNNNNNNNNNNNNNNNNNNNNNNNNNNNNNNNNNNNNNNNNNNNNNNNNNNNNNNNNNNNNNNNNNNNNNNNNNNNNNNNNNNNNNNNNNNNNNNNNNNNNNNNNNNNNNNNNNNNNNNNNNNNNNNNNNNNNNNNNNNNNNNNNNNNNNNNNNNNNNNNNNNNNNNNNNNNNNNNNNNNNNNNNNNNNNNNNNNNNNNNNNNNNNNNNNNNNNNNNNNNNNNNNNNNNNNNNNNNNNNNNNNNNNNNNNNNNNNNNNNNNNNNNNNNNNNNNNNNNNNNNNNNNNNNNNNNNNNNNNNNNNNNNNNNNNNNNNNNNNNNNNNNNNNNNNNNNNNNNNNNNNNNNNNNNNNNNNNNUGGCAAACGCCUCCUUGGUCUUUCUCUUCAAAAACUCAACUCUUUUCUAUUUAAAACCAUAAAACACUUAAAAACAUUUUAGAAAACCUUUCCUUUACCCUUGCUCUACCCCCCAAAGAGGAUCCGACACCCGAGAUUCCACCGGACGGUAGGAAUUCUGAUGUCUGAACGAGCGGGGUCUUACAGUGCUAUUUACAAAGCUGUGAAGAUCAGCAUUAGAGUUCAUGAUUUCAAACAAACAAUUCCUUACAUCAGAAUGAGAAAAACUCAUUUGGUUCAGCCUGAAGAGGCCUCUUUGUUUCUUGCCUAUGGCCACCACCUUCUUAUUCAGUGGGUCCUGUAUAAGGCAAUAAUCCUUCCACAUUACUAUACAGUAGCCAUGACUAUUCAUUAAUUGACCAACAGAAAUCAAGUUAUAUUGAAAGUGUGGAAUGUAAAGAACAUCAUCUAAAAUCAAUUUGCCAAAGAGAUUUAGCUUUUCAGAUUGAGUAACCUGAGUUGUUUUCCCAUCUGGAAAGCACACACAUAUGUGCUUGUGUAGUGGAUGUAAAGCGGUGAACAGAUUGCUGUCUGAACACAUGUGAUUUGUGGCUCCAGUGUCUAGGAUCCAAUUAGAGUCAGUUUGCAUUUGUGCAUUGCAAGUGUUAUAGACAGUAGACUUACCUGCAAAGUCCAUGAAAUGUGCCUCAGAUCCAUGAGAUGUGCUUGGAGCAAGAGUUCCUUUCCCUUUUACAAGCUGGGAGACUUCUUGUUUUAAAGAGCUCAGCAUGGAUGUCAAUUCAUGUAUUUUACUUGAUGUGUCUAAAUAUUCCAAAGGAUUAUCCUCUUCUAACUUGUUUCCCUCAAUAGCAGCCAUAAUUUCGGUGCUUCUAUUUCCUUUGAAAGAUUGGGUUCCUGCCUUGUUAUUACCCUUGAACCAAUCAGGAUACCCAAUCAGCUUAAAACACCCUUCUCGAGUGUGGCCAUCCAUGUUGCAGAAAGUGCAGUGGCCCUUCUUGACCUUAGACCUUUUUGGUCUGGACAGAUUCUGAGCUUGAGCCUUAUUUAAUAAGGCAAGAGAUUCUGAGUUGUCAUUCAUUGCCCCCAGAAUCUCCUUUUGAGACUCAAAUUUUACAACCAUUGAAUACGCCUUGUUUACUGUUGGUAAAGGGUCCAUCCCCAAUACCUGAUCUCUCACAGACCCAAAGGCCUCAUUCAAGCCCAUUAGGAAUUGCAUGAGCCUAUUCCUGUUUGUUAUUUCAGCUAUGUCCCUAGAGGCACCACAGGUGCAUGUUGGAAGAGGUUCGACUGACCCAAGCUCAUCCCACAGCCUCUUCAGCUUAGUGAAGUAGACAGAUACAGACCGAUUUUCUUGGGAGAUGAGAGAUAUUUUCCUGUGCAACUCAUAGAUCAUAGGACCAUUGCACUCUCCAAAUCUCUCGCAUAUCUCUUGCCAGAGAUCUCUGGCAGAGGCGGUAUAUAUGAAACCAUCGACUAACUCCUUAGAGAUGGAGUUGAGAAUCCAAGAUGUGACCAUGAAGUCACAUCUUUUCCACUGUUCAUAACCUUCACUGUCUUUACUAGGUGCCGAAGUAGUGCCUUCGACAAAACCUAAUUUCAUCUUGGCUCCUAAGGCUAUUCUAAUAGCCCUACUCCAAGAUCUGAAAUUAGUUCCUACAAGAGGUGCGAAAACUAGGCUCAUACCUGAAUGGUCAGAUGUUUGAAGACUCAGUGGGUCUCCCAUCCCCGCACUCGCGAUCGAUCCCCUUCUGUUCCUUACUACUGCUCGCCAUGACCAGAUCUUUCGAAAAAACCAAGGAUCUCUCAUAUGCAACCGGCGAUGCGCCGGUGUGAGUUAGGGUUCAGGCUCUCCAUAUACAGAAGCAAAAACGAGAGAGAAAACGAAAGCUCUUAUUAAAAUCAGGAUAAAAAUAACGUUACAAGCUGUUCUGAAAGCAUCACUUCCAUUAUUUAUACCAGAUAGACCCACAUAUACAGCACAUGCAUACAGACAACUCAAUUCAGACAAAACGAUACAGUUUAGACAAAACGAUACAUUUUAGAUGUUCAACACAAAAUUACAACCGCAAGCAACCACAAGCGCUUUAUUACAAAAAUAAUAAUAACAAUAACAAUGCUUUAUAUAAAAACCAAAAAUAUCCAGAAAUUAUCAAAUUAUAUUAUAUAUACGGCUGAGCAAGGCAAAAUUAUUUUGCCAGCGAGAUCGAGCAAUCAGGGCCGUUCCUGAUCUUUAUCUAUAUGAACAUCUUAUCUCUCUAGGCUACCCCUCCGCCCUAGAUCACUCGAUUCAGAAUAAAAAGUACAACCACAACUUAAAAUCCCACGUGAUCUAAAUAUAAAAAACCAUGGUCAUCUCUGAAGCUCCAUCAUGCGUGAAAAAUCCUCGAAGCAUACGAAUCCAUCCCCGUUCUUAUCAACCUCCGCUAUCAUACGCCGGCAAUCGUCUAACGUGCACUUCUCGUCCCCGAUAGCUUUGUAAACUCCAAGUAGCUCCUCUGCUGUUAUUUUCCCAUCCUGAUCCAUGUCGAAGAACUCGAAUGCCACUCUCAUCUCUUCGUCGGCGGCCGGCUCGCAGGCUGAACCAAUCCGGUUUAUUAGAGCCUCCACGCUUAUGCACCCAUCACCGUCGUGGUCCACCUCGCUCAACAUCGACUCCACCUCCUCUUGGCUCGGUGGCUGAGCUCCUAAUCGGCUCAACAGUGCCUCUAACUCGGUCCUCGAAACAAUCCCAUCAUUAUCCCUGUCUAUCAACUUAAAAGCCUGUACAAGCUCUGAAUAAAUAUCACAGGAGAUAUCGGACCAGUCACUCGAUAUUUCGGGAAGAACACUGGUAGGCGUUCCGACAUCAACCACACCGUCUCUUGAACCUCCCUUGUGGUUGGAAACGAAGGAGUCCGAGGAAGAAGACGACGUUGCACCAUAACUAUACGAUGAUGGAUCAGAUCUGCAGACAAUAGAUCGGUCCUUUUUGGAUCGAAAGAGACGUUUGGGAGUAAGAUUAAGGCGUUUGGGAUUGAUUAUCUUGAUGAACUGUUUCAUGGCGGAAAAUUUGAGCAACCCACAAACAGAUAAGAGAGGAUGAGGAGAAGAGGAAAGAAUUGAGGGGGUUUGUUGACGAGAAGAAGGGACGAAGGUGGUUCCCUUAAAUGGAGUGUAGGAGCAGUGAGCGCCAUGGCAACUUCUCGGAAGCUUCCUACGAAACAAGAAUUUUUCUUUUUCUAUCCUUUUUUCGGUGGAUGGGUGGUAUUUAUAUGUGUAAUUGUAAUUUGUAAUUGCUAUUUUGUGGGAAAGAUAAUAAUGUUUCGCGGCUAACUUUAGUGUAUGUGUUUGGUUCGUCCGAUUAUAAGUGUAUUAAUCGGACGGAUGUCGUUUUUUCUCGAGACCUGUGGGGUAACUUCGAAAUCGAAGCAAUCAGUCAAUCCUGAUCUGAAAAAUCUCGGCUUAAUUGGGUAUAUAAUUUAGUGAUGUAAAUGACUCUUAACUGUUUGCCAGCUACUUUGGAUUGAAUUCGACUUGUUCUUUUAAAAAUCAAUUUAAUUAAUGUGUAUAUAAUUAAUUUUUUCUAUAUAUUUCUAGAAAAUAUAAAACAAUUAUCUUAUAAUUUUAUCGAUAUUUUAUUUUAAAAUAUUGAAAUCAAUUUUUUAAUCUAAAAUAUACAAUUUAAUGAUAGUUUUUAAACAAAUGUAAAAAUUAUAUUGUGAAAUAUUACUUUGAAAUAAAUUAAAUAAUAAAUUUUAAAAUUAAGAUAAGUUAAAUUAUAUAUUAUUUUUUUAUAAUUUUUAUUUUUAAUUAAUAAUUAUAUUUUAUUUACUUCGUUAUUAUUUUUUAUUGAUGUUUAAAAAUUACUACCAUUUAUUAAAAGCCUGAUACUAUAAAAUAUUAUUUUGAUAUAAUUCUAAAUUAUAAAUUUUAAAUAAAGAAUAAAUAAAAUCACGUAAUGUGUUUAACAAGAUUUAAAAGGUAGAUAUAACUAGGAGUGAGCAGUAUUUGGUUUAAAUCAAAAAAAUCGAUUGAAUCGAAUUGAAUUGAAAAUUUAAUUCGAUUUUUUAUAUAUUUCGGUUCGGUUAGAUUUUUAAUUUCAAAAAUUUCAAUUAUUUCGAUUCGGUUCGAUUUUGAUCAGAAAAAAAUAAAAAAAAUUGAAUCGAACCAAUUAGUGAUAAUAAUAUGUUUUUUCAAUAAUAUAGGGAAAUUAAAUUAUAUUAAGAUUAAAAUAUUUUAAUUAAAUUUUAAAAUACUAAAAAUAAAGUGUAAAAAAUAAAAAAAUUAUUAAAAAUUGAAAUCGAUCAAACCGAAUCAGACCAGUUCGAUUUGAUUUGAUUUUUUAUCAAAAUCAAUUCGGUUCGAUUUUUAUAAACACUAAAAUUUUAAUUUUUGAUUUAUUCGAUUCGAUUUAAUUUAAAAUCGAACCGACCGAAUGAUCACCCCGUAGAUAUAACAAUACAAGGGCGAGUCCAAUCUAAUUGACUCUAAGCAAAUUAGUGUUAUCACAGUUCAAUCCAUACUCAAAGCAAGAACAUCUAAUUCAGAAUUUAGAAAAUUUAAUUUGAAACUCACAAUCGACUAAAAUGCUAGACUGAUCUAAUACAUUUGAAUUAGUAAUUUAUAAUUUGAGAAAUCAUGUAAGAAAACAGAAAAAAAAGUUAUCGAUAAAACAAAAACAACAACCAAAUUCGAUAUCACAAUAACAUCAUAAAUGAAAAUAAUAGGAGGCUCAAUUAUAGGCUUCAUUCAACUAUUUUUAAAAAGAAAAAUCUCAAAUGAAUUAAAGCGUUUCCAACAUAAUAAAUAGACACAAAUGGAAAAAGUGUAACAAAUUUCAGCUAUUGUAAAAAAUUCACCCAACGCAGCAGUAUAAUUUCGAGGUGCAAAUGCUACAAAACUGUAAGUCCUUUUGACAACUAGCAAUAGAGCCAUGAGCCCUCGUCAACUCUCAAAUCCUAAAAAAUAAACCCUCAACACCGAAAGCCAUGAAUUUGAAAAAGAAAGAAAAGAAAAGAAAAGAAAAUCAAUCUAUCAAAAUUUCAAAAUAAAAUAAUUUAUUUCUACAUCUAUGAAAAUUUAUCAAAAAUUUGAUUGAGUCUGUCAGGCCACCGUGCGACCACCCCCAGCCACGUGUGGCUGAGAACGAUCCUCUACAACUCACGGACCCCUAAGGAUCCUCAGACGUUAAUCACGCUCUGAUCGUACGGCCAUGCUUCAUCUUCCAGACUGUGGUACCUGUCUCCUUAGUGCUAAAGGACACAGAGGUACGAUCCUAUAGAACAGAUCCUGUUCAAGUAAGGUCGUGCACCGGCUUCCUUACCUCAGCAAUUAGAUGGGCUGCUUCAUUGUUUCAACUUUUCGAUGUGGGAUUGUAACUCGCUUCCUUCAGGGCUUAAAUCGUCUUUUCGACACGUAAAGGCGAUUGUGGCACGCGUCUCUCACAUGACAAAAGCCGGCGAUAUCACUAUUUGUUAAAUAAUUCAAUUAUCAAGCUUCCAAAAAUAAAAUAGCAGCACAGACUCCCAGUCCCGAGAAAGCAAGCAAGCUGGUUCAGGAGAUUAUAAUUAUUAUAUUACAUAAAUAAUUAUAGACAAUUUUUAUACUAUCAUUAUUUUUUAUUUAACUAUCUUUUCUUGAUAACUUUAAUUAUAAAAAUAAUGAAUCAUUUUUAUCAUUCUUAGUCACAAGUGUGUUACAAUAUUUAUAAUAUAUUUAAUAAUUUAUUUUAUAUAUAUAACCUAUAAUUAAAUAAUAUAUAAUAAAAAAUAAAAAUAUAUAUUAAAUAAUAUAUUAAUAUUAUUUUCAUGGUUAAUUUCAUAUGCAUAUCAUUUAUAUAGAUGCAUAUUAUAUAUUAUGUAUAUUUUUUAUAUUAAUAACUAACUUUAAAAUUUAAAUGAUAGUUUAAGAAUGAUUUGUUUUGAAAAAAAUAUAUAAAUUUUAUUUUAAGAGCUGAAAAUUGAGUAUCAAAAUUGAAAUUAUACUAAAUUGAAUCAGAAUAAAAAAAUAAAAAAACCUAAAUUAGAAAAAAAAAAAUCAAACCAACUACAAUUCAACCCUAAAAUUCAUGACUCAGCCCAACUCAAAUCAUUCGGUUCAGCCAAAUCCAGUCAUAGAACAUGAAGCAUGCUUAAGACUAGCACAGGAAACAAUAUAUUGCUAGGAGACGGAUCACCAUCACGAAUCAAAGACAACAACAAUCAGCAUCAUCACCAAUCUAAUUGUUUUUUUAUUUUAUUUUUUUAAAAAAACAUCCAAGUAUGUUUUCUUUUGUACCUUUUACAUGCAUCCAUUGAUCUUUUUCGUUUUCAUCCUACUAAUUUAAUCUUAUGUAAUGCAUUUUAGGAUUCCACUUGAUCCAGUUCUCUGGUUUAUCAGAACCAUGUUAUACAUUGGAUAAUUCUGAUAUAGGAGUAUUAUUUAUUUAUUUAUUUAUUUUUCUGAACGGUGGGAAUUCAUUGGAUAAAAGCCUCACUAGGCCAAAGUGCAGAUACAAAAGCAAAUUGACUCAAGGGAUUCACCCCAAAAGAGUCAUCAGCGUAUUCAUUACAAAGGUUUAUUUCCCACGAGGCCUUGAGCUUCCCUAUGCUUCUUUAGAGGGAAACUACCAAAACCUUUCAAAAAAUUGCUGGAAGCUUUCCGAGAUGCUGAAGAAAAUUAGAAACUUUAUCAAGGAUUUGAUGGUUGUUGGCUCUCCUUCGGCUGUUGUGUACUGCUUUUGUAUGUUUCUAUUUUUUGGCAGCAGUGGGUAGGUUGGUCUCUUUCUGUCAUCCUUUUCCUCUGUUAGGGAUGUGCUCUGUCAUCCUUUUCCUCUGUUAGGGAUGUGCUUACUAGAACUCCCUCUUGUCAAUCUUGAACAGUAACUGUUUCCUUAGACAUGUUCGUCACAGUGACAUUAUUGUCAUCAUCAUCAGAUUCAGAUGCUGAGCUUGCAUCAAUAUCCCUCUCCGGACAGUCCAGCUGAACACAUUCAGGAACUUCUUUAUUGUAGUUCAAGUCUUGGGUCCUGUUUGAGAGUGCUAGAUUUUCUUUCUUUACAACAUUCAACACAAACCCAUUGCGGAUCCUUUCAGGCUGCAGAACGUCACCUUCAGUGACUGUAAUACUAGAACUAUUCCCAGAUGAUCUACUGCUAAAAUCCACCGGUUCAAAUUCGCUUUCCGAAUUUCUUUCUGGUGUUGUCAGCCUAGACAUCUGAUUAUAAGCUUCCGUGAUUCCCAUCUGAGCCACUGGAGAGUUUGGAUGCGUCAUGAAGCCUUUGGUCAGUUCAGCAUCAACAUCCAGAUUUCGGACAAAGUCGAUAAAUUGAUUCGCAGAGCUACUUCUCAUCAAUGGCCCACCAGAUCUCGUCCAAGAACUUAAAUCUACAGUAUCAGGUUCACUAUCGCUUCCGUCAUGAAUGUUACGAUGUGUCCGCACAUUUCUACCAGAAGGAACUCCCCAUCCAGAUACACCAACACCUUGAUGGAAAGUUGAAGCAAAAUCAGCAGGGUCUUCUUCAAGCGAACCUGUUGAGUUCUCUCGAGCAAUGCAGUUCCAAGAUGGAAUUCUUUUAGAAGCACUGAAUUUGACAGUGCUGGCUGCGCCAUGAGAAGCAGCAGCAGCCCUCUCAGCACUCCUUUUGAGUCUACGCAUGUGGUUGAGAAUCACAACACAUUCAUCAAGACAAAGCUCAAUGCCACAGUUAGCUUUUAUGGCUGAAAGUUUCUCCCACGUACACCUUCUCCCUUGGUUGAUUGCCUUUUGAAGCUCCAGAGAAGUUGGAUUUUGUAUAAUUUUUGAUAUCUGCAUUCCAGAAAAAUGUCAUUUAAUUCUCAUGUGAAGUAUUCAGAAACAUUGCAAAUUAUUAACAGACAAUAUAAAGAGAAACAUAACAAAAAGAGAAGGAACCGAGUAAGAAAAGUGAACUGUCAGAACUUUUUAUUUUAGCAAGUUCUACACAAUUCCAAACCAAAAAGGAAAAAGAAAAAAAAAGGGAAGCCAUUUCUACAUUCAUCUCAGGGGCUUACCAAAUUCUUUGAACUAAUUAAACCCGUGAUUCAAAUUGCUGCCCAAUUAGCGUAAAUUUUUUAUUUAGCAUAUACCUGAGCAAGUGUAGCAGGCAUUACAACAGUGAUAUCACCCUCCCAAUCUUGAGCAAAAAGCUUAGCAACUCCUCCCAAUGGAAAACCAAGUUCCAGUGCCUGAUUGAAUCUAUGUUUUACCUCCAUCUCGGUGAGAUGAGCAAGCUACGAAGUUAAAUACCAAAAUAUAUCAGUUUCACGACAUUAAGGCAUUAAAUGAGAAACAAACAGAAAUAUUACCUCCAACAAAAUAGUUACAAAGAAGAGGUCUUAAAGAUGUGAACUACAUUAGUAACAUUAAAAAUAAGGUCUCACACUAUGAGGUGAGUGCUGCAUGGAGAUUCUUGGUUGCCACUUAAAUAACAUGAGUUGUGCAGAAAAAAAACAUCUGCUCGUUUUGCCUCCAUAUCUCUUAGCACUAAGCCUUGCCACUUAUGUUUUUUCAUAUCAACAUAAAACAGCUCUUGAAAUCAUAAACAAGAUAACACAGAUGAAAAACCAAAGCCAUAGUGGUGAAAAAGAAGUAAAUAAAGGCUAAGUGGCAUGUCAGAAUUUACUAAACCAUGUUCUAAAUAAUUUAUAUAUGCAAAACACAUUUAAGCAACACUAAAAGUCUAGGCAAGGGAACUCAAAUGAUCCAUUCCAUAGAAAGAAACGAGAAAACUGAGAAAAUAGAGCCAGAAUAAACUUCAGAAGAUUUUCUGUACAGGCAUAAGCAGAUGUGCAAAUUAAGACUAUUAGGACAAGGAGAAAUCUAUGUUAAUUUCAAGCAUUGUAUACAUACCUUUGCAGCAAAAUUACCACCAUAAACUCUCACCAAUUCCUUCAUUCUCAAUAGUGGAACGAUGUGAGGAUUUGCCUGACUAACAAUAAAAUGAUUGACAUUGAACAGUUCCUUCAAUUGCAUCAUUGGUAAAUCAAUUUCCAAGCUACCAUCUCUCCACCGGCGUGCAGAUGUGCUUGAUCCUUCCUCUGGAUCUAGAUUAAAAGGUGGAUGAUAUGGAACAAUUUCCCCACUCCUGUCCUUAGCCAUCAGUUCCUGAGCUUCAAAAAGGCCAGGAAAGGCACAGGAAGCAGUGACUGCACUCCAUAUGACAACAUGAGGUGAAGUCAAGUAGUUAAGGCACCUAGGAGGCUCAUGCUUCCUUGGAGAGCAAACUGUGAUCCCAAGAAUUCGACCUGUCAUGUCAUAAGCUUCUUGAAAUGUAAGAUUACUGGUGAGAUUCCUUAACAUCCAUUGCAAGUACCGGAUAUCAUGCACAGCUCCUUGUGUCCUAACCCUCUUCACAACAGUAAGAAGCCCACCCAUCUGAUCAAAAAACUGCAAUGAGUGCAAAGAAUCCUCAAAAAAGCUUUGUAGCUCAGGCCAUGAUCUAGUGGCAACAACAGAACACAUGAUGGAUCCAACACUAGAACCAGCAAUUACUCUUGGUAAAAGCUUAUGCUCCACCAGUGCUUUAACCACACCCACAUGAAAUGCUCCAAGUGAAGCACCACCACUCAAAAGCAAAGCAGUUCUCCCGAAUGCAUGUCUUGUCUCAUGCAUGAAAGAAAGCUUCUCUUCCAAUAUAACAUCCUGCGAAUCUGAAUCACAAACCAUUCUCAACUGAGUUGAGACCUCAUCAAUAUACUCCUUUAUGAGCUUGGGCACUUGAAGCCUCUCCUUAUGAAGCUCUGGGUUACACAUAUUGCCAAGAUUUCUAAUAAGAUCUGCUCGCAUGCAAAAGAUGAUGUCUCUAAGAGAUCCCUCUUGUCGACGGUGUCUUAGCUCCUGAAGCUUAUUUCUCACUAGUUCUUCAUCAUAAAGGUCUGACUCAUUCAUCUUUGGUGUCUCUUUGUCAAGCAUCUUUGCAGCAUGUGCCCACUCUUCAUAUGUCAAUGCAGUUCUCAUCAUAUUCCUCCAAAAUUUCCUCCGGUAAGCCAUCUCAGCUCUCAACUUCACAUUGGUGUAUCGUUUCAAAAGAAAAGCAAUUACAGUCACCAUGGCCAGUAUUCCUUGAGGAUUCCGAGGAUGCAGCCAUGAAAGUGAGGAUGCAGAAGCAUCUCUACAUCUAUAAAAGUACUUCAAUAACACAUGAUAGAUUUUACGCCUCAAAUGUGAUAUUGACUUGCAGAAUAAGACUCUGAAAGCAAUCGUCCUACCAAUGAUCGUUGAGGGUCCAAUUGUAAAGGGAUCAACAUAGGCCUCAGUACUUAUAUCCAUAUCUUGGCUAAAGAAAGACUAGCUCGUCGAAUUCCUGUAACUCAACAACAAGAUUUGUUCAUAGGAACAAAUCUUAUGAAAGAAUAAAAGAAUAAAGAGUUCAGAAUUAAAUUAAACUUAACAAUUUUAUAAGGAUGCACAAAGCAAGACAGCUGAAUAAAUUUGUUCCUAAAAUUGUACAUCUCGCAAUCAAUUAAUCAAGAAAAUAAUAGCACUACUGGACUCAAAAAUUCUAUUGCGUGCUCUAGGAGAAAAGAAGCUUCUGUUGGAGAAAGUGAAUAGAUUACGAAUAAAAAUUGUAAAUUUAUAGUAGAGAGAGAUGCGUAACAGUAACCAAAUCCAACCUCUUGAUCAGGCACAGGAGUCUAAAUUCAGCAAGAAAGCACACCCAACAAUAAUUAAACCUUCAAAUCUUGAAUUCCCUAGUGCCACCAUGCAAAGAAGCCAAAUGGGUCAUCAACUUGCAACGAUCUCCCCGGAUUCUGCCAACCAAACCCUUAAAUGUGAGAGGAAAAAUAGCCCUCAAACGCAAAACCACGAAUAAUUACUAAAAUGUCAGAUGGGGGUUUCAUAUCACCAACAGAAAAUUUUACAACAUCAAAGAAAAGAAGGAAAGAAACAACUAACCCAGAGAAUUGAAGAAAAAGAAGAAGAACCCAGAAAGCCAGAGGUGAUAUUCCCGGAAAAAGAAGCAAAAACUCGUAAAUAUAUCAAGAGAAUGGAAUUAAAAAGAAGAAGGGAUACAUUGGGAUACGUGAAGCAGAUAAAGAAAGCGAUAUGGUGACGCAAAUUUGAAUAGGCAGACAUCUUGGAUUAUGGAGUUACGUGCAAAGUCUCUGUUUUUGCUUGUUCGUCUAGUCGGUGUUGUCGCAGCUUUGCUUUACUUGCGCCUUCCGGACGCCAUUCAACUCCAAACGCGACAAUGACACGAAACAAGAUUAAGAUAUACUGAUCAAGGAAGAAACAGAAAAUGAUUGUGAAGGGAGAGAAAGGGAGGGAAAAGAAAAAUCUUAUUUCCAAUAUUAGAAUUUAGUCCAUUAAUAUUACUUUAAAAAAAUAAUUAAAUUUACAAUGUACUUAAUUUUUUUUAAUUUAGCUAUUAUAUAUAAUUUAUAUUAAUUAAAUAUUUUAUUUUUAUUAUUAUUAAUUUUUUUUAAAAUAAUAAUCAAAAAUUAAAAAUUAAAAAAAUAAAAUUUAAAAUUUCUUAAAUUUAUUUAAAUAUAUUUAUCAUAAAAUUAAGUACGUGUUAUUAUUAUUAUUAUUAUUAAAAGUAAAAAAUAAAAGUUUAAAUCUCUAAUUUACAUGAAUAGAUUUUAUUCUUUUGUGUUUCUAAAUUGAAAAUGUUUUGUACAAAUUUAAUUUUUUUUAAUAAGAAUAUUAAUUUACUUAUCUGAUAAAGUUCAACAAAGUUUCUCAAAAUCAAAAAAUAAUGUAUUUUUAAUUAAUAUAAAAUUAAUUGAGUAAAUAAGAAAUUAUUUUAUAAAAAGAAUUUAAAAUGUUUUUCUUCAAAAAAUAGUGUAAACCCUCAAUUUAAACUUGUACUAGAAGCAAUAACGUGUUAAAAAUCAGUUGAAAAAUAGAAUAGUAGACAAAUUCAUUAGGUAUGAGCUGUCACACACACAAGUUUUGCUGUUGAGAAUACUGAGUUCUGAAAACAUAUGUAACACCAAUAAUGAGUAAUUUAUGAUUUGUGGCUUCAACAGUAGUUAUCAGGAUCUAUGCAGCAACGGGGAAGAAAAUUAAAAAUACAAUUAAAUAUAGAUCGAUUUAUCCAAAAAUUUAAAAUUUGUGUGUAUUUAUAUUUUAAUUUUAAUUUAAUUGGUUUAAUUUUUAUAUUUUAAUAUAAUUUAAUCAAUUGAUGAUAGUUUAAUUUGUAUAUGUAUUAUUAUUAUUAUUAUUUUUAGUUCAUUAAUUGACAGAAAAUAUCUAAUAUUUAAAUAUUUUAUAAUAAAUAUAUUAUUUAAUUUAAAAUGACAGUAUAUAAAAAAUAAUUAAAAAUAAUAUAUUAAUUAUAAAAUUUUUAUAAUUAUUAAUACAAAACAACAUUUAUUACUGUUUAAAUAACAUCAGUUAAAUUAUUAUUCUUUCUAGAAUUCAAUAUAUUAUUUAAUUAUAGUUACAUAUAAAUUAAUAUUAUUUUAUUUAGUUUAUAUUUAAAAAAUAAUAAAAUAUUAUAUUUUAUCUAAAAUUACACUCAAAGGUAAAUAUUGAGAUAAUCCUUCCAAAAUUUAUACAUUUGACUUAAAACCCAAAAUAAUAUAAAUGUUAGACUCUUUUCAGUUUUUUAGUUAGUAAUUUAAUAAACAAUAAUAAUAAUAAUAAUACAGCUGCCAUCCUAGUUAGAUUAGGGUGAGCAUUCGGUCGGUUCGGUUCAAAAUCGAACCGAACCGAAUAAACCGAAAUUUUAGUGUUUAUAAAAAUCGAAUCGAACUGAUUUUGGUCAGAAACCGAAUCGAACCGAACCGGUCUGAUUCGGUUCGAUUCGGUUCGGUUUGAUCGGUUUCGAUUUUUAAUAAUUUUUUUAUUUUUUACAAUUUAUUUUUAAUAUUUUAAAAUUUAAUUAAAAUAUUUUAAUUUUAAUAUGAUUUAAUUUCUCUAUAUUAUUAAAAAAUAUAUAUUAUUAUCACUAAUCGGUUCGGUUCGGUUUUUUCGGUUUUUAUCUGAUCAAAACCAAACCGAACCGAAAUAACUGAAAUUUCUGAAAUUAAAAAUCGAACCGAACCGAAAUGUAUAAAAAACCGAACUAAAUUUUCAAAUCGAUUCGGUUCGGUCGGUUUUUUCGAUUUGAACCAAAUACUGCUCACCAUUAAGUUAGACUAUUAAAUUACCACAUCCACUACUAAAUUUAAUAAUUUAUAAAUUAACUAAAAUUUUAUUAAAAUGUAAAAAUUAGACCAAUUAAAUUAAAAUUAAAAUAUAAAUAUGUAUAAACAUUAAGUCUUUAGACCAAUUAGCUUAAAUAUGUAUAACUAUUAUUUUCUCCAUUUUUUUAAUUAAAAAUUCUCACUAAAUUGAUAAAGUGAGAAGUUGCUAUUUUAAUAUUAAGAAAAAUUAAAAAAUCAUUUAAUUUUGAAAAUUCUUGAAAAAUAAACAAUUUUAAUUCAAAUAUUUUGAUUUAGAGAUCUGGAAUCUUUAUAGAGAAAUAUAUUAGAUAUCACACACCAUUCCUAAAUAGAGUUAAUAAAAGUAACAUUAUGCUCAAAAUAAAAUAAUUUCAGUGGAUAAAAUAGAAACCAAACAAUUCUGUUUAUGAAAUAUUUAAUGUGUAUGAUAAAACAAUCCAACUAUAUUACCGUUACAACUUUCCAAUAUUGAAUUAGUCGCCAAUCCCAAUGUAAACUUUUUUUUCUCCAAGACAUGAAUUUAUUGAUAAAAAGGUACAAGUCCAAUUUAAAUCAUAAACGAACAAAGUCCAAGAAUAUAUAUAUAUACAUAUAUAUAUAUAAAGUUCACCCUGAAAUUUUAGAACUCAAAAAUUAAGAAUUAUUAACUCGGUUGAAGACCUAGAUAAAGAAACUUCAUUAACGCUGAUUCUGAUUUGAGAACGUCGGCCGAUCGAACAAUGGACCACUAGGGUCCAAAAAAAACUACAAAGAAGAAAAAGCAUUAAGUACAUAUGGAAGCACCAUUGAAGACCAUCAAUAGAAAACCUUCAAACUGCCGGCUGUUCUAAGAACAAAAUAACUCAACACUAGAACUUAGAUCUAACAAUGCUGGGGAAGAGUCGUCGUAGAGAAACGAGGAUAAAACCUUUGGUUCGACAUGACUACCACACCCACGGUCAAGAGAGGCAAUAUGCAAUCCAACCGAAGGUAGGAGAAGAGAAAAAAAUAGCAAGCUCCUAACAAAUAGAUUAAGACCAAAGCUGGGGAGAGCUGGCGGAAAGAAACGAGGAGACCAUCCUCCGUACUAGAGCGACAACCUCACCCAAAACCACGGGACGCAACAUGCAACUCGAAAGAAAAGAUGAGCCAUUGCCUCGCCCCCACUCGCUGGAAAAAGACCAUUGGGCACCAUGAGUUGAGAGCUGACAAACCUGAAAAGGAAAAAAAAAAAAAACGAAUAACAUAAGAGAAGAACACACAAGCAGCCAAACCAAGAACCCUCCACCUUAAACACCACUGUAAAAACGAACAAAACAAGGGAUAUUUACAUUCCACUUGAUUGUGGAGAGGCCGGCCUACAGCCGGGCAAGAGGGACUUCCCCACCCAGAGGGGCAAGGAUGCCUCCGCAAGGCACGAUCACCGGUGAAACCCAAAAAAGGUUUAAAUCCUAAAGAAAGGAGAGAUUCUCUCUUUACCAGCAGAUUCAAACAAGCCUUAAUAACUUUAUGUGUAGUUGAGUACAUUGGUGGAUACAAAUGUUUAUAUUUAACGUAGAAUCUUAAUGAAAAGUGGUUUUGAAGUCGUCAUACAAUGGAAAACUAAUCCUAAGAUAUCUCUCCUAUGUUGAGCAGUCAGUACGGAUAGUAGAUAUGCAGAUCAGAAAGCUGAGGAACAAAAAAAUUGCGAUGGUGAAAGUUUUAUGAAAUCGCCACAAUAUGGAAGAGUACACCUGGGAGACCCGAGAGUCGAUACUUAAGCAGUAUCCCCAUCUCUUUUAAAGCAAGUUGUUAAAUGGUUUUAUGUGUCUUCUUGAGAUGUAUGUUUUGCUUACUUUGUUGAACAUUCGAGGACGAAUGUUUUUAAGGGAGGAAGAAUGUAAUACCCGGCUAAACUACAGCAUCAGAAUUCCAACAUUCUGACGGAAUCUCCGUCGAAAUCCGGGAUCUCAAAACUGGAAUCUUUAGAAGGGUAAAAUAGGAUUUUCAUAAAAUGAAUUUGAAACUUUUCUUGGUGUGUUUUUUUUUUUAAAAAAAAAAAGAGUUUUGUAAAGGUUUAAAAGUUUGGUUGUCGAACCUUCAAGUUCGGCUGCCGAAGGUGGCUCCUCUAGCCACCUGUAAAAAGCCUUCAGCCUGAAAACGUGAGAGCUCUAUCUCCAUUUUCGGGCAGAGGUAAGUCCAUGCCAUUUCCCAAACGUUUUUACUGAAAUUAUUUCAAAUCUCUUAAACAAUUCAUGAGUUUUUACUUCGUUUUUGAAGAUUUGAGUUUGGAUUUCAAGUUGUAACCUUUGGAGACCUCUGGAAAUCGAUUUCCCUCUUCUUCAAGUCUUGGUUGUUAUGCUUUCCGUGUUCUUCAAGAGGUGAGUUCAAUCUUGCUUUUCUUAUAUUUGCUGAAGGUUUUAAACCAGUAUUACAAGUUGUUAGGGCAUGCAUGAUUGAUUAUUCUAAAAUUUUAAAGUUUGAGUUAAUUUUGAUGAUGGAUGAUUUUCUCUUGGGAUUUUGUUGAUGCAUGUUGAGUUUAGAACAAUUUUUGAGGUCCUUUAUGAGUGUUAAGUGUGUGUGGUAGUCUUUAGGCUGUUGCAUGUAAGUUUCAGUUUGUUUCUUGGCUGUGAGCAUAGGGCAGACUCGGGUUCUGCCUUACUGGAGAAUCCAGGUUCAGCCGCCAAAAUAUGAUUUGACUGUCGAACUUGUCUGUGAAAGCAGCCAUUUGGCUGUCUAAUCUGCCUCCGAAGGUUUUGACCUUUGGAUUUGUGAGGAAUUUUUUGCCGCCAAACCUGCCGCCGAAAGUCUCAUGUUCAGCAUUUUUCAGCUUGUUUCCUACGUGUAUUCUUGUAUGUUCUUAGAGGUUUUCUUGGGGGUAGUUUAAGAGUUGUAAAAGUUAUAUUUGGUCCCUCACUUAAAUCCAUCUAUAUAAGAUCGGACUUGGGAGAUUGUAGAGGCUUGCAGUGAGAUAACUGCUUCAGUACUAGGCGUGCGUCAGACAGAGGUGAGUAGAACUAAACUGAUCUAUUAUUUUAAAGAAAUCAAACUUUUUAAGCAUGCUCAUGCAUCACGAAUGCCAUGUAUAUACGAUUAGAUUGUUUUGCAUUAGAGUUCACGAAUAUGAUGCAUUAUUUAAAUUAUUAUUAUUGUGGAUGGACGUAGGAUGACCCACUAGCCCUCAAGUAUGUUAUGAUAUGUUAUGACAGAUAUGGAAAGACUAGGGCUGCCCAUUCUACGCCUCUAGCAUUAUGUAAGGGAAAGACUAGGGCUGCCCAUUCUACGCCCCUGACACUAUGGACAUGUUAUGUUAUGUUUAAGAGGAAGUCUUAAGGAGCACCCGUUGUGGGCCGGGAACUAUUGGAAUCUGUAGAAGGUUAUUGAUGACAAGUCCAUCUUGAUGUAAAUUAUUUGUGUUGUAACGCAUUCAUAAGAUCAUAUGUUUUAUUGAACUGUUUUUUUGUGUUAUGCUUACUAGGCUCUUAUAGUUUAUCCCAUUUCCCCUAACCCCAAGUUUGCAGGAUCAGAGUUAGCUCGGAAAGUUGACUGAGUUGCUAGUAUAGCCUGUUAUGAUAGUAUAGCUAUGGACAUGUAUUAAUUUGUGAAAUACAAUUGUGUUUCGCCCGGGUUCUUCCUUGUAAUCCCUACUUCAUGAUCCUUUUAUGUAAAAGUUUUUAAGUAUAUGUUAUAUUUGAAUCGAGCUUGAGGCAUGUUACGUUGACCAUACUCGAGCAUUUGAUAAGGGCUCUAGUCUGAGUUUUAUGUUCUCAGAUAUGAUGCAUGCACAGGUAGAGUCUUGGUUCAUAUAAUGAUUUUGUUUUUGUUAUUUGUGUAAUCAUGUAUGGGAUUAUAUCAGGUGUAACAUAAUGUAUAGUAGACUUGCUACGGGUUCCAACAGCGAUCUUAAAUCGAUCCGAACCUUAGCAUCGAUAACGAUCCGGUACCCGGGUCAUUACAACUGGAUUCAAUCUUAGUUAUAUUUAAAACACAAGAAGUAUUGGAGCAAGGCAACCAUGAAUUAAAAAUAUUAAGAGUAGUAGAUUUAGCAACCGACGAUGAAACCUUAAAAGGAAAAAAUUGAUUCAUCAAAAACAACAUGUCGAGAAAUAACCAAUUUUUUUAUAAAUGGGUGAAAACACUUAUAUCCUUUAUGUUUCUCGCUACCCAACAAAAACAUACAAAACAGACUUAGAAUCAAAUUUAUAGUUCCUACUCUCCAAAAUAUAAGGAAAGCAUUUUGAACCAAAAACCCAAAGAGAUGCAUAAUCAGGAUGUUUGCCAUGCAAUUUAAAAUAAGGCGUGUCAAAACAAAUAGAAGAAGAUGGCAAGCGAUUAUGGAGAUAAACAACCGUUGAAGAUGCCUUAACCCACAAAGACAAACAUGACUGUGAAACAACAUAGUCAUACCUAAUUCUCUUAUAAUAAGAUACCUACGUUCGACCAUACCAGUUUGUUCAUGUGUAUAUGGACAAAAAAUCUGAUGAACAAUACCUGUAGUAAGAAAAUGUGAUGAUAACCUAGAAUUAACAAAUUUACCUCCUCCAUCUAAAUGAAAUAUUCUAAUCCUUUUAUCACACUAUCUUGAAACAUGCUGCACAAAGGCAACACAGGCUAUAAAGAAAUCAAAUUUUUUCUUCAAGGUAUUAUCCAUGUGUAUUUAGAAAAAUCGUCCACCAAACAUGCAUAAUAUUUAAAUUUGCCAACAAAAAUUAUAGGAGCAAGUCCCUAUAAAUCACACAGUGAAUCUUAUCAAACGCGCUAGUACUAGAAUGUUCAGACAACGAAAAAGAAAUUUGCUAAGUUUUCGCAACUGACAACUAUCAGAAAUUCAUAGGGCGUGAAAGACCAAUAACAUCAAUAAGUUUUUUUAUUCUUCAAAUACUGAAUUGCAGAAGCUUGUGGAUGUCUUAAUCGCUGGUGCCAAAUUGCAGCUGUUCCAGACCGAAACCGAUAAGGAAAAUUCACUUAUGGAACAUUAGGCAAAACAAAAAGAUUAUUCUUCCUUCUUCCUGUUAUUAGUCGUUCUCCUGUUUUUCGAUCCUUCACAUGAUAAUAAUAUUAGAAUACUCACAAUUAAUAGGUAAUUGAUCUCGCUUCCCUCUUUAUUUCGGUAUCCACCAACAAAUUUUAGCAAUAUGACCCAUUUUCCCAUAGUAUUGAAAAAUUUCGUUGCAAUACUGCUCGCGUUCUACUAAUGUCAUGCGAUGCUCACCUGGUGGUGGUGGUCGGUGUUGCUAAGUAGUCAGAUUAGAAGACCCUCCUUGCCUCUGGUUGCGCGGUUGUUGAGCUUGAAAUCCACGACCCAAAGAAGAGAAGGUGUUGCUGUGAUUUGGAGUCUUUUGCUGCUGACCGAAAAAUGCUAGGUGAGAUGAUAACUGUGAGAGUGUCGUUUCUGCUUGAGUAGAAAACCAAUUUCGAUGUUGAUCGAAAUUUUGCAAUUGGGAAAUUAACUUUGUAUAAGUGGGCCUUGGAGGCUUCAGCAUAGUUGUAGUGAAUCUCUCAUAUUACGGCCCAAGGCUUGUGAGAAGAGAGAAAACCUUCUCUUUGUCGGAAACUAGUUUUUCAAACAAACUCUUAGAAACUCGUAUGUGAUCACCAACAAUCUUUGUAUCAUCUUUACGAAGAUACGUAAGCUGCUGCCUCAGAGUAAAUUUGCAUUCUUGAGAAUCCUAUGCAUAAGCAUCCUUCUGAGCUUCCCAAACUACAAGUGUUGUAUCAAUCCCAAUGACAAGUCCUAACGCCUCUUUAGAAAGAGUACCAAUAAUCCAUCCUCAUAGAAGAGGAUAAAACUUUUUCCGAGUAGUGAAUUCUUUUGUUAUCUGUGGUUCUGAAAUAGUUUCAGUUGGUAUUGUAAAUUUGGGUGGAGCAGGUGUUUCAUUGGUGAGAUGACCAACUAAAUCUUGACUCUCAGUUACGCCUAAAACUUGUUCUCUCCAGAGGGUAAUUUGUUUGAGUAUGUUCCAAGAUUACAAACAUUCAGAGACAGAGCUCAUGAUGAAGAAAUGCUCUAAUACCAAAACGAACCGGUAUGGUCGAACAUUUCUUCUCACAUUAGCUUUCAGCUUUCAUUAAUGUGAGAAGAAAUGCUCAUUCAGAGACAGAGCUCAUGAGUAUGGCUCAUAUUGAUGUAACUCGGGUGAAAAGAUGGAAUAUGAGUUAAUUCCCCCGGUAUUUAUUAGCCGAUUGUCCAUUAUUAUUUAGCCGCUUAAUAUAUAUGUUUUUUUUUUUGAAAUAGGGGGUUGGGGGAGUCGAACCUUAGACCUUUCAAGGUUACAGGAUGCACUUUCCACCAGGCUAAGCCUUGGAGUGCCGCUUAAUAUAUAUGUUAGCAUGUCUCAUUCAAUUUGAUGCGAUAUAGAAAAAAGCUAUCGAAAUAAUUAGAGUAUGUAUAUUCAUAAACCCUAAUUCAAUAGAUUUAACUCUUUUGGAAAACUUUAUAUUUUUACUACUUCAACAACUUUAAUCUAUUCGAACAACACUCUAACUCUAUUAACUUUUCAAUUAUCAAUCUCUAAUCUAUUGAUUUUUUAUGAAAUUGAACUCUUAUUCAAGUUUUUUUAUUUUAUAAACCCACCAUAUUUCAAUUCAUCAAAUGAGUAAAGUUGAAAAUUCAAUUUUUUAAGAGGGUGAGGAUAAUUAUUUAAAAAAAAAAAAGGUUUAUAAAUAAAUUAUACUUUCAAAUUUUUUUUAAUCCUUUGCGUGGUAGUUAAUUGUUAUUACUAUUUUAUUGCACAAUAUACAAUGUGAAGACACCUAGGUGAUUUGCUUGUGCACAUACAGUAACAGAUGGGCCAAUUCAUGCAUAUAAGCUGGCAAAAUCGUACUUCCCAAUUCUAGCUUCACCAUAUCCAUUGUACAUAUUAUAGAUUAUUUAAUUUACCACAUUUAUAAUAAAAUCAUUAUUAUCACGUAUGCAUUUUCUAUUUAUAUGCUAUGUGUACAAGAAAAUAAAUUAAAGUGCUAGCAAAGUAUGAGAUUUACCUUCCAAAUCUGCAGAAGGAAGAGCCCACAUCAACGCCAUGAAAAUUCCCCCUUCUCAUUGCACACAUCUUGCUUUCCAUCUAAAUCAAAUUCAAACAUAAUAUACUCAUUAAGAAAUGAAAUUUAAAAUUAAUUGAUUAUCUUUCUGUCCUGUCCAGUGACUGCAGCAAGUUCAUUGCAAUCUCACAAGUGGAAAUAUCAGAUGCAUCCACAAAUUAAAUGAGCACCAUCACUUCUAUGAUACAAAGAGAAAGUUUUCAGGCAAGAUAUUAAACUUAGGAAUCUAAUUCUUGAUAGCAGUAACUUUUUAGCAUUAAAGAUCUGUCUGUUAAUUGAAUAUUUGCUCUUUUUGUUUUUUUAGUGCAGAAAUAAUCAAGAACUUUGGCUUGGGGAUCUGGUCUUUAAGCUUUCAAAGAGCUUGAUCUUUGAUGAGGAAGUCUUCUGGAGGAUCUGACUUGAAGAGGAAACUGAAGAAGUCCAGAUCAGUCAAGGCUGGAAGGUCUUCCAUUAUUUUAUCUGAUGAUUCAGACAAGUCACCUGAUCUUUUGAAAGCAACGAGUUGUUCUGAAAGCAAGGUACCUUUCAUGAAAAAUUGCUAUCAAAUGCUCGACUCAAGCGUGCAUAAAGCCACGUGUUCUUCAGUUCUUAAGGAUUCCAAGUUUCCUGACCAUCUUGAGCUUCAAUCAGGGCGAAGUGAAUCUGAAGGAAUUUCAGCCAUGAAAGUGUGCACAUAUAGUUAUUGUUCACUUCAUGGCCAUCGUCCCUCUUCUUCACCUCCAUUAAAACGCUUUAUAGCAAUGAGGAGGCGUUUUCUGAAGACCCAGAGAAGCAUAAGAUUGGAAAUCCAAUCCUUUCACAGAGAAAAACGUUGUAGUAAUACAAAGAAAGGAAUGAAGAAGGCAAGCAAAAUGGAGUAUCUCACAGACACUGUAGUUGUAGAACCAGCACUUGAGAGCAGAGCAAUCACUUCUAUCAGAAAAGUGGUGCCACCAGAAGAUGACUUAAAUGGGGAAGGCACUCAUGGCAGAGAUGAUAAAGAAACCAGAAAUUCCAAAAGUGUUGAUAAGAAUAAGCUUCUGUAUCUGAAAGAGAAACAACAGCUCAGUGAGUUGAUGAGGGACAAAAGUAAAGAACAUUGUACAGACAAAAAGGAAGAGGGAACUGAUGCAAAUUAUUCUGUUUUUGUAUCUGAAUUGCACGAUGAAUCGCCAGAAGCCACUGAGGGAGAAUUUACUCCACAUGAAGAAUCUAAGUUCGGUUCUGCUGAUGAUCAGUCAGUCGCUGGAACAGCGAUUCUAGAUCAGGAGCACCUCACAAAGCAGCCUGACAACAACGCAGGAGAAUCCAACAGUAGUAAAGCGGAGCAGAGAUCAAUUCUGGACCCAAAAGAACCAUGCCUGCAUUCUGCCAACAGUGCCACUGUCGAGGGAAAUAAACCUAAACCACCGAGCUGGAGCAAUCUGAAAAAGCUUAUCCUUCUUAAGAGAUUCAUCAAGGCAUUGGAAAAGGUUAAAAAAUUAAAUCCACGGGAGCCACAAAUCUUGCUUCUGAAUCCUGAGGAGGCAGAAAAGAUUCAUCUGAAGCAUCAAGACAUAGAAGACAGGAAAAAUGCUGAUGACUGGAUGCUUGAUUAUGCACUUCAACAGGUUGUUGCUAAAUUAACUCCAGCUAGAAAAAGAAAAGUGCAGUUGCUUGUAGAAGCUUUUGAGACGGUGAUUACUAACAUUGAAAGUUCAUAGUGAAAUGCUCUAUGCAGCAUGCAGCUUCUAUUACUAUAGAUGCAAGCAUCAAGCCUCAAGUUAGUUUGCAAGGUAAGAAUAAUUAUGUAAGUUGACAUAAGUACAAGUGCAUGGCAUCCAAAAAUAGGCUAACUGUAUAAAAUGGCCUAUUGAAUUUAAAUAUUUUUCCUAUAGUGAAGAACACAGUGAACCUUUUGAUCUCAUUUGAUGCAACUCUAGUUGAGUACACUAGCUAUGCUGAUCCCAAUUGACUUAUCGGAGACAUGCCCACCAUUAAGCGACUCUUCAAUGGUUAAGCAAUAACCCUAAGUUAGGUCCAGAAUUACAUUAGAGAAGCCUAUUGGCCCAACCCAUACACCUAGGCCAUUAAAAGGAAGCUUCAGGCCCAAGGAACAGAUACCUAUAAACUAGGAUCUAGCCUAAAAUUCUGGCCCAAGGCCCACAUGCACAACCCAGCCCAAUAAAACCUAGCUUGCUAAGGGGUAAGUAGAUUAUGUUCCUCUCGCCGCAAGGCCACAACACCGACGAGGAGGACACCAAUGUUGUUGAUGAACAAAAAAAAAAGAUCUCCAGAAGAAAGCAUAAGUGACAACACAUAGAAAAACCCAUCUCAUAAAGGAGCACAAAAGGCAAAAGACAGAAGCAUCGUAUCCAGCUUCGUUCGGGUCGUGAAAGGAUGCAGAGAAGAGCUCACCUAAUGUUCUUGCCUUUAAAGAUCAACCAUCCAACACUGCGAGGUAUAAACUAAAGAUCCCCAAGAUACUCUGAAUGAAGCUAAAGAUAGAACCAUCCACCAACCAAGAAAAGAUAGAAAGCCCAUUGGAAUACAACAGAUGAAAAAUGUGUAAAACCAAAAGAGCAGUUGCUUCUAGGGAAUGCCUCUUCUCUACUGGCACCAUACGGGAACAAAUGCCUUAGGUCGGUGAAGCUUUCCCUGCGUGAGGAAGAAAAAUAUAAAGGAAGAUAAGAAAAUACAGAUCUACCUUUAUCCCUCUCCUUAACACUCAAAACCGUGGAUACAACAAAAAAAAACCCAGUUAUUUAUUCACAACUAGGGGGAGAACAAACCCAUGCUUUGGGUGGAACACAACAAACUUCGGAAUUUCACCUGUUUAAGUUAUUUUAGUUAUUUUAGUGUAUGUUUGGUCGAAUUUCAUUUCUUAAAAUUUUGAAUAAUUUAAUUGAAUUUCAUAUUUUAUGUGUUUGGUUUGAGUAGAAAUUAGAAUUUAAUUCUUGCUUGAAAUUUUCAUUAUAAUUAAAACCAAUUCCUUCAAAAUUUUUAUGAAAUUUAAAAUGAAUUCCGCAAAAUUUAUAUAACAAUAUUUUGUGGACAAAAAUAUCAUAUUAUCAUUUUCUUUUUUCUUAUUUGACGGAAAGUCUCUUUAAGCCCCUUGACAAUUAACGUAUUGUUCAUUUAAGUCCUCAUUGAUUAUGAUGAGUCUCAUGUAAGUCUCUCACUAGUCUUAGAAUAUUCAUGUUAUAUUUAUUUUAGAAAGAUUUAUAAUUUAGUCUCUGAAUAUUGUCAUUAUUAACAAGUCAGUCCCUGUAUUUUUAAAAACCUAUUAAAACGUCUUUAUCUUUUAUUUUCGUCAACGAAAUAGUCAUUCCGUCCUCUUUUCCGUUAAAAUUAGAUAAAGGAGGAGAGAGAAAAUUUUUAAAAUGCAAUUUUACUCUCAAAUAAAAUCUCUUAUUUAAUUUUUGGAUAUUGCUAUUAUUAACAAGUCAGUCCCUAUAUUUUCAAAAAUCUAUUGAAACGUUUUUAUCUUUUUUAUAUCUAUUAAAACGUCCUUAUCGUUUCUUUCUGUCAAUGAAAUAGUCUCUAUCUUUUCUCAUAUCUAUUAAAAUAUCUUUAUCAUUUCUUUCUGUCAACGAAAUAGUCCCUCCUCAUCGUUUCUUUCCGUCAACGAAAUCGUCCCUCCCUAUAUUUUCAGAAAUCUAUUAAAACGUUCUUAUCUUUUCUCAUAUCUAUUAAAACGUUCUUAUCGUUUCUUUUUGUCAACGAAAUAGUCCCUAUCUUUUCUCACAUCUAUUAAAAUGUUCUUAUCGUUUCUUUCCGUCAACGAAAUAGUCCCUCCUCCUCAAAAAAGAAGAAAAAGGAGAAGAAGGAGAAGAAAAAGAAGCAAAAGAAAGAGAAGAAGAAGCAGAAGAUGAAGCAGAAGCAGAAGUAGAAGAACGAGGAAGAAUUGAUGAAGAAAAAAAUGAGGAGGAGGAGGAGAAAAAAAGAGAGGGUAAUUUGGUAUUUUACUAUAUUUUUAACGGCAAAAAUAAAUGGAAUGACUGUUUCAUUGACGAAAAGAAAAGAUAAUGACGUUUUAAUAGGUUUAUAAAAAUAGAUGGACUGACUUGUUAAUAAUGGUAAUAUUCAGAGAUUAAAUUAUAAAUCUCCAUUUAUUUUACCUAUAAUCUUAUGGAGAAGAUCUAAAAAGUCAAAAUAUUCAAGCUUCAUGCAAAUCGAGGGAUUUUGAUUUUAGUUGUUGGUAUUAGAUCUAUCUCCAAGUUUAGAAAAAUGCAAAGUAGUAUGAAAUGACAACUUCUCAUUUUAAAACUUCUAAGGUAUUAUAAACAAAAGCUAAAGCCAUUUAAUUUAAAUGGCUGAGACAUCUUUUAGAUAUCGUCUAGAAUUAAGAAUUGAAUUUUUCUAACUCCUCUUUCCCAUAGUUGUUCCGUAAUAAACUUUGUAAAAUGCUUUGAGCAUUAUUAAAAAAAAUAUAUAUAUCAUAAAUAAAAGAAAAUAAAUCCGCUCAAAUUAGAAACUGAGCUUCUUCGGGUUAUCAUGAUUCUUGCCAAUUUUCAUUAGGUUAAAUGGGUCACAGAGAAGCAUAGGGCAUUAGGAGAAAGGAAAAUUCAAUUUUAAGGGCUUACAUAAAUAUAAAAAUAUCAAAACAAUCAAAAUGUUGCCCAUAGCUUAAAUAAAAAUAAAAAUUAUUAAAUUAGUCAAAUUAAAAUUUCUAAAAUUUUAAUUAAAAAAUUACGAUAUUUCAUAUUAGUAAACGGUUGAUAAUUCAAUAGUCAAUAUUUCAAAUAAUUGUUAUAUUUUAUUUAUUUUUAGUAUUUUUCUAAAUUUAACAAUGAAAUUAGCAAUAAAAACUGUGUUAGAAAAAUUUUCACCUCUAAUCUUUUAUUAUAUAUAUAUAUAAUGAAAAGAAAGAGAAAAUAAUAGAAUUACUAAAAAUAUUAUUAAUUCUUUAAGAUAUUUAUAUUUUUAAUUUUAGUAUUUAUUUAAAUUAGAAAUCCUUAAUAUUCAUAUUAACAUUCAAUUCAAAAUAAAAUUUUAUAAAAAUAAUUAAAAGAUUAUGAAAUUCAUUAAAAAUGUGAUUUCUAAAGAAAUGGUCAAUUUAUUUUAAAAAAUAAAUACAAAUUAUAAAUUUAUAUUUCUUUCUGAUAAUAUUCUAAAAAAUUAAUAAUGAAAACCCGCUGCGUUUUUAGUUAUAUUUUUCUAGUUUUUAUUUUGGCCUAUUUUAUGUGGCCUAUAAUUUAUAUCUGAGAGGAAAAUAAAAAAGCUAUUUAUAGUGCACAUUAUAUUUUUAAAUUACUAUAAUGAUAAUGAAGACUAAAUUUAAUUAAUUAUAAAAUUAAUUUAUUUUAAAAUUUAUUAUUUAAAUUCUUCUAAUUAAUUUUUUUCUAUUAUAAUUCAAUUAAAAUAAAAAAAAUGUUAAUUCCACCUUCUAAAGAUGAAAAUUAAAAUAAUAAUUUUAAUAUAUGAUAUAAUAUUAAAUAUUAAAAAAAGAAAUAAUAAAACCCUUUUUUCUUUUAAAUUAAUUUGUAUAAAAUUGAUUAAAAAUAAAAAUAAAUAAACGCUACUUUCACCUUAUAAAAAUGAAAAACUAAAAUAAUGAUUUUAAUAUGUGAUGCAGUGCUAAAUAUUUUUUUAAAAAAAAAAUAAAAGUCUUUUUUUUAUUUUUUAAAUUGAUUUGUAUAAAAAUUGAUUAAAAAUAAAAAAAAAUAAAACUUUUGAAUAUUUAAAUCUAUUUCAUUUAUUGAGAAUUAUAUCACAUUUAACAUGAAAAUAAAGUUUAAUUUUAUAAUUUAUAUAAUUUUAUAACAUAGAAUUCAUAAAGAUAUUAUCACAUAAUUCAACAUUAUCAUAAAAUUUUAGUAUGGUUAAAAUAGGAAAAAAAAACAAUAUAAACUAAUAUAAAAAUUAGUAUUUAAUAAAAUUUUCAUCUCAUACAAAAAAAAUUAGGCCAAGUAAAAUACUUAGAUCAUAAUCUAAUUUGCCAAAACAAUUAAUUAAUAAUAGUUUAAAUACCAAAAUCAGAGAGAAUGGUUUAAAUAAUAAUUUAAUAACUAAAUAUAUUUUUACACAUUUAUAUUAUUUCAUAUUAAUUUCAUUCUAAAUAAUAUAGUGUGAGAAUUUCUUAUGAUGGGAAAAUUUUGUUUCAAGAGAAAGAGUGAAAAAAAAUCCUUAAAAAAUCAAAAGUUUUAAAUUCAAAAGAAUCAAUCUAAUAAAAUUUUGGAAGUUAUAUUAAUAGUAAUCAGAAUAAUCAGAGUUUGAAGCUUCCGUUUAUUUUACGGAAAAUAAUUUAUUUUUUAUAAAAAAAUUUUAUUUGCAACAAUAAAUUAAUUAUAAAAUACUUAUGACCAUAAUUUUAUAAUAAUAUCAUGCAAUAAUUAUAUAUUGCUAUUAUAAAUUUAUAAUAAUAAAUUUUUAUAUUUUUUACAAUAAAAACUUUUAUUUUUAAUUUUAGCAAGAAAGUGUAUGGAUAUAUCAAGAAAUUUUUAAUUAUUUAUAUUUUCAUUUUUUAAAUAAAAUUAGAUAAUAUUUUUCAAAUUUUUUUUCAUUAUUUACAUAGUUAAAUUUUUUUUAGUUUUUUAAGAUUUGUAAUUGAAAAUUAGUACAUUAAGAUGUAUUAUAUUAUAUAUGAAAAAAUUAUAUAAAAUUAUAUAAAAAAAAUUAUAAGUGUAAAAGGAAGUACAAUUCACGUAAAUAAAAAGUAGGCCAUAGCGCAUCAGGCUUUUUUUAGCCAGAUUGAUUCAGUAUCGCAAGUUCUGAUUCAGACAUAUGAAUAGGUUGGACCUAUCCUAAACCCAAGUCCGACAGAAAGUAAUUCAGUCUGGUAACGUGACGUGAAGAAAAAUAGUUGGUCCAGUCACUUCGCAGCCCUGAUCACAUGCGCUUUAAGGAAAUUAAAUGGUCGCCUAGUGUGAAAAUGAAACACUAACAUAUCUGUAUAUACGGACGUCAUUAGCCGAAAAAAAGAGAACGUGAAGGAGGAAGGAGAGGAGAGUUUCCGAACCAGGCCAAGCUAAGCUAACUCAAUUUAAGUUUUCAAACUGUAAAAUUUUAUUUUCUGAAUUUCAAAACAUCAUACUGAAAUUUUGAUAAACUAUUUUGCUGAUGUUAAAUACUAUUAAAAAUCAUAUAUAUAAGUUUGAAGAGUUAAAAUUUUUUUAAAUAAUGUUAAAAAUUAAAUUAAAAAUAUUAUUAUUUUUUAUUUUUAAUAUUUAUUAAUAAAAAUUUCAGAAAAUGUUAAAUUUAAUUCAAAAAUCAGUUUCCACAAUUUUCUCAUUAUUGAAAGGGAAAUAAUGUAUUUGACACAAAAGGUAACGUGGUUGAAUUUAACAAUGAUAAAUAAAUAUAUAAUUAAAAAAUAUUUUUUUUAGAACGAUUUAAUUUUUUUUCUUUGAUAAAAAAAUAUUUUUUAUUUACUAAUUUUUCAAAAUAUCUUAUACACAAAAAUGUAUAGAAAAAAUUUUCCUUAAAAAUACUUUUUAUGAAAUAAGCAGAGUUUGAAGUAUAAAUAUAAAAAUAACUAUAUUAACUAUUAAAUAAAAUUCUAGAAUAUUCAAAAAAGAAAUCAAUCAAAUUCUAGAAGAAAGAAACUUCUUUAAUAAUAGCAGACGAGAGGCUGCAGAUGGAUGAGUCGACAAAAGCAUAGGCAUAAAAAUCACAAGUAAAAUAUUUGAAAUCCAAACCCUAAUAGAAAAAGAAUUCCUCUUCCUAAACAAGAAACGAACUUAAAGCCCAAGCAAUGGCUCUCUAUAAAUACAAAUGCAUAGAAUUCACCACCUUUAUAUCCCAAGAGCAAACACUUACCAUCUAAUAAGAAAAUCCAUGGCUGGCCUUCAAUACCACUUCUUUCCUACAGAUUUCUACUACCCUCGUCCACCACCAUCAACCACCACCACCACCACCAAGCCAGCCGUUGUCCCCAUGCAGACGCAAAAAGAAGAUGAUAAGAAAAAACCCAACGCCAUGCAAGAGAAAGAGAAUAGCAGAAGCCUUCCUCAGCUCUCUUGUUCAAUUUCAGCACUCCCUUCUGCUCCUUCCACAAUCGUCAAGGGCCAGAGUAAACACAAAACUGUCUUGGAUAACAUCGCAAGUAAUUACUGGGAUUUUGGCAGUAAUUAGAAACUAAUAUACCUUAGUUUUUUAAUUAUUAGUUAAGUUUGUUAUGUUGUUUAGGCAUUGUAAUCAAAGUUUUCCUUUGUUAAGCUUCUUAAAUUUCUCAGUUUGUGAAGUUAACAGUAGACAUUGAAAAUCCACAAACUAAUGGAUUAUUGUGUAAUUUCACUCUUAUGCUUAUUCGAGAAGUUUAAUUUAGUUUCUUUUUAUUAUUUUUUAAAUUAAUUGAGAUAUUUUAAUUUGAACUCAAUUUAGAAAGGAAAUUAAAAAAUCAAGUUUCUUAAUUUUUGGGCUGAAAAGUCUCAUUCAAUUGGGAGUAAAAUGACAAAAUAAGUGUAACUUUUCAAAGAAGUAUUAAAAAAGCCCUUUUCUUUUUCUUUUUGCACUCUUAGACAACAAGACAAAUUUACUAGGAAGUGAAGCAUUAUGCUUUUCUUAUUCUAGAAACCAACUUUUUUUUUUUUUAUCUACAAAUGAUAAUUGCAUUACAUAACUGCAACUCGCAUUAAACUUUAUUAUAAAAAGUAGUGCAAAUUCAUCAACUGAUGCUACUAUCAAUUCAGUGGUAAUAAAUAUCCUAUAAAAUUUAAUUAUUAUUGAUCCAUAAAUUUUGAAGGAAUUUAAUUUUUAAUAAUACUAAAAUUUAAUGAAUUACACUUAUCUAAUUUUUCAGUAUUAAAAGUAAAGUAUUUAAAAAGUAUUAAAAAAUUAAAAGAACUCUUUAUAUAAAAACUCUUAUGGCAACAAAAAAAAUUAUGAAAAAUAUAACCCUUUUAAAAUUUUUAACUAUAAAUGAGACGAAUUAUGGAGAAAUCUUCAAUACUAUUUUGCUAAACACGUAAGGUUAAAAUUUUCAAAAUUUUUAAAUCUUAAUCCGUUCUAAAAUUUUAAUGGAUAUGAUUUAUGUCAAUUUACCUAAUAAAUUUUUCUUUUUCAUCCCAUCAAAAAUUUUAGAGUAGACUAUUAAAUUUUAUUGAAAACUAUUUGAAAUACUGAAUAAUAACUAUCAUGUUAGUGGAAAUAGCAAAUAAAAUCGAGCUAACAUUGUAGCAUGACCUGCCGGUCAAAACUAACUUAGUACGUUGAACUUAGUAAAUUAUACUUUUAUUUUUAUAAUUUAAAUAAACUUCUAAGAUUUGACAAAAUUCAUACAGUAGUCAUCAUUAAAAUUUUGGUAACAAAUUAAUUUCUAAAUUUGAUUUUAAUCUAACAAAAUAUUUCUUCUAUUAAUAAGAGAUACAAAUUACUGUUUGUUGACCAUUGACUACAGAUUUUAUGUUUUUUAACUACUAAAAUAUUCCUCUGAGUAGCCAAUAUUUUCUUUUUUAAUAAAAAGUUCUUUUGUUCUUUAUUUUAAUAAUAAAAAAUUGAGAAAUUACUAUUUUAAUUUUAAAAAAUUGAUGAACUUGUGGACUUUUUCUAUUAUUUUUUAUUUAUUAUCAUUAUAAAUAAUUUUAAUUUUAAAAUAUAAAAAUUAAUAUUUUAUAAAUACAAAAAUUUUUAUAUUUAUAAAAAUCAAUUUAUAUAGACUCCAACUAUAAUAUGUAAGUAUAAAAAUCAAUUUUUAAUUUUUGAUUAAGUAUAAAAAUUCAUCUUUAAUAAUUAAAUCUGUAAUAUUUAUACUUAUAUAGAAUAUAAAAUUUAAUUUUUAUACUUACAGAAUUUUAAUUUUAUAUUUUAAAAAUUAAAAUUAUUUAUUAUAAUAAUAAAUGAUAUAAUUUAAUAUUCAUCCAAAAUAUGUCAUGAGUCAUUACAUAUGAGUGAGUCACGUGAUAAGGUCUCACUGAGUUAUGGCACUCGAUUACGAAAGUCUUACUCGAAAGGAAAAAAAAAAAUCACAUCGUAACGAUCGAUGCUAGAACGACACAAGACUCACCUUCUCCUGAAUGCCGAUCGAGCCUCUCAUUACAUAAGUUAUCAUUAGAUUAUAGAAUUCAGUAGAUUUCUAUUACACCUAUAAUCAUAGUAUCUUUUAUCAACUAACCAAUAUCAAUAGAAUUUUCAAAAGAUUUACUAACAACUCGAUAUUCUUACGGUAUAAAUGCAAAAUAUAUAUAAAGUUUAAGGUAAAUAUUAAUACAUACUCAUUCUUAAAUUCAAGCUAUUUUCUUACACUCGUCCUUUUGUACAAAUUACUGAUUUAAGCGUCGGAUUAACUUUCCAUAUGUACCAACCACCUCACCUUCUUCUUUUGCAGAUUUACUAAUUAUCUUUUAAUAGGGAUAUAAAUGAAGCAAACCGUUUAUGAGCUAUUCGAGAUUUGACUCGAUAAAAGCUCGACCGAGCUCAACUUGAUUUCUAAACAAGUCAAACUCGAACUUAAUUUGUAGGCUCAUUUAGUAAAUGAGUCAAGUUUAAACUCUAUAGUAUUUGACUUGUUAAGAUUCGUGAGUCCGACUCAUCUUUUAGUUUAAAGCAAGCUCGCGAACAGACUCUUGAAUAGUUUAGUUAAGCAGUCUCGUUAAACAGGCUGAUAUUAAUAUAAUAAGAUAAAUAAAAUCAAACACUGCAUAUACUUUUAUAAGGCAAACCUAAAUUUUUUAAAGUUUAACUCUAUUUAAUUUAAUUACACUUUUAAAACUUCUAUAUAUUUGGAUCGUUAAGAUUUAAGAGCUCAUUUUUAUAAAUUUACGAACUAAUUUAUAUAUAUAUAUAUAUAUAUAUAUAACUAAAAUUAUUUAGUUUUAAACGUAUUAAUUAAAAUAAUACACAUUAUAUAUAUAAAUAAAUUAAAUUAUUUAUAAACUAUUCAAGACUAAAUUCAAUAAACAUUCGACUCAUCUAAACUCAUUUAUUAUGAAUUAAAUUUGAAUUUAUUAAUAAUCAAUUUGAGUUUGAAACGAGUACAGAUGGAGUUGAACUUAAACUCAAAAAAACUUUAACAAACUAAAUUUAAAAUUUUCAAAACUCAUAUCCUAUCGCCUCAGUUUAUUUAUGUCCCUAUCUUUUUAACUCAUUUUCAAUCACACUAACAAAUAAGAAAAAUAAUGAAUAAAAUCCACAAAUUCACUAAUUUUUAAAAUUUAAAAUAAUUAUUUCUUAAUUUUUUUAUUAUUAAAAUAAAAGAUAAAAAUAACUUUUAUUAUUAAAAGAAUUGACCACUGAGAAAGACAUUGAUCAUUAUAAAAUAUAAAAUCUAACUAAGCAAUUUAUAUUUUUUAUUAAUGGAAUGAUUAUUUUGUUAAAUGAUAAUUAAACUUAUAUAUUUUUGUUAAACUUUAAGGAGUUUUCUCUAAAUUAUUCUAUUUUUUAAAUUAAUUUUAAUUAAUUUUUUUCAAUUUAUUAUUUUUAAAAUCAUAUUAUAUAUAAGUUACAUUUUUCUAAUUAAAUUAAUAAAUUUUAUUAUUUUAUCAUUUAAUUUAUUAUAUUUGAAAUUAGAUUAUAAAUAAAUAUUAUUAUUUUUUAAUUAUAAUUUAGAGGAAACUUACCUUUGGAAAAUUAAUUUGCAGUAAAUACAUUUCAGAUAAUAAAUAAAUAAUAUUAUUUUUUAAUUAUAAUUUAGAGGAAACUUACCUUUUGUAAAAUUAAUUUGCACUAAAUACAUGCUUGAAGUAAAUUUUUAGAAAUAUACUUUCUAAAAAUAUAUUAUUUUGAACCAAAUAAAACCUAAAUUAAGAAUUGAAGCUGAAAAAUCAUGAAAUUAAUUUUUUUUGCUUUUUUUAUGUAAAUUGAUAUCAAGAAAUUCAGUUUAAAAAAUUUUAUUUUUUGUGCUAAGUCGAAUUAAAAUUAAAAUUUGUGAAUUAGUUUAGAUUAAAUAUUCCUAAUAAUAAAAUAUAAAGUUUUAAAAAUGAACAUUUAGUCAUAAACAAAUUCUAGAAGAAAGAAACUUCUUAAAGAAUAGCAAGUAUCGUAACCAAGAAAGAAGCUUCCUUUUUGUUUUUUCUUCUGGAAGACAGCAGGCAGAGAAGUCAACAAAAUCAUAAAAGUCAAAGUAAAAUACUUGAAAUCCAAAUCCUACUGCAAAACUACUUCCUCUCUGUAAACAAGAAACAUACUUGAAGCCCAAGCAAUGGCUAUGGCUUCCCUCUCUCUAUAAAUACAACAAAAAGGCAGAGAAAACCUAAUUUUAAUCAGUUGAUCAGUGAGCCAAGGAGCAGACAAAUAGAGAAUCCAUGGCUGGCCUUCAAUACUACUUCUUCCCUACAGAUUUCUACUAUCCUCGUCCACCAUCGUCUACCACCACCACCACCAGCAAGCCAGCAGUUGUUCACAUGCAGACGCAAAGAGAGGAUGGCAAGAAACAGACCAACGACAUGCAAGAGAAAGAGAAAAGCAGAAGUCUUCCUCAACUCUCUUCUUCAAUUUCAACAGUUCCUUCUUCUCCUUCCAUAAUCGUCAAAAGCCAGAUUAAACACAAUACUGUUUUGGAAAACAUCGCAAGUAAUUACUGGGAUUUUGGCAGUAAUUAGAAACUAUAUAAAUCUCUGCUCCACCAUUGCAAUGGAUUCCAUCCCAAUUGUAUAUGGAAUUAUAAUUUCUUAAUUACUUAAAUUAAUUAGUUAAGUUUGUUAUUGUUUAUGCAUUGUAGAUAAGUUUUCUUUUGUUUUAGAUUCUCAAAUCUCGACAGCCAUUUUGCAUCUCUCCGUUCGUUCCAAAACCUUGUUGCUGUUCUGCGGAUGGCUGAAGCACUUAGUCUUUGCGAAGUUCCAAACUGGCUCUGCUAGCUAGUCGGGUUUUCAGGAUUGCCAGGAACUUGUGACAUCUCGGAGACUAGUGGGUACCAUGGUUUUUCCUUUUAUCUUUUUCUUUUGUUUUCUAUUCUUUAAAUUCAACUGUUUAAUUCUUAUGUAUGAACAAUAAAUUUUAUAUUAGGAGUCUUAUAUAGUUUGAAUUUUAUUUUAUUUUAAUAUAUUUGAAUUGAUUUUUUGUAUCCGCGAUAAUUUGUUAUUUUUCUUAAUCUUUUUAAAUAGGAUUAAAUAUUUGAAUGAUCUUUACCAUUGAUUAAUAUCGGAUGAGAAAGUUCUAGAAGUAAGAAAUCCGUUGAUCAGUUGAUCAGGCAAAGAAACCUCAUUAAUAAUCAGUUGAUCAGGGAUUCCAAGAGCAAAGCAAUAUCAUCAAUACAAUCCAUGGCUGGCCUUCAGUACUACUUCUUCCCUACAGAUUUCUACUACCCUCUUCCACUAUCAUCCACCACCACCAGCAGCAGCAGCAGCAAGUCAGCAGUUGUUCACAUGCAGACGGAAAGACAAGAUGGCAAGAAACAGCACAGCAACGUGCAAGAGAAAGAGAACAGCAGAAGUCUUCCUUAACUCUCUUCUUCAAUUUCAACAGUUCCUUCUUCUUCUCCUUCCAUAAUCGUUAAAAGCCAGAUUAAACACAACGCUGUCUUGCAUAACAUUGCAAGUAAUUACUGGGAUUUUACCAGCAAUUAGAAUUCAUUGCAAUCGAGAAUUCAAUCCCACAUGAAUAGAGACUUUUCUUAAUUAUAUAUCUUUGUUAAUUAAUUAGUCAGAGUUUGUUCUUCUUGUUUAUGCAUUGUAUUAGAGGUUCUCCUUGGUUUAGUUUCUUAAUCGGCAAUUUUCCUUUAUCCAACUAAAUAGCAAGCUUUUCUUUUAUAGUAGAGAACUUAGGGAUUUUUCUUAUAAUUAUAUUGGGGAUUUUUCUAAUAAUUGUACUGUUAAAAUAUAAAAUUAAUAUAAAUAUUUGAACAAAUUAUAAAUUAUUUUAUUUUCAAACUUAGCUUUUAAAUAAAUAUAUUAUUAAAUUUAUUUAUAAUUUUAGAAUGAUUUUAUUUAUAUGUUUGUGAGUCUGCUCAUAAUAUUUUAUGAGUCAAAUAUUAUUAAAUUUAAAUUUAAUUAAAUUAAUUUUAAAUUUAAUUCAUUUAAAAAAUAAACUGAAUUGGAUAAAAUUUUUAUGUACGAAAAUUUUGAAUAGCUCAUAAUAAUAUAGUUAUUCAUGUAUCUAGGUUGAGCAAUUCAUUGAAUGGAUUGCAAUUAUUUUAAUUUAAAUGGUGGAUCAUCUCAAGACUUUCGUUCUUUUUUUCCCUCUAAAAUCAGAUCAUUUCAAGUUAUGAAUUUAUUUUAUUUACUCAUUAUAUUAUUAUUAAAAAAAAUAUUUCAUGUCAAAAAUUUGAAGAGUUUAAUUCAUUUUGGAUUAAAUUAAUAACUUUUAAAAAUAUUAUUAUUUAUUUAGUUUUUAAAAUUAAAAUUCAAAAUUCAUCGAAUUAAUUUAAUUAUAUAUUUAGAUAAUGUCUGAUUUAGCAUCAAGUAUUUAGUAAUCAUCAACUGAUAGAUAACUGAUAUGAGAACUAUGAUUACAUUAUAUUUAAGAUCAACUCUGCAAUUAAGGAUUUGCGGCUUACUAAUGGUUACUGUGAUUUUUCUAAAAAAUAGUUAUUUUUCUAAUUUGCUUACUAAUGGUUACUGUCAUCAGAACCUGGGUGGGUUCGAUUGCGGCUCAAGAAUGAAAAGGGCAGCCAUCAGAGUACAAGAACAGCUAUCACAAGAAGAAUGGAGAAUUGAGUUACUGUGGAGGCAGGUUGGAUGAGUCAAGAAGCAGGGGUUUUAGGUUGUAAAAUUUGCAAAAGUAUGUCGAAGGUGAAUAAGUGGAUAUUGGGUGGCCCGCUUGGUUUAGCAUAGUUUCCAACAAAACCAUUCAGGGAUGGGUUUCUGCUUAUAGCUAAUAAUUCAAUAAUCGCAAAUUGAAUAUCCAUCAUACACAAAUUGAUGGAUUAAUUAGAAUCUGUUUUUGAUUUGAGAACAAUUGCUGGAAAUAGCCAAUUAGUCCCUUUCAAAUGACUUAGCUAUCACGUGUAUAUGUCGACGUUCGUUUGGCCAUUGGCCGUGCAUGCCAAGCCGCCCCAGCAUCAGAGUCCAUCACAAGCUGCUUUAUUAGGGAGACCCAAUAUAAAUUAAUUAAGUGUGGUGCUUUCUUUCGUUAUCUUAUUUUUAAAUUUAUUUUUUUAUUUAAUUUUAAUUAAAUUUUAAUCCGAGUUCCAAAAUUAAUUUUAACAUUAUUAAUUAAUUUCUUUAUUUAGUCUAGAAAAGAUAUGCAUAUUCGAAUAUGCGUAAUUUUAAUUACUUUAAAUAAUUUUUUAAAUUAAAAAAUUAAACUCUUUCAUUUCAAAUAUAAAAAAUUGAUAAAAGAAAAUCAAUUAAAGCCGUCUCUUGACUCUCUUCCCUUCUCUAUGCAAUAAUUUUUCCUAUAUAACUGUGAAGUAGGAAGCACUACAUCCUCCAACCAAGAAAGCUCAGAACCUUCAUUACAGCUCUCUUGAUUUAAUUAGUUCUUGUCCUUGUAACUAAAUUUCUCCACCUCCAGACAGAGCUUCCAUGGCUGGUCUUCAACAAUACUACUUCUUCCCUACUGAUUUCUUCUACCCUCGUCCACAAUCAUCAGUUCAUGCAGAUACUGCUCAGAAAUCUGCUGUUUCCCUGCAGAUUCAGAAGCCAGAUAUCUCUAAAGAUCUUAAAAAUCCCACCAGCUUAAGCCUCGUUCUUUACACCAACAACCAUCCCCACAAGGCUUCUGCUGCCAUUAACAUAACCAAAAGCUCUUGAUUUAUUAUAUAUAUAAGCUGCAGGAGUCAAGAAGGAAGGAAGAAAGAAAGAAAGAUCAUCCAGAGACUGAAGCAAGCUUGUGCAUGGGUCAAAUCCUUCAUAUUAAACCCUGUUUGAUAUGUUUGUGCAUAUCUUGGUUUAGUUUGUAUAAGGAAUUUGCAGAUUUUUCUUUUCUUUUCUUUUUCUUUUUGAUUUUCUGUUCCUUUCUCUGAAAGUGGUAUUUAAGAAGUUUAUAUUGUUACUAUUAUUAUUUUCUCAUAAUACCAACAUGUAGCUCUUCAAGUCAUUGAUAGUGAUAACGUUUUGUAAAUAAGAUAUAUGGUAUACACUCUCUUGUUUUUUACUAUUUGAUUUAUAAAAUAAAUUACUAUUCGAAUAAAAGGGUUUAUUUUUUGAUAAAAUUUUAGAAAAUAUAGAAGAAAUUCAAAAAUUUAUUGAAGGGAAUAAAAGGAGUAGGGGUGUAAAUGAACCAAUUCGAGAUUCGGUUCAUUAAAAGUUUGACUGAGCUCAACUUGAUUUAUAAACAAAUCAAGUUCGAGCUUAAUUUUUAGCCUUAUUUGAUAAACGAGUCAAGUUUGAGCUCCAUAAUAUUAAAUUUGUUAAAACUUGUGAGCUCAAUUCAUUUCUGAAUUCAUGAGUAGGCUUGCGAAUAGGUUCGUGAACAAUCCCGUUAAGUAAGCUGAAAUUAUUAUCAUAAGAGAAAUAAAUUCAAAUCUUGCAUAUAUUUUCAUGAGUCAAAUUUAAAUUUUCUAAAAUUUAGCUUUAUAUAGUUUAGUUACACUCUUAAACUUGCAUAUAUUUGAAUUAUUAAGAUUUAAAAAUUUAUUUUUAUAAGUUUACGAGUUAAUUUGUAGAUAUAUUAUUUAAUUAAAAUUAUUUUAAUUUUAAACUUAUUAAUUUUAAACUAAAACUCAUUAUAGAUGUAGAUAAAUUAAACUAUUCGUAAACUAUUUGAGACUAAAUUUAAUAAAAACUCGACUAAAUUUGAUAAAAACUCGAUUCGUCUAAACUCGUUUACUAAACGAGUCAAGUUGAAACUUUUUAAUACUCAGCUCAAAGAUGAAAAUGAUUAAAACUCGAAUUCGACUCAGACUCAAACUCAGAAAAAUUUUUAAUAAACUAAAUUUAAAAUCUUCAAAACUCAAUUUGGCUCUAUUCGUUUACGCCUGAAAAUAGUAACUACGGAUGAAUAGUUUUCAAUUUGAUGAAUCUCUAAUGUAAGCCAGACAAAUUGGGUAUCAUAUAUAUAAUUUGAUGGAUGAAUUAGAAUUUGAUUUUGAAUUUAAGAUUAACGGCUAGAAAUAGCCAAUUAGUCCCUUUCAAAUGACAUUAGCCAUCACGUUCUAUUUUCCACGUUUGGCCAUAGGCCACGCUUGCCAAGCCGCCCUGGCAUCAGCGUCCAUCCAAAGCUGCUUUUAUUAGGAAAGUCCAAUUAAUGUAAUAGAAAACUUUUUAAAGUAAAAAUUAAAUCAUAUUAAUUAAAAAUAAAUUAAAUUAAAAUUUUAAAUUGAUUAGAUUCCAUCCAUUAUUUCGAUAUGAACAGAAUACUACAAAAUUUAUUAUUAUUUUUUUAAAACGGAUACCCUAUUGUUUUUUAAUUUUUACAUUUAUUUUAUUAUUUAAAUUUUGAAAUCUUAUAGUCUGAAUUCUGAAAUCGAAUUUAAUAGUGUUGCAUGGUAAAAAAAAAAUAGUAUUAUUAAAUUAUAAUUUAGUAAUAAAUUAUUUUUUUUUUAAAAUAGAAUAAGGUAAAAUCUCUUUGGAAAGGAAAUAUACUUACCUGCAACCCAACAAAAUCUUUUAUGUUUAAGAAAAAAACUGAUGAGUAAAACAAGUAUGUCGUAUUUUAAUUCUCCUUCUACUAUUUUUUUUUUCACCAAUUGAUUUUAAAAAAAUAAAUAAAUAUUUGCCUUAAUUUUAUUUUAUUGUAAAUAUUUUAAUUUUAGAUAAUUUAUAUUCUCUGACAAUCUAACCUUUCGACAUUUAAAAUUUUUUAUUUUAAUUAUUAAAUACAGUUAAAAAUCGAUAAUUAAUAAUUAUUCCUAACAUACAAUAUACAUUAAUAGAUUUAAUCUGAUAAAUAAAUUUAAAACAUUUCAUAUUCUAAUUGUUAAUUUUUAUUUUAAAAAAAAUUAAUAUCGAGUAUAUAUUAAUAAAAUUUUAUGUAAUAUUUUAUUAUUUAAACUUUAUCAUUUUAAAAAAUUUAUUAAUUAAUUUAUUUAUAUUAAAAGUAUUUUAAAAACAAUUUUUAUAAUAUUUAAAAAUUAAAAUUAAUUAAUAAAAAAUGUUAAAUAUAUUUUAAUAUAUUUUUUAAAAUAAAUUUAUCAAUAUUUUUAUAGUACUAAUAUUCUCUGUAUAAAAUAUAUGAGCAGCUUUCUCUUGGCCUCGUGACUAACGAAAUGGUGGCGAGUUAUGACACGAAAUCAAACAAGUCAGCACAUUUUUUGAAGCUUCACUUGCAACAGUCAACAUACAACAACGUAAUAUUCAUAUUGUUUGACUAAAUCAAUUUAGUAUUUCGUGUUUGCUGACGCCAUUUCAUAAAUUAUUUUAUAUUAAUAUUUUAAUUUUAUAAUUAUUUCUUUAUAUAAAGUUUGAGGCAGUAUGAGUUUACCUCCAUUGCCUGGGCGUCGUAGUUUAUAUGGCCCAAGAUAUUAGCUCUUUUGAGGCCCAAGACAAGAAAGACAAGUACAAAUCCACUAAAAUAGGGUCAAAACUGUCUAGAAUUGAAAGCCUAGAAAGAUAAAAACAAUAGAAAGCAAAAAUGAGCUAUAAAAUCUUAGAAAUUAUAUUUUAAUUUAUAAUUAAUUUUUUUUAAUUUAACAAUUUUGAUUAUAAUUGUAGUAAAUUAAAAAAAAUUAAUUUUUUUUAAAAUAAAAUUUAAAAAUUGACGAAAUAGAAUAUGAGAUUUUUCAGAUUUACUCAAAUGAACUUAUUCACAAGAUUAUGUUCGUAAAUGAAAAAAAAAAAUUUUUUUUAUCUCCAAAAUACCCUUUUCCUCGCUCCAAUCUCUUCCAAGAGAAAUUAAUGGAAGCCCUCAAACAAAGUCCCAAUUGCGUUGAUUGGCCUGACCUGAUGUAUUUACAACAGCAAAUUAACCAACUCUGAGAAACUCUUCUCCCUGAUUUUUUCCAUUCAUCAAUGAAGUUAUUCUCAGCAGUCUCUAGAAAUUGCAAAGCAUAAGAAGCUAAGAAAAAGAGGGUAGUUUAUUUAAAAUAGAUUUAAAAAUAGUUAAAUUUUAAAAAUAAAAAAAAUAUAUAUCUAUUAAUUACAAUAUAAAAUUGAUUUAAUACAUUUUUUAGGAGCAUUUUUAUCAAAUAUACAUAUUUUUUAAUUUUAAGCUUAAAUUAAAAGUUCUGAAUUUAAUCAAACAAAAAAACUCAUUUUGAACUUGUUUGGACAUGAGAAAAAAUUAUCUAAUUCGAGCUUGGUUCUCUUAAGUUCCAAUUUUGUUAUAGUAUUUUCAUGUUUGUUUCAAAUAAUACAGAUUUGAUGUUAGAUUAGUUUCUUUUAGCUUUUACAUUUAGAUUUGUCAAGUUGUUUGUGAUUUUUCUUCAAUAGGAUUUAUUGCCCAUAACAAAAGCAUUGAAUCCUUGUCAGCAUUUUGAACAUAGAAUUUUAGUUUUUCUCUAAAGAAGCAUUGAGCUGCAGAAUAAAUAAAGAAGCAAUUCAUAAUCUUAAUUAAAUACCAUAUACAUGAAACUCAUAACCGAAACAAAUUUUACAAUACGAUACAAUAAUUUUAUAGCUAUCGAUCAUCGAUUAGGAAGAAUAUAAUGAUUUAAUAGCUAUUGAUCAUAAUAAAACUAUUAUACGUACGACAAUUUAUAUCUAUCGAUCAUUGAUUAUGGAAAAUAUAAUGAUUUUAUAGCUAUCGAUCAUGGUGAAAUGAUCAAAUUGUUACGUAAAUUUCAUUAUAAUUAAUAGUUAAUAUCUAAUGAUUAUUAUGGGAUUGUAUUGAAUAACUUAUGGGUCUAGGGGCAUUUGGGACCUCCUCUUUUGGUCUUCCAGUUAUUGUAGCAAGGGCAGGAUUGCUUGUUUCCAUAAGUUCCAGAAGGCACACACAAGCACUUAGCACAGCACUUCUGGCAGAAGAACAUGCAUGGUUUCCUGUAUUGUGUCUUUGAGCAUCUUGUGGUGCAACGCGGUGCACACUCUGCAUCCAUCCAUCCCCAACCAAACUCCAUUAUUAUUUCACAUUUUUCAUUAACAUAAUUAAUUAUCUAUUUUUCCAAAAAACUGAUAAUAAUAUUUAAAUUUUAAAUUUAUUGUAAUGUUUCUGGAUGGUUGUUAAUUAAUUACCUUGAGGAUGAAGGCUUCCUUGAGUGGUGCCAUACUGAAUAAAACAGCAAAUGAAUAAAUCAAAAUCAUUGUAUUAAUUAGCAAACUGUUGUUUUAUAUAUUUACAAAAUAUAAAAAUAAAAAGAAUCUCACUGUGGGAAGAUUGCUGUUGGGUUGUGGCUCAGGAGUUGGAGCCUCAGAAAUGGAAGCCUGCAGAAAGACAUCAGCAAUGAGAAGAGGACAAUAGACCUUUCUUUGUAAUUAAAGAGGGUUUGAUUAUAAUUUCCAGAAAACUUUUGGCAGCUGAUAAGUUGAUAUUAAUAGGAAUAUAGUUCCUGUAAGAGAAGAGAGAACAAAAGAUAAUUGCCAACUUACGUUGUUCUCUGCUACAAAAAGAAGCAUCAAACAAAGAGCGAAAAUGGCAAUGCUUGCUUUCCUCAUAAUUGCGUAUACUUGGAAGCAACAGCAGAGAGAUAAGAAGCUCUGUGUGUGUCUGAGAGAGAGAGAGAGAGAGAAUGUACGGUUGACAAGGCAGUGAAGGGUAUUUAUAGCCAUUUUGAUAACCAUGAUAUUGUAGCUAAAAUUUGAUGGGUUUUUUAAUCAAUAAGAUGAAAAGUAAAUAAACUUCGUCAGUGAAUUAAUUAGGCUAACCAGGGAAAUAGGGCAAACCCCAGUUUAUGAAUUAGCAUAGCAGAUAUGGAGCAAUACAAUAAGGAGAUAAGCAGAUAGAGAAUUCUUCAUGAAGCAAGACGUGUCAUGAUGAAGAGCAAUAGCCAGUUUACUACGUACAAAAAAAGAGUGAGAGAAAGACAACCUCAUCUUCUUCAAAUUAUCCAAACUCCCAAAGAUUCUUUUUUACCACUUUCCUAAGUUGUUUCAUCAAUAGGUUUAAACUCAAAAACUUAUAUUCCAAAUGGUGAGAUUUCCCUUUUUCUCUCUUGAUCAAAGUUUCCAAUUCGAACUCUGCCUAUGAAAUAUUUUUAAAAACUUAGAAGAGAGCAUUUUGCUCAGUAAUGGACCUGUUCAAUUUCAGACACAUAACUCUAAUACUAUUAAGUGAAAACGAUUUUGUUGGUAUUUUUUGAAGAGAUUAUAUUUGAAUUGUCCUUUUAAUAAUAAUUGAAGGACAAAUUUAAAUCGAAAAUCUGCUCCUAAACUAUAUAACUAUGGCUAAAAAUACCAAAUUUCAAAUAAUUUAUUUAGAUUUUUUAAAUUUUUUAGUAAUAAUUUAUGAGGAAAAAUAAAAUUUAUCAUUUUUUUUUACGUUUAGAAACAAAUUUGUCCUUUUGGGUGAUAUUGUAAUCCAUGUGAAAAUGGGGAAGAUGAUGAUAGGUAUAGAAAGGCACCUCACAUGUGCAGUCACAUGUUGGUAAGUAGCUAUUACAGUCAUCACACCUAUCAUCCACAGAAGAAACAAAAAUAAAACAACUAACAAAACAGAAGUGAGACAUGAAGUAUGCUAUAAACACCACAAACUCAGCUGUCUUGAAGAGGAGGCUAAGGCAGCGUAGACACCUUUUUCUCUUCCCUUCCCUGUAUCAGUCAAUAAUAAUAUAUCAUAUUCUCAUUCCCGUGACUCUGUGCUUUUUGUUUUCUUUCUUCUUCUUUUUGUAAUUUUGUAUUCUUUGGGAAUGUAAGAGAGAGAGAGGAAAACGAAAGGGAAGAGAAAGGACAUGAUUCUGUGUUGGCCGCCCAUCUGGACCAUUAAGGGUUUAGUUGGUUAUGUUAGUUUGCUCUCGUGAACUUUGCUUUCUGUUUGUUUCUAGGGAAACUGGAUAAAUUUAUUGGGUUAGUGUUUCUGUGUGGAAUUUUUAUCGUAUUAAUUAUAGACAUAGAAUUAGGAGCGUCAUUUUAUGUGUUAUAUGAUGAAAAAUAAUUUCUUUAUAGUAAUUUUUACCAUAAAUAUCUUCUUCCAAUUUUUUUAAUUAAUAGAUGCAAAUAUUUUGCUUCUGUUUAUUUGCUAAAAUUUACUUUUAUUUAGAAAAUAUUCUUAGUGAAAAAAAUAUUUUUUAAUAAUAUAACUUAUUUUUUAUUAUUUAAUUAUAAUUUAAAAAAUAAAAUGUAGUAAUUAAUUAAUAUAUAUAUAUUAGUAAUAAGAUUUUUAAAGUUUAGAAAAUAAUUUUUUUUUAAAAAAAUCAUUCUUAUAAAAAUGACUUAAUAUUUUUUUAAUUAUAUAAAAAAAUAUUUUCUAAAAAAAAUAUUUUCUGUACGUUUAUUUUUUAACACUUAUGCCCCUAGAUUUUCUUAGAAGAAAAGUGUUUAAAUUUUGUAUCUUAAUUUUAUGAAAUUUUUUUUUAAAAAAAACUUUAUUAAACUUUUAAAAAAUUACUAUUUUGAUGAAUAGACCUGAGGAAUCAUACUGUGUUGAGUUUUAAAAAUUAUAAUAAAUUAUGUGUUAAUUUUGAUAUAUUUAAAAACAUAAAAUUAAUUUUCUCUUUUUUGAAAAGAUUUGAAAUUUCAUGGUAUGCUGUAUUUGUCCGCAGAAACUACUUAAGUAUGGAAAAUGUAAAAUAACUUAUUUCUUAUUUAUAAAAAUAAAUAAUAUUAAUAAAUUUAUAUAUAAUAGUGGUAAUAAUGUUAGUAAAAAAAUGAUUUUUUUAAAGGAGUAAAUAUUUUUUAAAAUAUAAUUAUAUUUUAUUUUUAAUUAAAAUUGUGUUCAUUAAUUAAUUUUUUUGAAAGCACUAAAUAUUAAAAAAAUAAUAAAAUAUUUUUGUGUAUACAUGAUAAACAAGUCCUAAUGUGAGAAGGUCCUCCCUUUCCAAUGAUGGAGCACAAAAAUAGUAACAACUUAAACACAAUCGGGAAAAGAUAGAAUAAUUACUCCCAAAAGAAGAUGAAGAGCAGAAAUCCAAAUUAAAGUUUCAAAGACAACAAAACUACAUAGUCUAUAAUGAUCUUUUUCCGGUGCCUAAGCUAGGAAUGAGGGUACCACGCUAUAAGCACGUGUACUUUUACCUUCGUUUAAAAUUAAAAAUUUUAUAAAAAUUUAAUUAAAUUUAUUUUUAAAAUUUUAAAUACUAAAAUUUUAUUUUAUACAAAAUAUCAUAAUAAUUAUCUGAAUCCUUUUACUAUAAAUCGCUAAUUAAUGAUCAAUUAAUAAAAAUACAUUAAAUUUUAAAAUUAAUCUUUAAAAGAAACUUAUCAAUUUGAAAAAUACAUUAAAAAUUUUUUAAAAAUCAACUAAUUAAUUUUUUUAUUAAUUUUAAUCAAUGAAUAUUUUAAAAAAUCUAUAAAAAAAUUAGUUAGUAAAAUUUCUUUUAAAUUUUAAAAAUAUUUUAAUAUAUUUUUUAAAAUUACAAGACCUGACUACUGAUAAAUUUUCUUACUAUAUAAACUAGAUAAUAAAUACAUAGUUUAGAUAGUAAAUACAUAGUGAUUAAAAUUGAGAGGAACUAAAUAGUAAAUUUUUUACAAUUUAAAAGAUAUUUUAAUAUAUUUUUUAAAAAUGUGAAACUAAUGACUAAAUAAUAAUUUUCACUUGUAAAUAUCAAAUUAUCAAACCACUUCUACGAGUUACCAAGUGAAUAUGAAGCGCCAAAGAAGAAAUAUCUGUUUCAACAAGCAUAUUAAAAAAGCAUCUCUUAUUUAAUCACAAACAAAUUAUAAUUAUUUGGCUUGUAAUGUUUUUUCGACUUCUAACAAAACCUAGAAAAAUAUGAGCAACACCUUCAAAAGAGAAAAAAAAAAACUACAGGUUGAAGUAAUUACAACUCAGCGAGAUACUAUGCAAGAAUUUUGUAACAAAAAGUAAGAAUACAGUUUGAAGAAUCCAAAGUUUUGGUUGUUGAGACUUCACCUCUUAAAAUUCAAGAUUUAAUUAACUGAAAUUAAAAAUUAAUAAAGUAAAUUCAAAAUUUACUCCUCUUUUCCUUUAAAACAAUUCAGAAUCAGACAAACAAUUGGUAAUUUGCAGAUACUACAAGGUAAAGCCAGCCUUCCAAGAUGAGCCACUGUAUAAUUCAUCUAAUCUUUGCCUACAAUUCAGGUAAUAAAUUCAUAAAGAGCUAAAAAAUGCCUACUGUAAUUUUUUUUCCAUGGUAAUUUCUAAUUCUGCUACUGAAAUGGGUGGCAAAAAAGGCAAGAUCGAAAGAAGGGUUCUCUAAUUCUGUUUUGGCUACAAGAAAAUUUUGGCUGGUUCAACAAACAAUCAAAUAGACAAGCCAAGGUGUUUACAGCCUGAAAACAUCUGCGUAGACCAAUAACAACCCAUCAGAACUCAUCUGCCAUGAGAGAUAGGUCUGUAGAACUUUCUGAUGCAGUAAAAAAUAUGUAAUUUAAAAAAAAAAAAAAAGAGUUCGGAAGAAUUAAAUCAAUGGGUGUGAGUCAGGUUGGGACAUGCAUGCAAGAAUCGCAUUGUAACAGAGGCACCAAUAUUCUCUGCUUGGGAUAACCAUCCAUGGCAUUGCUGAAGGCAGGCCAGUCCCCAAAGUAGAUGCAGUUCUGAAAAUGAUAAGUAAAAUGUGCGUGGGAGAGAUAAAUCUAAAAUCCCAGGGACCACACACUACGACAAAUAAAGGCAGUGCACAAAAAGAUAACUCACUUUUUACCGGUAAGAGCUCCAUAAGCUGAUGUGGUGACGAAACCAGAAACCCCAGAGAAAAUCUUCUUGUAGUGAGGCAAGACUACUUGUCCUGUGAUAUAUAUCUCGUUACAGUUGGCCAAAAAUCAAUGAAUCAAAACACAAUGAUGAGAACAAGUUACCAAAUAUAUUUUUGAUUCAUGAAAUUUCCUUUCAUACAAUAUAUAAUUUGUCCCCAACACUUGUAAUCAAAUGCAAGGCACGCUAAGAUCAAUUGAAGUUGUCAUAGAAAAAAAAAAGGCAGCUACUUGACAAUUUCACUAGACUAUCGAUUAGUGGGCAAGCUAAAGAAACUCGAGGGCUAUGCAAAAUCUUCAGGGUUCGAUAUACUCAGAGGGGAAAUAUUGAAAGAAAAUGGGAAACAAUAGAAAUUGUUUAGUUCCUCAUCAUAACCGACAAUCCGUAGCAAUUCAUUAAUAUAGUCAUGUGUGAGUUCUCUAGUUCCCCCAAAGAAGGUAAGUCUAACUUUCUCUUAAACGAUACAGGAAAAUUAUGAUGCCCCAAAAUGAAAAACAGAGUGAGGAUUCCAAAAGCAUAUUCAUUAUCUUGUUACAGAUUACCGAAUUCUCUCAGAGCUUUGUUCCAGACACUGGACAUGUCAUACUAACUAACAAAAUAGUGAUGCCCAUAUUUGUCUGAGAUUUGAAUUAUGACUUGAAAUCCAAAUAUUGUGAAUUGAGAAUCGAAUAAAUCAUACAACCAAGUGAGCCACAGUUCUGUGUCCAACACAAUUGGAACUCAAAAUUGAAGAUUAAAGCCAGAAAUAAGGUAGAGGAAGAUUUCAUGCAUGAAUCUGUUUGAUUGCUAUAAAUAAACAAAAGUGUUAAUUUCAUUGAUUCUCGUGGGAGGCUAUGUUAAGAUCCUUCAAUAAGAAACAGGAGGAUAGAGGAUUAAUUUGAGUUUUUAAACCAGUCAGGUCCUACUAGACCUGGAUGGACCCAACAGGAAGGAACUGAUGUAUCAAUUCAACAUACAUUGGAUUGAUGCUCACCAGUCAGGGUCAAUCAAUUCACAUCAGCAAGGGGGUGAACAAUAACAGUAUAGAUGCCAUCUUCAAAAGAAUAACUAAAAUAUCCACAGUUUAGCCUGAGACUUGCAUGGCUUUGUUUAAUCACUCCACACACGCAACUAAAAAGAUAAUUCCCAGUCCUAUCCGUACGCAGUUGAAAGCACAAAAAUUGAUGAACAAUUGCUUGAGGCCUCACCUAUGUUCAAGAAGUUGCUAUGGAGAAUUGAGACCAGAAAACCAGAUCUCUCUUUGCCUGCAUCCUUUUGCUGUGAAUUCUCAGAAGAUGAACCGACUCCAUGAAGACAUGAAAACUCCUGAUAACUACCAUGACAAGAUACAAUUUCAAACCAUAUCCCAGAGGGAAACCUUCUCUGCCUCAACAACCUAAGUAAAAUUUUAAUAUAAGGUGUACCAUGAAUCAUUGAUAUGGUAAUUUCAAUCAACACACAAAUAAAGGUGAUGGCCGUGUUCAAAAUGGUGAAGAAAAUAUAGAAAACAGAAGUUGUUGGCAACAACAGUAAAAGGGGUGUAAACAGAAGGGAUCCAACUACGUGCUGCUUUACAGUGUAGUUAUAGCUAUCUAAUCUCUGGCGAAGAGGAUUCCACUUCCGACCCCUGUCAACAGAUAGACAACUCAGUGAACAACUUGAACUAAAGAAAGAACAAGAUUAUAUUAAUUUGCAAUAAAGGUUAAAUUAAUUUGCAAUAAAAGUUUCCUGAUUAGAUUGUGUAAACAUCUAGCAUGUAAUCAGAGGUCCAAAAAUAUAUAUAGGUUAUUUCAUUUUACCACCAACCAAAUCAAAAAAUCUACAUUUCUUUCAUCACUUCACCAUAAUCUUUCUUGUAUAGAGACUCAUUCACCCUUCUUCCAAACCUCAACCAUCAGUAGCCUUAGCCAACAGCAUUCUUUCAUCAUAAAGUAGGUCAAGUUCUUGUUACAAAUUGGAAGGAACUUUGAAAAAGUGUAAUAGCGAAUGAUUUCCAAAUAAAAUAAUCAAACCUUCACAUGAUUUCUUCACAUAGAAAUUAAGACGUCUUAAAAAUUCAAAACAUGAUGCCUUUAACAAUAUAACAAUUUAGCUCAAUUGACUUGGACUUUUUUUUUUUUUUACCCACAAUUGACUUGGCCUUUAAAGGCCUUCCAUAAGACCUUGGGUUCAAAUCUGCCUACCAGCACUCAAAAAUAAAUUUAAUGUGGCAGCUCUCAUUGACUGCGUCAACCCAGCAGGUCACACAGGUCAAUGAAAGAAACAAUUGACUGGGCACAAUUUUUUAGCAGGCUGGUUCCUUAUCCUGUUCAAUUAUGAUCCCAGACCACUUUGAUGUCCAGUUAUAGGUCAACCAAACAGGCUGUUCCGAAUUUAAUAACAUUCUAUUGAACUCAUUGUUGCUUUGGCUUUUUCCCCUCAAUGUUUUCACAUUUGUUUAAUAUAUGUUAUCAUGAGCACUACACACGACCUCAGUUGGGGAUUUAGGGAUCAACUGAUAAAUUUCAUGGAGUUGGAGGCCUUAAUUGAAUCCAACUAAAGAUCAGAGCUGGACCUCACUCCCUCCUAUAGUUGAGCAGAUAAAUUGGACUUUUGGCCUAUGUAAAAUAAAAAAGACAAAAAAGAAAAACAAUAAAGUGCACUCUAAUCUUUCUUGCAUAAUAUCAAUUUAUAUAGUAAACCUAAUCACCAUCUAAUUCUAAAUUCAAGGACCUCAAUCUAAUAUAACUAAAAAAAUUACAGCAUUUGCUCCGCAGUGCACCUGAACCCACCGACUCAUCUAUGCCCACCAAUUCUCCCAAAUACACAAAGGACAAAGGUUUACCUGAAAAGUCGCCACAGAGCAGCUAAUGCCUGGAUCUGCUGUGAAUACAAGAGGGACAUUGCAAAGUGAAGUGAUGACACAUGUAAUGUUGCCAGUGCAACCAUGUCUAUGAUCAAAGCAGCGAGAAUAGUAGCCCCAAAAAGAAUUCCCAGUAGAGCAAGUCCUUUGAUGAAAUAAAUAAAAAGGAAACCGACAAAGAUCCAGAGGGUAGACCAAAUUUGUAUCACGUUAAGAGAAACCAUGCCAAGAACUCCGGCAAGCUCUGUAUUCAAUUUGAAACCUGCUGGCACUCCCAUCAACCACACACAACCUGAACGUAACAAUUCAUUCGUAAUGUCACUGGCAAAGGUUGAAACCCAUAAGCAAGCAGAGUCAGCAUUAUAUAACAGCAGCAGGCCUAGCAAGUUUCCAAAAAGCAGAUCAACAGCAAAACUUGACCACAUAGAAUGCCUAAGUAAUGCAGCUUUCUCUGCAUAUUCCACACAUGAUCGAUACCUAAAUAAAAUUUAAAAAAUAAAAUCAAGAAUAAGAAUGCUAGGAAGAAAUUAGUAACUUUGAGAAAAACUCGGCAAACCAGAAGAAGAGUAUAAACAAUAUCACAAAUGGGCAAAAAGAUGACAAAAAAGCUUAAAUAGAUUACGCGAUUAACUCCCCAUGCAAGUCAAGCAGGAAAUGGAUAUGCAGUCAGCAUUUAAACCAAGGCUUGAAAUCUCUAUUUGAAUGAAGUAAACUGUAAAUUCCAAAAAAAAAAAUUCUUUUGUUCUCAUUAAAUAGAAAAGUCCAUUAAAAUUCUAGUAAAGAAGAUACAAGGAUAUUCCAAUUUCAGUAAAAAAAAACAAAAAGAAAAAAGAAAGCUUUUUCUAAAAUGGAAAAACUUAAUAUGUGAAAAAAAAAAAUUCUCCAGUCACCUAAGGCCAUUGUCUUGAAGAAAAAUAGGCCAAUAUAAGAUCUGACAAAAACGGAUUCGGCUAUUUGUCCACGUAGUGCUGAAUAUCCCUGCUAAUGAGAUGAACACCUGUGUUUUGGAUCCAAAACUUGAAAACCUAUACAACAACUGAAUAGUGAUAUAGAAUAGAGUGGAAAUUGACGCCACAGAAAUAGCCAAUACAUGCCACAUGAAAGCAAGACACCUGAAACGGCACAAGAAAGGGCAUCAAGAAUUGCCGAGAAAGGCACAAUAAGGCUAAACAAGAGAGUUAGUUGAUAAUACACGUGAAUAAUGGAAAAACCAGCAUAAGAUCUCUUAGAGUUCAUGCGUUUCUCAAUCACUGCUUUAGCAGCAGCAGCACUGUUGAUUGCCAAAAUGAUUGUAUCCUGCACCAGAAAAAAAAAAUGUCAACUUAAGGAGUAUGCAAAUAGUCUCAUAGCAAAAGAAGAACCUAAGGAACUACACUACCAAGUCAAAUAGAGGCUGGCUCCUGUCAAGUUCAUCAACCCACUCGGGUUUCUUCAGAGGACCCUUCACUUGCUCAGAAGAAAUCCAAGAACUUAGUGAGAAAUGGUGCAUACCAUACACAGGAGUUUCAUAAACUAUCACCUAUAUUUGGUCAAACAUCAAAAAAUGGUAGAAGAUUAAAUAGCACUAAUAAAUAUGACUGAGAUGAAACCAUGCAGCAUACAAAUAAUUAUGACUUACAUACGUGUACAUUGAAUUGCGGUACUACUUGCCCAUUCCAGUGAAUGUGAUGCAAUUUUGGAAGCCAACAAAUAUCUCUACCAUAUUGUUCACCAGAAUCAUAAACCAGAUUGAUCCAGCAACUGCCUUCAGCAGAAGCUUCACAACUUUGUUCAACUAAUUCGUCAAUUUUAUGGCAUGUGCAGCUCCUCCCUCCAUAAUUUUCUAUGAAUACAUCCUGCCUGUUUGCUGUUGACAAGAUGCUAUUCUUGGAGGGCUUUCUCCAAUUAUCUUCUUCCAGCCCAACAUUCAAUAAUUUUCCAUCCCCACCGAGGUAUGCAGCACCCUGACCUAGCAAAGAAAACAUUGAUUUCUCCUGUAGCAAUAUAGGCAUGUUCUCAUUUGUAUCACAGAGGAUCUCCUGUCCAAAACAAUAAUCCAAACCAUAAGAUAGACUCAACAAAUCGAAAUCUUUCAUAUAGCUAAUUUAAAUUCGAACAAGUACAUAAUGACAUUAUAAUUAGGUCAAAAACAUUCUGGCAUAUAUUUGCUUAUAACAAAGACACUAAUAAGCAAAAAUUAUGUACAAAAUCAGUCCAAACUCGAUCAUAACUAGGAACACGACAAACUAAAACCCAGAUACUACAAUCCUCAAAGUUGAAACCAUAGAUUGGCAAAUGAGUAAAAACACAACAAAGUAAAAUAUAAGGCAUACUUCAAUUAUUAACUAUGCAAAAUUCCAAUGCAGAGAGCAGAUACAAAUAUUUGCAUCCAUAAAUCGCCACUCUCUCAUCCCCAUAUGGCUAACAAAAUAAAUUAAGGGCUCUAUUAUUGACAAUAAUCUCACAUUUCAAGUAAAGGCUUAUACCUUGAUACCAGAUUGCCAAUGGAAAAACGAGACGUCAUUGCAAGUGAAAGCUACCACGAUAUCAAUAGAAGCUGAAGAGCAAGAGAUGAACCAACCAAACAAGAAAUGACUAGAAGAGAGUUCACUUGAAGCAAGGUACUUUGGCCACCAAAUCCUACACUUCGUUCUCAUUUUUCUUCCCUUUUGGUUAGAUUCACCUCAUAAUUCCAGUAGAUUCCUAGCAAAUGGCCUCGAAAUAAUCCUCCACAAUCAUCUUUAAUUCACUGCAGACUCGAAAUUGCUUCUGCAGUCGCAAUUCAGAUUCAAACAAACUGUUCACAACAAAACCCUAGCUCCGUAGAAGAUAUAGGAACUGACACUUCGGAUGGACAAAUUAUAAAGAAAAGCAUGAACAAAUUAUUUAUAGCUGAGAGAAGUUACCAGCAGAAAAAUCGCUGCCAUUGCUGGAACAGGCUUGCUGUGGAGGCUACAACUGCUGACGUCGACAAGAGCUUCUAAGAGAAGGGCAAGUGUACGAAAGAAGAAAAACGAUGCGUUUUGGCGCAGCAGUUGUAGGGGCCAGAUCCGUACUAAUUAUACCAAAUUAAUAACCAAGCCCAUAAGCCUUGGUCAGUACGAAGUCUCUAAAAUUAUCAAGCCCAGCUCCACUUUUUUUUGGUAGGUAUUUAGAGGAUGGAAAGGAGACUUUAAACCCUGUUUACUAGGAAAUUUUCGUGCCAACUCAUUUAGUGGUUUAUCCUUGUAUAAAAAGUAAAAUAAAAAAAAAAAAUAUUUAUACGAAUAGACUUUAACUUAUUGGCACAAGUUUACGAUUGGAUACAAAUUUCACUCUGUGAUCCCUUUGUGACUCGAUACUCUCACAUUUUACUCUUCCUUAAACCUAAUUUCUUCUUUUCCCUUCCCCUUUCCUAUGGAGGACGAUCCGCGUCAAUUGACUAUCAAUGAAAAAGAAGAUGUUAUUAUCUCUAUUAAGAGUUUCAGAAAUAUUUCGAUCGUCACUUAUGAUUUCUGUAUGGUGGGGAUAUUUCUCACAUACAAUCCAAUCAAUUUUCAGAAUAUGCAGACCUCUUUGGUAGAUUUAUGGCGGCAACUCUUGGACAGUUAUUGCAUUGAAGGAUUUGAUUUCUAGUUACAAGCUGGACAUUUUAUUUUUAAUGGUAACAAAAGCUCUUAGUUCUUAUAUGCAAUUUUUUUGUAAUUUUUUAUAUUUUGAUGGUUGCUUCUCAAUAAAUAGACAAGAAUUGGGAAGAAACCUUUCAUUAAUGUGAAAGAGUCAUGGAUUUAUUUCUGUGGUUGACUUUUUUUCAAAUUUUAUUGAUUCGAAAGAUAAUAUUCAAAGAAGGUUUACUAAUUAUUAUGGAUUUUCGAAAUUGUAACGACGACGUCAGUCUUGGAACCUUAUUCGAGCUUUAUCUCGUAGAAGCUCUCUUCCGUGGUUUUGUUCGGGAGACUUUAAUGAUUUAUGCUCGAAAGAUGAGAAAGAAUGGGGAAUAUCUUUGCCAAAUUAUCUUAUGCAGGAAUUUAGAUGGGCACUUGAAGAGCAUUUUUGCCAAAUUAUCUUAUACAGAAAUUUGAUUUUGAAUAAUUAUAAAUUUUUGUUAGACUCUAGAACUAAUAUUUCUGUUAGAUGGGUUCGUCGUAAUACUAUUCUAACUGCUCAUAGAGAAUCUAUCAUGUAUAAUUGUUUCUCUGUUUGAAAUUAUAUAUCUUUUUAUUUGAUGAAAUUUUAUUAAUACAAUAAGUAGUUUUGCUUUAAAAAAAAAAAGACUUUAACUUAUUAACUUUGAAGUCGUUUUCAAUACCAUAAGACUUCGAGUUUAAUUUUUAAUAUGAGCUAAUUAUAUAAAAAAAAUUUAUAUAUAUAUGCCUAUGAGUAUGGUGACAACAAAUUAAAUUUUUCUCUAAAACUAUAUAGAUUGAUAAAAAAAAAAAAAAAAAUCUCUUCUCUCUAAAAGAACUACCCACUUCCCUUAGUCAUAGUAGGAGUCGAAACUAUACCAUCUCGUCAACUCGAAAAAGUUCAUGCACUCUUCACCUUUGAAAUUAAGAAAAUAUCAAAUUUCAUAUUUCAAUUCAAAUAUAUACUUAAUUAAUUACCAUUAAAAAGUGAAAUAACCUAAAUAACUCCAAAUAGAUUAAAAAUUUAUUUGAUUUAACUGUUGGAUACAACUAAUAGCUGAUAAUUGACGAUUUAUAACUAAUGUUCAUAACUGAUAACAAAUAGUUGAUUGCUUGUAAUUGAAAUAUUCGAAAGAUUUAGUAAACUAUAUUUAUUUGUUGAUACUUAUAUAUAAAAUAAAAUGACUGAUAAAAUUAUAUAUUAUAUAAUGUAUUUAUUAUUAAAAUACACAAAAUUAACAAUAUACAAACUCUAAGACAUGAUUGUUAAUAAAAUAAAACUAAUGUAGUUAUUUUUAUAAUAUUUAUAUUUAUUUUGCAAGUGUAAAAAAUUUAUUAAUAUAUUGUCUGGUCUAAUUUGGGUAUAAUAGUUUUGACAAAUUUGAAUAUUCUGUUUGAUGUUUUAUGAUUUUUAAAAUGGAUCUCUUACUUGAAUUUUGCUCUAAUUUUGAGAUUUUUAUUGAUAGAGUAUGAAUUUGAGAUUGAAAAAUAUCCAAGCAUUUGGUUUGUUAAAUGGGUAUUAAGACUAUUAAGAAAAAGGUAGAUAAUUAAAUAAGAAAAGGUGGGAAAGAGAAGUAUUAAGAAGAAACCACGGACCUCUAUAUCAGUUUUUGGCUACAUAGAUUAAGACAUGAAUUUUCCUAUUCCAAGCAAAAUAUUAACUAGCUACUUUGAGAUGACCUACAGACGAUGCUGCCACAGGACUAUAUACCUCCUAAAUAGACAUGUGUUCUAAAUUUUAGAAGUGAGCAUUCGGUCGAUUCGAUUUAAAAUCGAAUCGAAUUAAAUAAAUCAAGAAUUAAAAUUUUAAUAUUUAUAAAAAUCAAAUAUAAUACGUAAUAUAAAUAAUAAAAUGUAUCAAAUUAAAUUAGAUAAUCAAUUCGUAACAUAAUACGAUUAUUAUUGUGUGAUAAAUAAAUUGACAUAAUUUUAAUACCAAUACCAAUAAAUUUAACUCUUAACUUCUAAUUUUUCUCUAUAUGUUUGCAUUGUGGUAUCUAAAUUUUUUUAGGAAUAAUAAUUUUAUCAAAUUUAAUAUUAACGUUAUUUUUACCAUUAAUUAUGGAAAUAGUAGAGCAAAAUUUUAAAUUUAAUAUUCCUAUGGAAUUAAAAUUUAUAUUUAUUAUUAAUUACAAUAAUUUAUAACAAAUAUUUUCUGAUAAAUAGUAAUUAAAAAAUUUAAAACCUUAAUUAAUUAAAAAAAUCUUUAGACACAAUUGGAUUAUUUAUACUUUAAGAAGAUGUUAUAAAUCUUACAGCUUGAGAGGAGACCCCGUAUUUCUUCUAUACUGUUGUGCAUCUUAAUUAUCUUUGCAUUGUCUAUUUUGUUUUAUUAAAAAAAAUUGCUACUUAAUUUUCAUAAUAGGAGAAAAUUCCUUAAUUAGUUUUCUAAUUUUAAAAAAUAUAUUAAAAUAUUUUUAAUAUUUUAAAAAAUUCUACUACUUAGUCUUUCUAUUAAAUUUGUCUUUAAAUAUUUUAUUACUUAAUCUUUAUAAUUAUAAAAAAUUUAUUAGUUGAUCCUUUAAAUUUUUAAAAAGUUUAUUAAUUAAUCUCUUCGACUUUUUUAUAAUAUUUAACGAUUAAAACUAAUAGAAUGAUUAACUAGUAGACUCUUUAAAAUGUUAGAGACAUUUUAAGGCAUUUUUCAAAAUUGAGGGAUCAAUUAGUGAGUUUUUUCAUAUCAUAAAGACUAAAUAGUAAUUUUUUCUUAAAAAAUUUAUUUUAUAAAAAAUAAUUUCUGAAAAAUAUUUCUGUAAAAAAUAUAUUUUAUAAAAAUUAAUUUAUUUUGAUUGUAAUGUUAAAAAAGAAAAAAAUAUUAAUAAUGUUUCACUUGAUAUUGAAGUCUAAAUAAGAUAAGUGGGAUGGAUAAGUAUAUGAUUUAUGAGAAAGUAUUGAAUAUUAAUUAUUAUUUAAUAAAAGUUAUAUAAAUUUUAUUAAUUGUAAUAAUUACAUUAUUAAUAAAUAAAUGUGGACCUAGCACUCCGAGACUUAGUCUGGUGGAAAGUGCAUCCUUAUAGCCUUGAGUGGUCUAAGGUUUGACUCCCUCAACCCCCUAUUUCAAAAAAAAAAAUGUGGACCUAUAUUUCUAAUCAUGUGAGGCACUUCCUUCACAACAUUAUAAGAAUAUUUAAAUAAAUAAUAUAACACUAAUGAUUUUGAUAACAUAUUAUUCUUCAAACGAUACUAAGAAAUAAAUAGAUAAAUAACCUCAUAAUGAAAGAGAAAAGGUAAUCGAGUGUAUUUUUUGUUUGUUUUCUUUUGGUUUUGUUUUUCCCUCAAUGAUGGUUUUUCCAUUGCCUUGUCGGUGUAGAGUUUUGUUUUAUGUUGUGUUUUUUGUCAGAUCACCGAGGUUUUGUUGUUGAGGGAGCUUUCUUCGCGAUAUGUUUUUCUAGGUGAGGAUCUAUAUUUUUAUUCCAAGGAGGUCUUGCAUGUUGUCGCUAAUGACAUCUCGCAGUUACCACCACUAUGUCCAGUGAUCCAUGCACUCCUAGACGCGAGAUCGCCGAGAGCAUUAUCGUCUUUCCUUCUACUGAUGUGCGUUCUAUUAUUGCUUACUUGGAUUUCAUUUUAGAGCCUGUUUUAGAUUGGAGAACAUAUGCAGUCUUGCAGGUGGCUAUCUUGCUAGUAGGAAGCUUUUGUUAGGAUUUUUAUUUAGUACUUAGUCAAUAAAAUCCCUAUUUCUAUGGGAUACUCUCAUUUGUUUUUAUUUGUUUGUUCACGUUUCUAGAAUUUGUUGGGCUCUAUAACUUAUUUUUACCUUUUUUGUUAUGUAAGACUAUAUAUAUAUAGCUAAGUUUCUUCAAGUCAAUAACACACAUCAGAUUUCUCUCAUAUUUCUUCCUCUUUUCUUAAGUCUUUUUUAUUUUAAUAUUUGGUAUCAGAGCCUCAUCACCGGAUUAGAAGUAGCAGUCUUCUUGAAUUUUUUUUUUUAUUGUUUUAAACAUGACAACAUAAUCUUUCUUUGUUCAACCAACAAUAUUGAAGUUGGAUGGGCACUAUGAUCAUUGGGUAAUGCUCAUGGAAAACUUCCUACGCUCAAAGGAGUAUUGAAAUCUAAUAGAGAAUGAAAUUCCAAUAAAAGCGAAAGUUGUGAUUCUGAAGACGCACAGAAGAAGAACAUUGAUGACCAAAAAUUGAAAGACCUAAAAGCAAAAAAUUUUCUAUUUCAAGCAUUAGAUCGGUCAAUCUUGGAGACAAUUCUCAACUAGGAUAUAACAAAGGAUAUAUGGGACUCCUUAAAGGGUACUACACAAGUUAAGUGGGCACAGUUGCAAGCUCUUCGUAAAGAGUUUUAAAUUCUCCAUAUGAAAGCAGGAGAAACUGCGAAUGAAUAUAUUGCCUGGACUCUUGCCAUUGCUAAUAAGAUGAAAGCAAAUGAUGAAGACAAAGGAGAUGUGGUUGUCGAAAAAAUUUAUGAAACCUAUGACUCUCAAGUUUAAUUAUGUUGUUUGUUUAAUUGAAGAUUCCAAGGAUACAAGAACAUUGACUAUUGAUAAGUUGCAAAGCAAUUUGCUUGUACAUAAACAACACAUGAUCUCUCAGAUUGAAGAAGAGCAAACCUUAAAGAUUUCUCAUGAAGAUCAAUCCGGAGGAAGAGCUUGAGGUAAUGGACAAGGUCAUGGAAGAGGUAGAGGUAGACUAAAUUUUGAUAAAUCAACAGUAGAAUGCUAUCAUUGUCAUAAACUUGAGCAUUUUGAAUGGGAGUGUUCACAAAAGGAAAAGGAGGAAAAUUUUGCUAAGAACCCAAGAAGAGAUGUUGUUAAUGGCAUAUGCAAAGAUAAGUAUUGCAAAAAAUGAAGAUACAUGGUUUCUUGACUAAGGUUGCAAUAAUCAUAUGUGUGAAAAGAUGGCAUAUUUCUUCAACUUUGAUGAAAGUUUUAGAGAUUCUGUGAAGCUGGAAGACAAUUCUAGCUUUGAUUGUUAAAGGCAAGGCAAUCUAAGGCUGCUAAUGCAUGAAAUAUUACAAAUAAUCAUAGAUGUAUUUUAUGUACGGAGCAGAAGAACAAUUUGCUAAGUAUUGGGUAGCUACAAGAAAAAGGUCUUGCCAUUUUAUUUCAGCAUAAUAAAUGCAAGCUAGGUGUACCAUCCCGACAAAGGCUUAAUUAUGGAUAUAACAAUGUCUUCUAAUCAAAUGUUUAUUUUAAACACUCUAUCUCAAUCUAUAACAUUUGCUUGUUUUAGCACAAUUACAGACAUAUAAUGCAACUCUAGCAUUGUUGUUGUGGACACCUAAGCUUUAAAGGCUUACAACUUCUUUAGCAAAAAGACAUGGUGCAUGGUUUAACUCAGAUCAAGUCUCCGUUUAAACUAUGUAAAGACUGUCUGGUGGGUAAAUAGCAACAUGGCCCAUUUCUAAAGAAAAGCACUUGGAGAGCUUUACAAAUUUUAUAAUUAAUCCACGCUGAUAUUUGUGGACCAAUCAAGCCUAUUUCUAAUAGCAAUAAGAGGUAUUUACUCAUUUCCAUUGAUGACUUCAACAGAAAAUUAUGGGUUUAUUUUUCAAUAGAAAAGUCAAAAGAUUUUAUUAUUUUUAAAAGAUUUAAGGCAAAUGUUGAAAAAGAAACAAAUUCUUUUAUUAAAGUCCUUCGCACAGAUAGAGGAGGGAAAUUUGCAUUACAAAAAUUCAUUAAUUUUUGUGAAGAAAAUGGUAUAAAAAGGUAAUUGAUAGUUGCAUAUACGCUACAACAUAACGGACUUGCAGAGCGAAAGAGUAGAACUAUUAUGAAUAUGGUUUGCAGUAUGCUUUUAGAGAAUAAAAUUCCAAAACUUUUUAAUCAGAAACUGUUAAUUAGACAGCACAUGUCUUGAAUCAAAGUCCUGCUAUGGAAUGGAGUUAAACCCUUAAUUGAGUACUUUAGAUUUUUUUUUGUUGUGUUUCUCAUGUUCAUGUUCCUAAUAAUAGAAGAACCAAGUUGGAUAGCAAGAGCUUGUGUUGUGUUUGGCUAGGAGUUAGCGAAGAAUCAAAGGCUUAUCGCCUUUAUGAUCCAAUUUCACAAUGGAUCAUUAUAAGUAGGGAUGUCGUAUUUGAAGAAGACAAGUGGGAUUUAAAGCAUGAAGAAGCCAUUGUGUGUGAUUUAGAAUAGGGAGACAAUGAAGAGGAGGAAGAUAUUGAAGAGGAACUAGAUCUUAUGGUCAAUAUUAGCAAAGAAAUUGAACCUGAUCUUAAUGAUGCAGAGGUAAAUAUGUCUCCUAAUUCGUUUUCUUCUGAUUCUUUACCUUUCAAUCAAUUUUGUGAUUCCAAUCAAGGAAGGACUAGGGUCCCACCACUUUGGAUGAGAGAUUACGAAAUAGGUGAAAGGCUUUUUGACAAAAAGACUAAUAUCAUCAUGUUUGCAAAUAUUGAUUCUAAUCCUAUUCAUUUUGAAGAUACCAUAAAAAAAAAAUGAAAAAUGGAGACAGGCUAUGGAUGUGAAGAUGGAAGUGCUUUAUAAAGAAAAUGGUACAUGGGAAUUGAUGGAUUUGUCAAAAGGGGAAAAAAUAAUUGGAGUUAAGUAGGUUCAUAAGACUAAAUUUGAUGAAAAUGGUAAAGCAAAUAAACAUAAAGCUAGGUUGGAAAUGAAAGGAUAUGCCCAACAACAUAGGAUGGAUUACAAUGAAGUAUUUGCUCAUGUGGCACGCAUGGAGACGAUUCGACUUGUAAUAGCCAUUGCAGCUCAAAAAGGGGUGUCUAUGUAGUAGUUAGAUGUAAAAUCUGCAUUUUUACAUGGUGAGUUGAAUGAAAAUGUAUUCAUGGAACAACUUUGUGGUUAUAUGUAGAAAGGAGAAGAGUAGAAGGUUAUAUACCACAAAAGGCACUUUAUGAGCUUAAACAAGCAUUGCGAGCCUAGUACAGUCGUAUAAAAGCGUACUUUCUAAAAGAAGGUUUUAAUAAGUGUGAUUAUGAAUAUACUUAUUCGUUAAAAUAAAGAAGGAUGGUAAAGUAUUGAUUGUCAAUUUGUUUGUUGAUGAUCUUAUUUUUAUCAGAAAUGAUAAAUUAAUAAUUGCAUAUUUUAAAGAUUAUAUGAAACAUGAGUUUAAUAUGACAGACCUUAAAAAAAUGAGAUAUUUUCUUGGUCUAGAAAUUUUACAAAGCUAAAAUGAAAAUAUGCCUUUGGAGAUUUUGCGAAAGUUUGGGAUGGAUAAAAGUAAUUCUAUUCAUAAUCCCAUUGACCCUGGUUUGAAGCUUGUGAAAGAUGAAGGUGGAUUUAAGGUGGACAAGACUUACUAUAAGCAAAUUGUGGGUAGUCUCAUGUAUUUCAUAACAACUCAACCAGAUAUAAUGUUUGUGGUAAUGGAAAAUCCUACUCAAGUUCAUUUACAAACUACAAAAAGGUAUUGAGAUAUUUGAAAGAAAUAAUUGAAUUUGGGAUUUUUUACAAGAAGCAAGGAGAUUAUGAACCGAUUGCUUAUACAAACAGUGAUUAUGCAGAAGAUUUGAAAGACAGAAAAAGUACUUCAGGCUAUUUGUUUCUUUUGAGCUCAGGAGUAGUGAAACAACCAGUGGUAAGUCUAUCUACUAUAAGACUGAAUUUAUUACAGCCGUUUCAUGUACAUGCUAAGCUAUCUGGUUGAAACGGGUUUUGGGAAAGCUGAAUCCAAAACAAGACAAAACAACUAUUAUUUGUUGUGAUAGUAGUUUUGCCAUCAAGCUUUCAAAAAAUCCAAUAAUGCAUGAAUAGAUUAAGUAUAUAGAUGUGCGUUUUCAUUUCUUAAAAAAGCUUACUAAAAUAGGUGCCGUGGAGCUGGUGCAUUGUACUACACGAGCAAUUGGUUGUAUCAUGACUAAACCAUUCAAAAUGGAUGUUUUUCUUGAAAUUGUAAGAAGUUUUAGAAGCGUGUUCCAAAUUAACGAUAAAUUGAUAGUCUAGAGCAUUUAAUUUAAGAGAAUAAUCGUUAGAAUUUUACUUAGUACUGGGUCAAUAAAGUUUUUAUUUCUAUGAGAUACUCCCAUUUGUUUUUAUUUACUUUUAUUUCUAUGGGAUAAUCUGGUCAAUAAAAUCCAUGAGAUAAUAAAAUGGGGGAAAUAUAAUUUUAUAAUAAAUAGAAUAUUAAAAUUAACUUUAUAGGAUGACUAUUUAAAAGCUUAUAAAUGAAAAUAAUAUAUUUAUAUACACUUAUUUCACCCAUACGUUUGUUAGAGAUAUUUAUUUUUUUAAUAUUUUUUUCUAAAUUCAUUAAAAAUUUUAAUUAAAUUUAAUUGAGUCCAAAAAAUCAACAAACUAAACUUUUAAUAUUAAAUAUCUAAUUAAUAAAAAAUUAUUUUUAUUCACUAUAGAUAAAAGGGUAGUAAUUAGAUGUAUUAACAAGAAAUGCCAGCGACAUUCCUUUUGUUUUUUUAACAUUUUCCAUUUGUUUUAAUGAAAAAUAUAAAAAUUAAUAAUUAAUAAAAAAAUAAUUAAUAUAAUAAAUAUUUUGCAUCCUGUGUUAUUACUAUUAAAUGUAUGAUUAAGGCUUUUGCUUUACUGGAUAAGCAAAUGCAACGUGUCACCGUCAUCAUAUAUUUUUUGCCUUACCGACCAACAAAGCAUGUGCCUAACGCAGACAAUCGGGGUCGGCUCACCUAAUGCGGGACCACAUUAUUUGGGUGUGUCAUCAUCUGGAUUCUACCAUCCUGGCCGUUUACUAUAAAAUUAUAGGUCCCUCGUAUUUGCGGUGAUUAAUCCAAAAUUUAAUGGAAAAGUCAAUUCUAUCUCACAUGGAUGGACCCCACUUGAUUAACCAACGGAUCCGUUUAUAUUCCAGCCCUUACUUUAAAGAGUACUAUCAUAAGGGUAACAAUAGAUAAUUAUUAUUGAAUAAAUUAACUAUAGUUUAUUUAAUUAUAAAAUAUAACGUGUAAAAAUUUUAUAAAAUUAAAUAGUUCAUUUUUAUUUUCAAAAUUUUCAAAUAAAACGUUUUUUUUUAAUUUAUCAGUAAAUAAAUAUAAUUUCAUACUCUUUUGAAAAAUAAAUUUAAUUGAAAUUUAAUUAAUAUAAUUUUUUAAUUUAACCUUUUAAUAUAUUUAUAUUUAACAUUUUUUUUACACCAUUCACCUGAAAUAGUAUUAUAUUCCUCACGAUAUUGUCGUGCAUAAAUAUCUCAUCAUUAGGCCUUGACUCACCAAGACAAUACAUCACAUCACAGCAGAUCAUAUCCUUAUCACUUCACAGGCUUUAAAUUUAAUUUAAUAAUAUAAUGUUAAAAAAUAAAAGUUCUAGUCUCUAGCUUUAAGAUAAGAACGCGUAUCUGACCGGACACCGGCUGCACGAACCCGCAGGCCGUACAGUUGAAUUUCCUUCAAAUCAAGGGGCUGCUUUGGCUCUUUUCGAACCUCAGCCUCGUAAGUCCCGAACCGCCUUGCCUCCGAACCUCCUCCCUAUAAAUAUGCUCCUGUCUCAUUUCGCGUACGUAUCGCUCGCUCACUGGUCCCAAUCAACGCUCCGUAAUCACCGCAAUACGCUUACGUAUUAAAGGUAUCAAAGUUCAAAUCCGAACCUUCUUCGUUAUGCAACGAUGCCGUUUUGCUUUUCUGGUUUCUCUCACUUUUUUUUUGGUUGUUGUUUGGCAUCCGUUUGACUGUUUGAUUUGAAUCGAGUUCUUGGAAAAUAGUUCUUGUUGUUGUUUGGUUGCUGAGAAAGUUUGAGAAGAUGGAGGAAAAUGAAGUGAAAUUUUGUCUCUGAUAAUGUUAUGGAGGUUAAAUAAGACGUGAUUGAAUUCUCUCCUUUCUUAAUUUUCUUUUGUUUAGUUUUGUUUCUUUGAUUUUCUUAGCUAUGCAACUGAGCUUGCUCGUCUUGAUUGGUUUAUGUUUAUGAUCUGGUGUCUGUAUGAGAUUUCAUUGUGCGAUUAUGUUUCUUUUUCUCCUGUUCCGGCAAUUACUGUUAUAACAGCUUUACGCUAUUUGAUGAAACUCUGUUUGAUUAUUGACAUGGCUAUGGAGAUCACUAUUACUAAUUUGAUUGAGUGCUAUUUUUCGAUGAUAGGACCAUUUUGCUUUGAUGUAACCUUAUCAUGUAGAAACAAUUGGAAAGAAUUCUUAUAAUGGAUUCAAAAUUAUCAAGAUCUGUUUUGUUAACUUCUAAACUAUUCUUGUUUUGUAUAUUUGGUAUCGUAUGACUUGAUCUUUUGUAAUAUUUGAAAAGAUUAUUGACAUGGUGUUUUGUUUAACUUCUAAACUAUUUUUGUUUUGUAUAUUUGGUAUCGUAUGAAUUGAUCUUUUGUAAUAUUGGAAAAGAUAUUUACAUGGUGUUUUAUUUGGUUCUGUGAUGGAUUAAGAAAACUGUGUAAAAUCAAUGCAUCUCAGUCUUCCUUUCAUAUUUUGAUUUGGGUCUGUGAUUGAUAAAGAUUAUCUGAGCCUAUAAUGUGUUUAGCCGUUGUAGUGUUAUGGGUAAAUUAUAGCUAUCUAUCCUUCAGUGUUCGAACGGAAUUAUAGAUGAUUUAUUAGUUGAGGAAAAAAAGAACAUAUAUCUUUAUUGUAAUGUUAGAGAAAAGGUCCUUACAGAUUUUGUGGUGAAUCCUAAUUAUGGAAAAAGAAAUACAUAGUGAAUGGUUUCUGAUGUAAUCAUUUCUGUGUGCAGAUUAAAAAGGUAAAACAAGAAUCGGUCGAGACAGAUGGCACUAGUUUCCGGUGGAAGGUCGACAUUAAACCCUGAUGCCCCUCUCUUUGUCCCUGCUGCCUAUCGCCAAGUGGAGGAUUUCUCCCCGGAAUGGUGGCAACUGGUCACAACUUCUACGUGGUACAGGGAUUACUGGCUGAGCCAACAUCAGGAUGAGGAAGGCUUCUAUGACAAUGCAGAGGAUGAUGCCGGCUUUGAUGGCAGUACUGAUGUAGCUAAUUUACUGCCAGAUGCAUUUGAAUUUGAUGCUGGUGAAGAUUUCUCUAGUUUCGAAGUUCAAUUUCAGGAGUUUGUGGAAUCUUAUGACACUGAAGUAGAAAACAAAUCACCUCCUUCCAAUGGGAUGCUACAAAAUGGUAUGGUUCAGUCUGUUGUAUAAAAAUCUCGAAACUGUAACAAAAUGCUAAGGGGUUCUGUUACUAUUAUACUACCUCGUAGCAGGAGUAAUUGUGAUAUCAUAUUGAGAAUUUGCAGUCUACUGGUCCAAUACGUCAGUCACUCUCGAUGAAAAUGGACUUGAUGUUUGUUUUGGGUAUUAUAGGAUUUCAGAUGGAAGCCGAAGCACCCAAAAGGGACGUAAGCUUGUUGAAAACUUUGGAGGAAACAGUUCCAGCAGCCAUAAAUGUUAAUCCAAAUUGAUGGGUCGACAGCCUUCUGAAAGGAGCAGUUUAUUCCUGCAUCUGAGUAGACAGACUUGUGUAGUUUCUGCUUUCUGUAAGUUCUGUAUGGAGCAAGGUUUGCACCCUGCCACUCCUUGUUCAUUCUCACGUCUUCUUUGUUUCAGUUAACCAAUGUAACCUUCCAGAAAAUGUAUUAAAGAAAAAAGGAAAUUUAAAAUUUUAGCAAGUGAGGAAAAGUAUAUAUGUUAUUUCUUUUGCUUUGAAUUUACUAAUUACCAUAUAUUAUUGAUGUUUCCUGAUCCAAGGAUUUAACCCACCAAUGGAUCAAAAUGUGAGGUAGGCGUGAAAUAUUCUUAUGGGAUGGAGGGGUAUAUAUUUAAUAAAUUUAAAUUUAUUAUAAUUAUAUUAAAUUGAUUUAGUAAAAAUAUAAUUUUAAUUUAUAAUUUAAAUUUAUUAAAUUUUAUUUAACUAGAUCAUAAAAAAAUUCAUUAUUAUUUUUUUUUAAGAAUAAGGAAGCUACAUAUAACCGUGUACUAAAAAUGAAUUCACAUUUAAUUUAUUCUCAUUUGAAAAAAGAAAAAAGAGAAAAUUAUGAGGGCAAAAAUCCCUGUUAGUUCGUCACUGACUACAGGUUAAUCAAUCCAUAUUUUUAAGAAGUCAACCUUCUUGUUGACUAGUUAUUAGGCCUAUUUGGCAAGUUAGACCGAAAAUGGGAGAUAAUGAAAAGUCUCUUUCAAGCGGGGAAGUCCAAGAACAUGCAUCCACUCGCUGGACUCGGAGAGACCGAACCAAAUGAGUAGGAUUGUAUGCAAAUAUCAUUAAAUUAAACAAUUAUAUGUUUAAUUAAAGCAGGAUGAGAAUAGUAUCAAUUAUGAUUAUACAUCUAAUUAAAGCAAAACGAGAAUAAUAUCAAUUAUGAAAAUGGAUUAAUUAAAAUCUUUAGACUUAACAUAAUAAAUUUAAUUAAUUAUUAUAUUUUAAUCGUUUAAAUAAUUAUGAUAUCAUUCUUAAAUUUUAAUUGGAUUAUAAAUUUUUAAAAGAUUUGAAUUAUUUUGUUCAAUAAAUUAAAAAGUUAAAAUUUUAAAUAUAGAUUCAUAAAAAUAUUUAAAUUAUUUUAAUUAAUAAAUUAAAAAAUAAUAAAAAAGACAAAUAAGAUGACAAGAUAGUAAUUUUAAAUUUUGAUAAAAUUAAUUUAGACUCAUAAAUUUAAUUAUUUAAAAUUAAAAUUUUAGAAUAUAAAUAUAAAUCGAUCAAAAUAUUUAAAUUGUUUGAAUUAAUUAACCUUUAAUGAAGCAUUUACUCUUCCGUCUAAAAAAAAAAUAUGCUAUUUACUUUUUUUUAUAUAGAUUAAAAACAUAUAAUUAAUAUAGUUAAAAGCAAUAAAUUUUUGAUUAUCUUUCUUAAUAUAUCCUCCACUUAUAUAUUAUUACAUCAUUAAAUUAUUCUUAAAAUUAAGAAAGUUUAUUUUCAAUUCAUAUUAUAUAGAAGUAUAUUAUAAAAUUAAUUAAUAAAUAACUAAUUUAAAAAAGGAAAAUGAUCUAUAAUUUGGAAUGAAUAAAAAAAAAUAAAUCUAUCUUUAUAGAAAGUAAGGAGUAAGAUUGACGGUCUUAAUAAUUAUGGAUUAUAGUGAAAUUUAAAUAAAACUCAAUAUAAUUAAUAAUUAUAAUAAAAUUAUUAAAUAUAAAAUAAUUGUAUUGUAAAAUUUUUCAAACUCUCUGAGGCCAAGAACGCUCUCUUGCAGUUGUAAUGUAAAGAACUUGAAGCAGAAGAUCAGAUCUUGUGGUGAGAGUACAAGUAAAUUGAUCUACCAUCUAAUGGCUGAAUUGGCCUUGCAUUUGCCUUAAAGCCCUGCGAAAGAAACACAAAUUCACAUAAUUAAAGAACAUAAACUAACAUAAAAUCAAAUUAUUCGUUGGAUUUGAUUUAUUUUAUCACAUUUAUCCUUUAUUUGAAAUAAAAAAUUAAUUUUUUAUUUUAAAUAAUAAUAAAAAAUCAAUUUUUUAUAAAUUAUUCAUGAUUUAAAAAAAAAAACUGCAAAUAAUAAUUUAAAAUCACUUACAUCAUGAACAGCAUCUCUUAGUGCUUUAACUUGCUCCCUUGAAGCAGUUCUUACCUAUUUAUGCAUAUGAAAGCAAAGAUGUUCAUUUAAUAUUUUUGUUGGUAAAACUUCAGCAUUAAUGGUAUUGAAAAAUUAUUUAAAACCAAUUACACUAAAAAAAACAAAUAAUAUAAAUAAAAAUACCUUCUUGCCAAUUGUCCAAAUCACUCCUUCCGUGCAAGGAGGUACUGUAAGAGAACCAAUAUACCUAAAAUAUUUUCUGCUCCCAAAUUUAAUUUCUCCUGGAUUAACCAUCCCCAAAUCUCUCUCUUCCUUCCCCACUGAUUUUAUGUGAUGAAGUAUCUGCAAGCAAUUAUUUAAAUUAAUAAUUAAUUAUGGAAUUAGAGUUGCAAUUUUGCAUUUGCAUGUAUAUAUUAAAGAAUCUUACAAACGCGGAACAAGAUAAUUUAACUUUUUUCUUU